AAUUAUGCUAAAUUUCAGUGUUUUUUGCUGUUUAUCUUUGUUUUUGUGUUCUUGGUUUCAGGGUUUGGUUGCUGGUGACAGGGUUCGAAAGCCGGGUAUGAAUCAACUCUCAAUUCUAUUUCAAUGCCUCUUUUGAAAUUUAUUUCAUGAUGUUCGAAUUUGGAUCUCGAAUAUGCACUACAAGGCUCAUCAUGGCCUUUCAAUUUCCCUCUAAAGCAUAGUGUGCAUGUUUCAAGUUCCACUCUCACAUCUUUGCAAAUUAUGCAUUGCAAGGCUUAUCAUGGCCUUUCAAUUGAAAUGGCACUAGAUAUGUUUUGACAAGCCCGUUCUGCGCAUUUGAUAUGUCUGAGGGCUGUCAUGGCAAUAGCAAUAGCUACUCUCUUGUUGGUGUCCAGGACAUUAUUUUUCCUCACUCUUUGAUUUAGAAGGUCCGACUCCCAGAACAGCUGCAUAUUAUAGGCCACUGCAAUGGCAUUGUUUUACUAUAUAGUAAGAGUAGCUUUGUUUUAUGCAAUCCCGGAAUUGAGGAAUUCAUUCGUGUUCCUGAUGAGACAUGCCUUCCAAUGUGGCCCAGAUUAGAUUUGGACCCGGGGGAGGAUUACAAUUGGCCAGAACAUAUUGAUCCUGGAUUUGGCUAUGAUCCCAAAUCUACGAGUACAAAUUUGUGGCCUUUACUACUUGUACUCAAGAGUCAGAUGACACUAUGACACUUACUGCUUCACAAAAAGCGGUAGUAUACACCAUCAGUUGUGAUUCUUGGAAAGAGGUCGACACCGUUUCUUUAGAAGCCAAAACUACUUCGUUUUGGCUUGACGGGUUUCCAGAUGUGCUUCAAGGGAAUGCGUUAUUGGCUGGGAAUUGAGCAAGAUAAGGAAAUAUCUGUUUAUGACACUUUUGAUGACCCAGAAGGCGAGAGAGUGAUCAUUUCUUUCCAUACAAGUCACGAGGUAUUUCGUGGUAUACCUGAAUCAUCUGAGCUCCAACGAUUACCUCUGCGGCAUGACCUUGAUUUGAAGCUAAUUGUGUGGAAUGAAUCAGUUUCUUAUGGUUCACAAUGAUGGACGCGUAGUUUGCUUUAAUCUUUGUACUAAAAAGCUUACAGAGGUGAGUUUGUUGGUUAUGUGAAUAGCUUAGUUUCAGUCAUGGGACACAACCACAAGCCUGAGAGCAUAGAGAAUAAUUGCGCAGACAAAGAUGAAGAUGCGAUGGUGGCGGUAGAAGGGAAGAGGGAAAGCUGCAGGAGGCGGUACUCAUAUUCCGUUUGGGCCAUUCCACCGGCUGAUGUUUCCCAUAGAAUCAAGAAGGUGAUGGAGGGCCUCCAGGCAGAGUUUGAUGGGCCGGAGAUUGAGCCUCACAUCCCCAUAUUGGGAUCCAUCCAUAUUAUGAGUCAUGAGGACGCUCUUAAUAAGUUUAGAUCUGCCCCUAGGGAUGAUAUCGUUGCUAAAGUUGUUCAGGUGGUUACUAGGAAUUACUCUCACCAAUGUGUUUCCCUGUUGAUGGAUCGAAAGGUAUAUAUUUUCCCGAUCUCUUGCUAAUUGCUAUUCAUUUUCUUCAUGUUUUCUUCUGUUUUGUUUCCUUUUCCUCUUUCUCGUUUUGGUUUCUUGAGCUGGGUAGUCUCACUGAUCAUCAAAAUUUCUUUUCUUAGUUAUUUCAAAGUGCCGAAUCUUGGAGUUACCAUUUUGGUUUCUACAACAGUAAGUUGUUUUACAUUAACUUUUGAGCUGGUGUUCUUUUGUUUUCACGAAAGCUUCCUUCUUAAUUUCUUCUUCUUGUUUACGGCUCGUUCAUAUGUAAUCUGUCUGUCUGCAAUAUUUGAUGGAUGCAGGUUCUCUGCCAUAUUUGAGCCUCCUCUACGGGAAGUCGACGGAAGAAGAAGAGGAAAAAAGCUCGAGAACUGGUUAAUGCUCUGGAUGAGGGCACUACUAGCUUGAGCUUCCGCGUAACUCGCUUUUGUAUGAAAUCGACUACGAUGACAAAUCUCUGAAAUCUUGGAGGAAGAUUGAUGACAUCGGCCAUUAGACAAGUUCUGAAUUCAUAUAAUUGCAAGCAAGUUAGCAACUCUCAGGUCGAACAAAGUGGCACACAUACAUACAUAUUGCCCAAAUUUGACACAUCAUGGAUGAGAUAAUAAGUGGAAAUCUUUGAUGAAUGUAACCUAACGUAGCCUGCUAACGGAGAGAUUUUUUCGGUGUACUUUGAACAUUGUCAUUGUGAUAAAAUAGUUCUAAUCAACUGUAACACAUGUAUUUAAUUACAUCGCGUGACAUGUUCUCGAGGUACACACAAAGAGAAGAAAAAGAUAUAAAUUAGGUUAUUCACACUUGGAAACAAGAUCGAUUGAUCGCCUUAUGAAUUUCAAUGUGAUCUUGAAGUAGUAUUUAACUCUUUCCUUGAAUUUGAUCGAUCUCCUAGUCAAUUUCUUGUCCUCAUAUCGAAUGAAUUGAAUAAAUUUAUGGAUAAAAUUUAACGAGAGUAUAAAACACCCAGGGUUUGGAGUCAUGCUAGUUGCUGCAGUAUCAUCACCAUCACCAAAUUACACACGUGCAAAUUACACACGUGCAGGGUUUGAUUCUUUUACUUUUGAGCCAAUAAGCCAAGAGGAAGAGGAGUGUAGAUAAGCCAAAUUACACACGUGCAAAUUGCAGGGGAAGCCAACAAAGGUGGAGGUUGAAAGUUCAAUUAAUGUCGUUUAUUGAAUAAUCACGUGAUGAUGUUGGAUAAUGGAUAGUGACCCACCUGAAUAUUUUUGUUGCUGGUUAGAAUUUUGUAUUUUGAGGAAUCUUCAUGAAUAUAUUGGAAAUGUUGUCAAUUUUGAUAGAAUGUAGAUUUAAAUUGGAAUUUCAACAAAACUAUAACUUGAAAUAAGUCUGGUAAAUUGUCGUAUGAUUCGUUAAUCCAAUACGAAAUGAUAUGGAAAUAAUAGGUUUUGGAUCAACUUGUUAACGAUUCAUAUCUUUAACGAAUGACCCGUUAAGAAUAUGAUAAAAUAUCAUUUUGCAUAUCUAAACAUUAGGGAUUGCAAUUUCUUGCAUAACCCAUUAUCCGACAUGAAACAUUAUUAGUUAACGAAUCAAGGUGUUAUCGGGUCAUAUAUUAAGAACAUUUUAAGAUAAUUAGUAUAACACAAACACGACAAGUACGACCUGUUUGCCAUGCCUAACUUGAAAGCUAUUAAAUAUUUACAUGGAAAUAAGUUUUACUGAAUAAUAUUUCAGUGUAGUUCAACCUGCUAAGUAUUUCGACUUUUUAAAUAAUCUUCACAACUCAAUUUCUUAAAAUCAGUUUUCACCGUUCAUUUUUGAAUUACAUAGCAAUUCUGGAGAAAUUGUAGAGACUAAGAUAAUGCAAGUUGCCAACUAUAUUAACCUGACGCUGCCAACUUUACAUCUCAUUUUCAUAGGGACAAGGAUUGUCUGCCCUCCUUGUUCCCGUGCCUUCCCAUGCCCUCCUGUUUGUGUGAUCACGGUUAAGCCACGUCAAUAUUUUAUAUUACUAUUUAUUUUUGUCUUAUUAUCUCUAUAAAAAAAUAUAAAAUGUUAACGUGACUUAACCGUGACCACACAAAACAGAAAUGCACGGAAGGGCACGGGAACAAGGAGGGUGGACAAUCCUUGUCCUUUUCAUAGCUCGAUUCAUAGGAUCCACGUCAGACUGAAUCAUUUUUUUAUCUCUUUCAAUAUAUAAUAAUUGGUUACGAAUAAAUAUUAAAUUUUCAAUACUAUUACACAUGUGCAGAUAAUAUCCCAAAUUAUUGUUUUCCUUCCAAGAAUUCACAACUUGGAGUCCAUCGCGACCAUUCCACGUGUCACCUUCUCAUCUAUAUAAUAGGUUUCCAAAUGAACCAAAGACAACUUGAGAAGAACUUCUACGUAACGUGAAUGUUAUUGUAACAGAAUAUGAAUUAAUAAUGGAUUAUCGUGUGGGAAAUUAAAAACGUAUGAGAUUGUGUUUAAUGCGUUUAGAAAAUCAAAAUUUGUUGUUCUCGUUCUAGAUAAGUUCUUAUUCCGUGCACAUGAAAACCCCAUUAUAAUAAGGUUACUAAGAGGUCUGGCAAACGGAUCGUGUUUGUGUUGUUUCGUGUCUUAUCCGUUACCAAACUCGUUAUUUUAAUGGUUCUUAACCUGUGACUCAAUAACGACCCGAUUAGUUAACGAGUCGUGUCGUUUCGUGUCAGGUUAACAGAUUAGCAAGAAAUUGUCAUGCGUAAUGUCUAGAUUUGACAAAUGAUAUCUUAUUGGAUUCUUAACGGACGACCCGACAAUGACGUGACGUGCUAACAGAUUUUUAAUAGGUUACUUAAUAAUGAUUCGACUUAACAAGUUAACCCGAAAUUCUUUAUUUCGUAUUGUUCGUAUCAGAUUAACGGGUCGCAUAACAAAUUGUUUGGGCUACCUACUGGAAUACGGGAUCUUAUCCUUAUGCAAACGUGGAAGAUCAAUGAUUUGAUAAUAAUGGACCAUUAUCCAAUAAUCAAUUUCUUAACGCAAUGAUCAUAAAUUGUCACUUAAACUUAUACAAAGAAAAGUUCAAUUUUAUUUUUGUCUUAGAAAGUAAAUAGUCGGCCUCCACGUGUGAUGAAUGUAAAGGAAGUAACGCGUUUUUGUUUAUUUUUGGCGCGUAGUUGGUGGGAGAGUAGUGAGUACGUGGACACAGAUCAGCGCACUUGAUAAACUAAUUCAAAGAGUUAUGGGUAUUGGGCUCUUCUCUACCCUUCCAGUUUUCAUACACUAUCAUUCUCUCUUAUUUUUGCGGUCACGGUUAAGUCAUGUCAAUAUUUUAUAUAACUAUUGUUUUUUAUCUUAUUAUCCCUAUAAAAAAAUCAAUAUAAAUGUUGACGUGGCUUAACCAUGACCGCACAAAAUAGGAGGGGAUGAGAGUGUAUGAGAACUGGAAGGGCAAAGAAACCGGGUCCAUUGGGCUCUAGCACCUAGGAGAAUAAUUACAAUUCAACGAAUUGGAACCAGGGGCUGAUCAUCUUGGAACAAGUGGGUCAGCUAUCCUCAAGCUAAGAAAUCUUUUAUGGAAGAGUUGGAUGAUGUCUUUCGACUACUCGAUGAAUUACUUCUAUAGCUACUGAAUAGGAUAGUUGCUAGCUAAAUGUCUUUGUAUGCGUUGUUAUGAGAAUUUGACGAUAGGUUCACUCAGCUUGCUUGCUAAAAAUUAUUGACAUCAAUGGAUAUGCUUAUUCGAAAGUUAUUGACAUAUGUCGACAAGUGUACAAUAUGACUUGGUAAAUAACUUAUCGCCUAUCAAGGCUUGAUGAAAUGUCAAUUUGCAUGCUUUCCUUCCAAAAAAGAUUACGCGUUGCACAUGUUAUUUUUACUGAUAACAUAAAGUUCUUUUAUUUUUUUGUUGCAAAACCCUGUUUUUGUUUAUCCUUAUUAUGUGUUAUCCACUUACGAAAUCCGAAAGGUUAUGUUUGAGUGAUAGUAUAUAUGUGUGUGCGCCCCAAGAUUUAGUGUAUUAGUUGAGUAGUCGAACCAUUUCUUUCUCUAUUUCUCUCUGUGUCUGUCAAUAAUUUAACUGUUUCAUGGACUUUCAAUUGUGCAGUUCAAUUCCUACACACCCACCUCCCUCAGCAACACAAACAGUCUGCCUCAGGAACUUUGAAUUUGGCAGUACAGGUGUUGAUAAUGAACAACCACAAGGGUAUGCUUCAGUUGAUUUUGGUUUUAUUUCUCUUUUAAGAAUAAUUCCUUUAAGUUUUUUUCUCACCCGAAAUCAACGGAGUGAUCGGUUCAAUUCUCAUAGCAAUUUGAUAUAAAACAAAAAUCAAUUUGUUGGGUUUUUAUUUAAGUGUGUAACCUUUAAAUUUUGAAAGCGAUUAUCAACUAUCAUAAAGUUCUUUUAUUUUUUUGUUGCAAAACCCUGUUUUUGUUUAUCCUUAUUAUGUGUUAUCCACUUACGAAAUCCGAAAGGUUAUGUUUGAGUGAUAGUGUAUAUGUGUGUGCGCCCCAAGAUUUAGUGUAUUAGUUGAGUAGUCGAACCAUUUCUUUCUCUAUUUCUCUUUGUGUCUGUCAAUAAUUUAACAGUUUCAUGGACUUUCAAUUGUGCAGUUCAAUUCCUACACACCCACCUCCCUCAGCAACACAAACAGUCCGCCUCAGGAACUUUGAAUUUGGCAGUACAGGUGUUGAUAAUGAACAACCACAAGGGUAUGCUUCAGUUGAUUUUGGUUUUAUUUCUCUUUUAAGAAUAAUUCCUUUCAGUUUUUUUCUCACUCGAAAUCAACGGAGUGAUCGGUUCAGUUCUCAUAGCAAUUUGAUAUAAAACCAAAAUCAAUUUGUUGGAUUUUAUUUAAGUGUGUAACCUUUAAAUUUUAAAAGCGAUUAUCAACUAUUAUAAAGUUCUUUUAUUUUUUUGUUGAAAAACCUUGUUUUUGUUUAUCCUUAUUAUGUGUUAUCCACUUACGAAAUCCGAAAGGUUAUGUUUGAGUGAUAGUGUAUAUGUGUGUGCGCCCCAAGAUUUAGUGUAUUAGUUGAGUAGUCGAACCAUUUCUUUCUCUAUUUCUCUCUGUGUCUGUCAAUAAUUUAACUGUUUCAUGGACUUUCAAUUGUGCAAUCCAAUUCCCACACACCCACCUCCCUCAGCAACACAAACAAUCCGCCUCAGGAACUUUGAAUUUGGCAAUACAGGUGCUGAUAAUGAACAACCACAAGGGUAUGUUUCAGUUGAUUUUGGUUUUAUUUCUCUUUUAAGAAUAAUUCCUUUCAGUUUUUUUCUCACUCGAAAUCAACGGAGUGAUCGGUUCAGUUUUCAUAGCAAUUUAAUAUAAAACAAAAAUCAAUUUGUUGGGUUUUUAUUUAAGUGUGUAACCUUUAAAUUUUGAAAGCGAUUAUCAACUAUCAUAAAGUUCUUUUAUUUUUUUGUUGCAAAACCCUGUUUUUGUUUAUCCUUAUUAUGUGUUAUCCACUUACGAAAUCCGAAAGGUUAUGUUUGAGUGAUAAUGUAUAUGUGUGUGCGCCCAAAGAUUUAGUGUAUUAGUUGAGUAGUCGAACCAUUUCUUUCUCUAUUUCUCUAUGUGUUUGUCAAUAAUUUAACUGUUUCAUGGACUUUCAAUUGUGCAGUUCAAUUCCUACACACCCACCUCCCUCAGCAACACAAACAGUCCGCCUCAGGAACUUUGAAUUUGGCAGUACAAGUGUUGAUAAUGAACAACCACAAGGGUAUGCUUCAGUUGAUUUUGGUUUUAUUUCUCUUUUAAGAAUAAUUCCUUUCAGUUUUUUUCUCACUCGAAAUCAACGAAGUGAUCGGUUCAGUUCUCAUAGCAAUUUGAUAUAAAACCAAAAUCAAUUUGUUGGGUUUUUAUUUAAGUGUGUAACCUUCAAAUUUUGAAAGCGAUUAUCAACUAUCAUAAAGUUCUUUUAGUUUUUUGUUGCAAAACCUUGUUUUUGUUUAUCCUUAUUAUGUGUUAUCCACUUACGAAAUCCGAAAGGUUAUGUUUCAGUGAUAAUGUAUAUGUGUGUGCGCCGAAAGAUUUAGUGUAUUAGUUGAGUAGUCGAACCAUUUCUUUCUCUAUUUCUCUCUGUGUCUGUCAAUAAUUUAACUGUUUCAUGGACUUUCAAUUGUGCAGUUCAAUUCCUACACACCCACCUCCCUCAGCAACAUAAACAGUCCGCCUCAGGAACUUUGAAUUUGGCAGUACAUGUGUUGAUAAUGAACAACCACAAGGGUAUGCUUCAGUUGAUUUUGGUUUUAUUUCUCUUUUAAGAAUAAUUCCUUUCAGUUUUGUUCUCACUCGAAAUCAACGGAGUGAUCGGUUCAGUUCUCAUAGCAAUUUGAUAUAAAACCAAAAUCAAUUUGUUGGGUUUUUAUUUAAGUGUGUAACCUUUAAAUUUUGAAAACGACUAUCAACUAUAAUAAAGUUCUUUUAUUGUUUUGUUGCAAAACCCUGUUUUUGUUUAUCCUUAUUAUGUGUUAUCCACUUACGAAAUCCGAAAGGUUAUGUUUGAGUGAUAGUGUAUAUGUGUGUGCGCCCCAAGAUUUAGUGUAUUAGUUGAGUAGUCGAACCAUUUCUUUCUCUAUUUCUCUCUGUGUCUGUCAAUAAUUUAACUAUUUCAUGGACUUUCAAUUGUGCAGUUCAAUUCCUACACACCCACCUCCCUCAGCAACACAAAUUGUCCGCCUCAGGAACUUUGAAUUUGGCAGUACAAGUGUUGAUAAUGAACAACCACAAGGGUAUGCUUCAUUUGAUUUUGGUUUUAUUUCUCUUUUAAGAAUAAUUCAUUUCAGUUUUGUUCUCACUCGAAAUCAAUGGAGUGAUCGGUUCAGUUCUCAUAGCAAUUUGAUAUAAAACCAAAAUCAAUUUGUUGGGUUUUUAUUUAAGUGUGUAACCUUUAAAUUUUGAAAGCGAUUAUCAACUAUCAUAAAGUUCUUUUAUUUUUUUUGUUGCAAAACCCUGUUUUUGUUUAUCCUUAUUAUGUGUUAUCCACUUACGAAAUCCGAAAGGUUAUGUUUGAGUGAUAAUGUAUAUGUGUGUGCGCCCCAAGAUUUAGUGUAUUAGUUGAGUAGUCGAACCAUUUCUUUCUCUAUUUCUCUCUGUGUCUGUCAAUAAUUUAACUGUUUCAUGGACUUUCAAUUGUGCAGUUCAAUUCCGACACACCCACCUCCCUCAGCAACACAAAAAGUCCGCCUCAGGAACUUUGAAUUUGGCUGUACAUGUGUUGAUAAUGAACAACCACAAGGGUAUGCUUUAGUUGAUUUUGGUUUUAUUUCUCUUUUAAGAAUAAUUCCUUUCAGUUUUUUUCUCACUCGAAAUCAACAGAGUGAUCGGUUCAGUUCUCAUAGCAAUUUGAUAUAAAACCAAAAUCAAUUUGUUGGGUUUUUAUUUAAGUGUGUAACCUUUAAAUAUUGAAAGUGAUUAUCAACUAUCAUAAAGUUCUUUUAUUUAUUUUUUGUUGCAAAACCCUGUUUUUGUUUAUCCUUAUUAUGUGUUAUCCACUUACGAAAUCCGAAAGGUUAUGUUUGAGUGAUAAUGUAUAUGUGUGUGCGCUCCAAGAUUUAGUGUAUUAGUUGAGUAGUCGAACCAUUUCUUUCUCUAUUUCUCUCUGUGUCUGUCAAUAAUUUAACUGUUUCAUGGACUUUCAAUUGUGCAGUUCAAUUCCUACACACCCACCUCCUUCAGCAACACAAACUGUCCGCCUCAGGAACUUUGAAUUUGGCAGUACAGGUGUUGAUAAUGAACAACCACAAGGGUAUGCUUCAGUUGAUUUUAGUUUUAUUUCUCUUUUAAGAAUAAUUCAUUUCAGUUUUUUUUCUCACUCGAAAUCAACGGAGUGAUCGAUUCAGUUCUCAUAGCAAUUUGAUAUAAAACCAAAAUCAAUUUGUUGGGUUUUUAUUUAAGUGUGUAACGUUUAAAUUUUGAAAGCAAUUAUCAACUAUCAUAAAGUUCUUUUAUUGUUUUGUUGCAAAACCCUGUUUUUGUUUAUCCUUAUUAUGUGUUAUCCACUUACGAAAUCCGAAAGGUUAUGUUUGAGUGAUAGUGUAUAUGUGUGUGCGCCUCAAGAUUUAGUGUAUUAGUUGAGUAGUCGAACCAUUUGUUUCUCUAUUUCUCAGUUGAUACGUACAUCGGUAUAAUUAAUAUAGGCAUGCAAAUUUUUUUAUCGAUGGAUGGUGAUUUUGAAGUUUGAUCCUUUGUCGAUGUGGAUUUAUCGAUGGAUGGUAAUUUUACACCUCGUGAAUUAAUUGAUCCUUUUUUUUUGUCAAACAAUAAUUUUGGUAGAUUAAAUGUUAAAUUGGUCAUCGACAUUGAAGUAUGCAAAAUGUAUCUUCAAUUUUUUGUGUUUUUGUUUCUCUUGAUCAUUUAAAGUGUGUAUAUGUUAAUGUUAACUUUUGAAUUUUGAAAAGCGAUUAUCAACUAUGAACAAUGCGAAUCAUUUUGCAUAUUGGUGUGUGAAUGCGCGCGCAACUUUUUUUACGUUUCCUUGUGGUGGGUUGGCAUGUAGUGUGCACAAAUAUUUCUGUCAUUUUUCAAAUUCUAGCAUGCAAGUUGCGUUUAAAUUUUAUGUUGAUAAAAAUCUUUCCAAUUUUCUUAUUUAUUUUAUGUUUCUGUCUCAGUCUCUCUAACUUUUUGGUCUUUCUUUCAGUGAAUCUCCAAAGCAUAUCGAUGCACUCGAUAAUUAUUCAGGAUCAUGUAGGUGUGAAUGCAUCGAGAAUCAUUAAGGAUCGUGUAGGUGUGGAAGUAUGCAAUAUUAACGUUAGGUUCUCCUAUUUGGAUUCGGUAAUACAAACGUUAUGUUCUCCUCUUUGAAUCUUUUUUUCAAUGGGAAACUGUAUGCAGAAUCAUGAUCUGUUCUACCAGGCCACGAAGAGAUGCUCAAUGAGCAAGCUAAUGUUGUGAAGGGCAUACUGGUCGCACCAGCCAGCACCUUUUUGGGUGGUUCCACAUCAGCAACACAAACAGUCCAAAUCAUAGUAGUGCGAGGAAGGCAAGCAGAUAAACUAACACAAUACAAAUUUCAUGCAGACCCAGAUGACCUUGUGGCUGUCCUAAAUGUGCUGUUUGUGAACAAGAUAGCCCAUCUACUGCUGUAUUAUCGUUUUACCUCCAUUCUGACAUUAAUGAACAAAUCUUUGAGUUUUUGACGCCAUGGGAUAGAUGGUGUAGGAGUCCCAAAAAUUGAAGUGGUGGACAUCAACGCCAAUUUCCCAACUUAGAAACGUAUAAACUCACAAGAUGGUGCAACCAUCAAGUCACAAGACUGAAACGGCAACAAAGAAUAUGGAAUGCUCCAAACCUCCAAAGCGAAGUGGCAAUAAAGAAUACGGAAUGCUCCAAACCCCCAAAGCAUGUGUUAUCGAUGGAUAAUGAUUUUGAAGUUCGAUCCUUUGCCAAUAUGGAUUUAUCGAUGGAUAGUAAUUUUACACAUUCUGAAUUUAUUGACCCUUUUUUUUAAUGAUUUCUUCCUUACUUGAUCCUUGACAAUAUUGUAAAUGUGAAAAUAUUUUGUACAUACAUAAUUUUUACACAAUCGGACAUCUAUUUUGCGUUCAAACCACAACCAUCAACAAAAACAAAAAUAAGAAAAAUUACCAUCGAUAUACAUCAAGAAUAUAAGUACGACGGGAGCAGCUUCAACUUCAGUCCUUGCUGUGCAUUGAAGGAUGUCCUCACAAGGUUAGUAUAAUGGUGUUUUAAUAUUACAUGAACGUAUUAAGUCUAAUAAGAGCAACCAUGGCUUCAAGAGGAGUUCUUUCGUAAUAAUUUUAAAACAGCAGUGGCACACGGGUAUGCAAUUUGGUAGUAUUAUUGUUGUAAUAUAAAUAAACAAUGCAAAAUGAAUGUGGUGUGUGCGUGCUCUUUUUGGUAAGAUUUAUGUUUCGCUUUAUCCAUUUUAAGAAGUAAGGGUUUAAUUUCUUUUGUUUGUUGCUAUUUUUGUGUUCCAAGGACAAGAUAUGUUAGGAAUUGUUGCACAUAGUCCAGGGGGAUCACUAAGGGGCGGCCGCUAAUAUUUCUGCAAUGCAGACACUGAGGUGGUUUUUUUUUGUUUUGUUUUUGUUUCUUUUUAAGUGUCAUUUAAAUUUCCUUAUUUAUUUUAUGUCAGUUUCUUUUAAUUACGUUUCUCUCUAUCUCUCUAAACUUUUUUGUCCUUCUUUUUCAGUGAACCAAUGGGUGGCUCCACAUCAGCACCAAGAACGAUCAAAAUCAAAGUAGAAUUGCGGGGAAGGUUGACAAAUAAAAAGAGUCAAUACAAAUUUCAUGUCGACCCAAUUAAUAAGGUGUUUGUCCUGAGGUUACUUUAAAUGAACAAGAAGGCCCAGCUACCGCAUGGUUAGUUAUUUUCCACCAUUACGGCAGAAGUGAAUGAAGGUAAAAGUUUCCUAGACCAGAGGAUGGUAGGGGUGGGAGUCCCAAAACUGUACAUGCUGGACUGUCUCCAAUUUCUCUUGACAUUAAUUCAUAAUUGCAAAUACUAUUCGACAUCAGACUCAAAACAAUGAACGAAUCUUUGAAUUUCCGAUGCCACGGGAUAGAUGGUGUGGGAGUCCCAAAAAUUGAAGUGGUGGACAUCACCGCCAAUUUCCCAACAUAGAAACGUAUAAAUUCACAAGACAAUGCAGGGCCAUCAAGUCACAAGACUAAGGUGGCAACAAAGAAUGCGAAAUGCUCCAAACCCCAAAGCAUGUGUUAUCGAUGGAUAGUGAUUUUGUAGUUUGAUCAUUUGCCAACAUGGAUUUAUCGAUGGAUAGUAAUUUUACACCUCCUAAAUUUAUUGAACUUUUUUUUUAAUGAUUUCUACCUUACACGAUCCUUGACGAUAUUCUAAAUGUGGAAAUAUUUUGUAUAUACAUAAAUUUUUACACAAUUGGACAUCUAUUUUGUGUUCAACCCACAACCAUCAACAAAAACAAAAAUAAGGAAAAUUACCAUCGAUAUACAUCAAGAAUAUGAGUACGACCGGAGUAGCUUCAACUUUAGUCCUUGAUUUGCAUUGAAGGAUGUCCUCAUAAGAUUAGUACAAUGGUGUUUUAAUAUUACAUGAACGUAUUAAGUCUAACACGAGAAACCGUGGCAUCAAGAAGAGUUCUUUCAUAAUAAUUCUGCAGCAGCAGUGGCACAGGGGUAUGCAAUUUGGUAGUAUUAUUGUUGAUAAUAUAAAUAAACAAUGCAAAAUGGCUUGCAUAUUGGUGUGUGUGCACUCUUUUUGGUAAGAUUUAUGUUUCUCUUUAUCCAUUUUAAGAAGUAAGGGUUUAAUUUCUUUUGUUUGUUGUUGUUUUUGUGUUCUAGGUACAAGAUAUAUCAGGAGUUGUUGUACAUAGUCCAGGGGGAUCACCAAGGGGCGACCGCUAAUAUUUCUACAAUGCAGACACUGAAGUGGUUGUUUUUUGUUCUUUUUUCUUUUUAAGUGUCGUUUAAAUUUCCUAAUUUAUUUUAUGUCAGUUGCUGUUAAUUACAUUUCUCUUUGUCUCUCUAAACUUUUUUGUCCUUCUUUUUCAGUGAAUCAGUAGGUGGCUCCACAUCAGCACCAAAAAAUGAUCGAAAUCAAAGUAGAAUUGCAGGAAAUGUUGACAAAUAAAAUGAGUCAGUACAAAUUUCGCGACCCAACUGAUAAGGCGUUUGCCCUGAGGGUACUUCUAAUGAACAAGAAGGUCUAGCUACCGCAGGGUUAUUUCUUUUCCACCGAUAUGGCAGUAGUGAAUGAAGAUAAAAGUUUCCUAGACUAGGUGAUGGUAGGUGCGGGAGUCCCGAAACUGUACGUGUUGUCUCUAAUUUCUCUUGACAUUAAUUCAUAUGGGAAUAAUUAUUGCAAAUACUAUUCGACAUCAGACCCAAAACAAUGAACGAAUCUUUGAGUUUCCAACACCAUGGGAUAGAUGGUGUGGGAGUCUCGAAAAUUGAAGUGUUGGACAUCACUGCCAAUUUCCCAACUUAUAAACGUAUAAAUUCAUAUGACGAUGCAGGAUCAUCAAGUCAAAAGACUGAAACGGUAACAAAGAAUAUGGAAUGCUCCAAACCACAAAGCAUAUGCUAUUGAUGGAUAGUGAUUUUGAAGUUUGAUCCUUUGCCAACAUGUAUUUAUCGAUGAAUAGUAAUUUUACACCUCCUGAAUUUAUUGACAUUUUUUUUUAAUGAUUUCUGCCUUACAUGAUACUUGACGAUAUUCUAAAUGUGGAAAUAUCGAUGGAUGGUGAUUUUGAAGUUUGAUCCUUUAUCGAUAUGGAUUUAUCGAUGGAUGGUAAUUUUACACCUCGUGAAUUAAUUGUUCCUUUUUUUUUUUGUCAAACAAUAAAUUUUGGUAGAUUAAAUGUUAAAUUAGUCAUCGACAUUGAAGUAUACAAAAUGUAUCUUCAAUUUGUUGCGUUUUUGUUUCUCUUGAUCACUUGAAGUGUGUAUAUGUUAAUGUUAACCUUUGAAUUUUGAAAAGCGAUUAUCAACUAUGCGAGUCAUUUUGCAUAUUGGUGUGUGCGUGUGAGCGCAACUCUUUAUGUUUCCUUGCGGUAGGUUGGCAUGCAUUGUGCACAAAUAUUUAUGUCAUUGUUCAAAUUCUAGCGUGCAAGUUGCAUUUAAAUUUUAUGUUGAUAAAAAUCUUUCCAAUUUUCUUAUUUAUUUUAUGUUUCCGUCUUAGUCUCUCUAACUUUUUUGUCUUUCUUUCAGUGAACCUCCAAAGCAUGUCGAUGCACUCGAUAAUUAUUCAGGAUCAUGUAGGUGUGAAUGCAUCGAGAAUCAUUAAGUAUCAUGUGGGUGUGGAAGUAUGCAAUAUUAACGUCAGGUUCUCCUCUUUGGAUUCGAUAAUACAAACGUUAUGUUCUCCUUUUUGGAUAUUUUUUCAAUGGGAAACUGUAUGCAGGAUUAUGAUAUGUUCUACCAGUCAACGAAGAGAUGCUCAAUGAGUAAGCUAAUGUUGUGAAGGGCAUACUGGCUGCACUAGCCAGCACCUUUUUGGGUGGUUCCACAUCAGCAACACAAACAGUCCAAAUCAAAGUAGUGUGAGGAAGGUGGGCAGAUAAACUAACACAAUACAAUUUUCAUGCAGACCCAAAUGACCAUGUGGAUGUCCUAAAGGUGAUGUUUGUGAACAAGAUAGCCCAUCUACUAUUGUAUUAUCAUUUUACCUCCAAUCUGACAUUAAUGAACGAAUCUUUGAGUUUUCUACGCCAUGGGAUAGAUGGUGUAGGAGUCCCGAAAAUUGAAGUGAUGGACAUCAUCGCCAAUUUCCCAACUUAGAAACGUAUAAAUUCACAAGACGAUGCAACCAUCAAGUCACAAGACUGAAGCGGCAAGAAAGAAUAUGGAAUGUUACAAACCCCCAAAGCGAAGCGGCAACAAAGAAUACGGGAUGCUCCAAACCCGCAAAACAUGUGUUAUCGAUGGAUAGUGAUUUUGAAGUUUUAUCCUUUGCCAAUAUGGAUUUAUCGAUGGAUAGUAAUUUUACAUUACCUGAAUUUAUUGACCCCUUUUUUUUUAAUGAUUUAUUCCUUACACGAUCCUUGACGAUAUUGUAAAUGUGAAAAUAUUUGGUAUAUACAUAAAUUUUUACACAAUCGGACAUCUAUUUUGCAUUCAACCCACAACCAUUAACAAAAAUAAAAAUAAGAAAAAUUACCAUCGAUAUACAUCAAGAAUAUAAGUACGACGGGAGCAGUUUCAGCUUCAUGGAUGUCCUCACAAGGUUAGUAUAAUGGUGUUGUAAUAUUAUAUGAAUGUAUUAAGUCUAAUAAGAGCAGCAAUGGAGUCAGUACAAAUUUCGCAUUGACCCAUCUGAUAAGGUGUAUGUCCUGAGGGUACUUCUAAUGGACAAGAAGGCCCAACUACCGCAGGGUUAUUUCUUUUUCAUCGAUAUGGCAGUAGUGAAUAAAGAUAAAAAUUUCCUAGACCAGGGGAUGGUGGGUGUGGGAGUCCCAAAACUGUAUGUGUUGAACUCUGUCUCCAAUUUCUGUUGACAUUAAUUCAUAUGGGAAUAAUUAUUGCAAAUACUAUUCGACAUCAAACCCAAAACAAUGAACGAAUCUUUGAGUUUCCGAUGCCAUGGGAUAGAUGGUGAGGGAGUCCCGAAAAUUGAAGUGGUGGACACCACCGCCAAUUUUCCAACUUAGAAACGUAUAAAUUCUUAAGACAAUGCAUGACCACCAAUUUCAAAUGGCAAGUAUACCCCCCACACGUUAUUAUGUCUUUGAUAAUUAUUAUGUCACAUUAAAUACUAUAUCUUUUUUAGUCAUUUAACAUAUUCAAAACAAUUUAUAUAAAAGUUUACCAGACACUCAGACAUUGCUUCUUUUAUUAAAAGCACGUUUACAAAAAAAAAAUUACCAAAUACUUAACAAUUUUAUUUUACAACUGUUUAUUUUCACAGCACAGUAGAAGUAGUUUUUUUAACAAGCACAGCAAUACCAUACUAGCCUUAAAUGUUCACACUUGCCGCAACAAGAUUGGUAAUUGUGAGCAUUUGGCUCAAUGGUUGAAGUUUUCCAUAAAACCUUACAAUAUUUGGGAGGAUCUCCGAUCCGUCGCACAACUUCGGACAACUCCAUCGUCCUCUGACAAUAUAACCCUGAAAUCGAACCGAACCUUAAAACACUUAAAUUUUGACAUAAUGAUGUGCGGGAAAUAAAAGGUUUGAUUUGAUUAAAUCAGCAUCGGGAGACCCAAUAUUUGAAUUUAAGGGCCGAAUUAAUGUGGGCUGGGAUAAGUUCCCCAUUGGGCUUUUGAAUUUAAGGGCCGAAUUAAUGUGUGCUGGGAUAAGUUGUCCAUUGGGCUUUCGGGUUUAGGUCCGAAUUAAGACGGGCAUAAAAUUUGAUCUUGUUCGGACCUAUGAUCCGAGUAAACAAAAGUAAGUCAAAGGCUCAGAGUUGACACUAAUACACUGUAGACAUUAUUUAAUAAUAUAAUCACUGCGGUGUGGGUUUCCCGUCGGUAACUAACCUAACAUCUAAUCUAACAAAAUAUAUCAUUUAACAAAAAACACUGCGGCGCUGCACUCCUACAGGCACACAAAUUCUACACUAGCAGGCACUUUUUUCUUGAGGUGUUGGAUGGCAUGAUCUCUUGCAUUCGCUUCCUCGUUCUCCAGUAGGUAAUUGAUCUCCAUUCCCGUAGGCCAACACCAUAACCGGACAGGAUUUAUAACAAUCUUCUCCAGUGCAACCGCAUUCUUCACCAAAUACCUGACAUGCUUUACGCAACACCAUUCCCGGUAGGUAUUUCUACCACCUUGAGGCAGUGAUGGGGUUGUUUGGAAACUUUCUCUAGUAUUGCCAUGUCCUCGUUGGAGGUUCCAAAUUCCAACUGCAACAAGGAAAGCAAACAAAACCAGAUUCAAAACAAACCCCGUUGUUCAUUCUUUUGGUUCUUGGAGAAUACAGGUAACAGAGAGAUGAGAGGAUAAGAACGCACAAAAACAUUCAGACAUGUAUCAACUUUUAUAUGGUAACCUAUCAAUAACAAAGGCAUACAAUACAUACAUACCCCCAAAACAAGGCUGCGCAAGUCAGGAGCUGCCUUCAUGAAAGAAGCUAAGCGACCAAGGGACAGACAGUAGUUGUUUUUUUUUUUUUUAGUACGACGACAUAUUUUCACAUUAAGAACAUGGUGAGUUCGGCUAAGCAACUUAACAGGAACAUUUCAUUUUUGUCUCUCACUUAUAAAUAAAGAGGAAUAUCAUCAGACCAUUAUAAUAAAUGGCAACAAAAGAGAACUACUUGACUGAAAAGAGAAAUUAAACCAAAGACUACUACUCCUAAUAACUCACGAAGUUCAACACAAACAUGAAGGCUCCAAAUUACUAAAGGACUUCAAUUAAAAAUUGAAUUGGACAAAAAAGAAGACUACCGUGUUUCUUUUUUUUAAAUAAAACAGAAAAUAGAAAGAAAGAAUGAAUGAAUAAAGAAAAAAAAACCACACAAACAAAAAUGGAAAACGAAAAAAUAAAAUUCAGUAAAGCACAAUUAAGAUUAAGGGGCAAUUUCCAGCAACAGUGCCAACUACUGUCAAGAAGACAAUUUUUUAAAAGAAAAAUGACAUAAACCCAUUGAAUUCAUAGAAUUCAAGAUGAACCAAGGUGGAAAAUAAAAGUGCAGUUAAAUAAAUUCAAUCGUUUUGUAAAAAACAACUCAACAACAGAUUGUAGUCAAAGAAAAAUUAGUACUCUUUCUUCCAGUAAACCAACUUAAGAGAAAUAUACCAUCAAUCAAAGAAUAAUUCAUAAGUGAUCAUCGCUUCUUUCUUACACUGUUCAAUCAACAAACAAUUAGACUUUAGACAGACACAAAUAGAAUAUAAUCAUAGGUAAUAAUUAAUCUACCUCAUCUAUAGGUCCUCUAUUUCGAAAAAGCGGUUCAACAACGGACAAUGCCUUUGCAUGUUCGUGAAGAUGGAACCAGAUAACCGCCUGCCCAAGCCACCACAUGUCCACCUCUCUCCUCUCAACCACCACUUCAUUUCUUAAUUUUAUUUUUGUUACUUUAAUAGUGUCCUAAUUUCUAAAUUAAAAUAAGUUUUCUAAUUUUAGUCCAAAAUAGAAUGCCAUUAAAUUGAUGUGUAUCGGAUAAAAAUGUUAGAUUAUUAAUAGAUACUUGUUAGUGCUUGGAUUGUAAUUUAUGAUUUUUUUAUAUUGAUUUGAUCAUGUGAUGGUUGAUUUCUAUUUCUAUAAUAUAUAUAUAUAUAUAUAUAUAUAUGUUUUGUUUUUGAACAAAAAUACAUAAGUUUUUAGCUCCAUGAUAUGAAUUUUUGUUUUAAUAAUUGAAUGUGUAGAAAUUAAGAACAUGGAACGAUAUAAUACAUGACAAUCAUACUCGAUUAGUUUAAACAAUGUUAUUUCGAAUAGUACAACACCAAUUUUGAUGGGUUCAAUCCGAUUUCGGAUAGUUCAACUUGGGAAGAGAUCCGGGAUCAAAUUUCAAUGGCCCGGAUCACUUGAUCAUGGGCCUUUGAUGGGAGAGAUCUGGACUCUUUCCAUUCAACUCCGAUACUGGGACCACCCAAUGAUAAAAGUCUGGACCCGCCACUGGGUACAUGUAGGAGCUACGAGAAGCUUAGGCAUAUACAAGGCUGGGUAAUCUAGCGGUCGAUAAGUACAACUGGAGUAGGGAAAUGUGGGCCUAUACUCGUAUGGAAUAUGGUAGUGAUCGGGAGGAGGAUGAGGUUGUAAUACCCCGUAUUUAAAAAAAAAAAAAUAUAUAUAUAUAUAUAUAUAUGUAUGUAUGUAUGUAUGUAUGUAUGUAUGUAUGUAUGUGCGAAGUUAUAAUUUUAUUGGGUUCCUUAUGGGUGCGUUUGGUACGCAGACGGAACGGGACGGGACGGGACGGGACGGGACGGAACGGGACGGAACGAAGGUGUAAUUUUUGAAAAAGACAUGGGGUAUAUUUGUCUUAAAAUGGUAAAACAUUGUGUUCCACAUACGUGGAACAAACCCGUUCCAGGGGGGAGGUGGAACGCAAAAACACCCAAAAUCUGUCCCGUGGAACAGCCCGUUCCACCCAUUUUUGGCGCACCAAACGCGGGACGGAACGCCUCGUCCCGUUCUGUCCCGUCCCGUCCCGCGUACCAAACGCACCCAUAUAUACGCUAUGAGUAAAAAAAAUUUAAAAAAAAUUAAAACUCGUAUUUUUAACAUGUAAGUUAGUAGGGAUCCUUUCACUACAAGAAUAUAUCUAACCCUAGCUAGUACUUUUAAACUCAAAUUUCUCCAACUAGAGAGGUUUCUAGUGUUUGCCAUCCUCAUUGUAGUUUUGUAAUUUUGUACAUAACUUAUAUAUGUAUUAGAUUGUUUUAGGCAGGCCCUAAAGUUGUUUUUACUUGCUAAUGGCAAUUAUCAUUGCUAUAGCUGAGCUUCAUGUGGGAUUAUUUGAGUAGUUUUUGCGUAUUUCAUUUUUCUCCAAAGGGUGAGGUGGAAGUUGGUAAUUAAUAGAAGAUAAUAAUUAGGGUGUGGAGGUGGGAAGUCUAUAGCUUAUACGUAUGGCUAAGUGUUGAGUUUGGAGUGAGUUGGCAAGUUGAGUUAAUGUAGUGUGAUGAUUCAUCCCCCAAGUUUGGAGAGGUGUGAGUCUAUAUAGGGUCAUAGACUAUGUAUGUGUAUGUAUUGACAUGCAUGUGGCAAUAUGUUGUUGAUGUUUUAGAGUGCUUACUCACUAGCCUAGGGGAAAUUUCAAUUAUUUGUCUAUAUUCUCUCUUAAAUGCUUCAAUCUAUCAUUCCAAAUGUUCCAAUGAUAUGAGAACAAAUGAGCUUCCAAUGUCAAGGGGGACGUAAAUGGCCAAAUAGCAACAAGAGGUAUGAUUACAUUCUAUAUAAAUGAAGGGGAAGAUCAGAAGAACGCCAAGCCAGCAAAGAAGAAAUCCUCCUUUUCUCAUAUCCCUCCUUCUUUAGCAUCCAAUUUGAGUAGAUUAUGUAAUGGCUUUUCAAGCUACUUUCAUUGUAUUUUGUAAAUCUCAUUUUUAGUGAAUUACAAAUAUAAACACGAGUCUAGUGGACGUAGCCAAAUUGGCAAACCACUUAAAUCCGGUGUGUGACUCUGUUAUUACAAGACUAUACUCUCUUCUUCUUUACUCUCCUAGUAAGAGCUAUGAAAACACCACACCAAUCAAUUAAAAAUUAGUUUGUUGUGCAAGUCUAAUUAACGUGACUACAAAUGAAUGGAAGAAAACAGCAUUAGAAAGCCAAGGAACCAAAAAUGGAUUCUUUUGAUCAUCAUCGCGUCAAGCUCGCCAUUGCCAACCCAAGUCCUCAUAUCUUUAUCAUCAACUCAACCUCACCUCUCACUCAACAACUGCUACGAUUGGCCAUUCACACUCACUAAUGGCAACCACAACGAACGAGACGAUGGAUGACGUUGUGGCUAUGCUCUCAUGAGAGUCACUCCAUGUGCCUCAUCCAUCCCCGCCAACUAUCACCACCCUUGGUUAUGAUUUUUUGACAAACUGAGAUGAUGAGAAAGAGAUGAGGUGUAUUAUGAUGAGUGAAAAGGGAGAGCUGUGAGAGGAGAUGAAAGAAAGGAAAAGAGUACGAAGCAAAAGCAGGAGUGAAAAGGAAGGAGAGAAUGAGUAAGGAGAGCCAGAUGAAAGAAAGUUAUCAAGUGGAGAGAGAGAUAGAGAGAGAGAGAGAGAGAGAUGAGAAGAAGUAGAAGGGUGGGCCAAAAUAAAAAUAAAAGAUAUUUAUAUUGUUAUAAAAAUGAUCUUCAAAAGGCUGCACAUAUGAUGUCAGUUUACUAAUUGUUGGGAUACUAUCUUUUAUAAAUUGGUUAGUCGGUGAGUGAGGGAAGAGAGAUGAGAAGAAGUAGAAGGGUGGGCCAAAAUAAAAAUAAAAGAUGAUGUUUGGAAAGGGAAAAGUUAGGGCUGGUUUGGUAUUGCUGUGCUUUGAAAAAAAACUGCUGUGAAAAUAAGCGGCUGUGCUGUGAGAAUAAGCGGCUGUGAAAUAAAGCCAGUAGAGUGUUUGGUAAACUUUUCUGUGAAAGUGCUUUUGGAAAAAAAAGCAGGAUGAUAGUGUGUCUUUUCAUUAAAGGAGCACUGUAGCUCCGUGUGCUUUGAAAAAACUGGCUUUUUUUUCAAAGCAGCAAAUAGCAGCUUCAGCUUUUCCUUUGAUUUUCAGCUUAUUCUCACAGCAGUUUCCAAAAUAAGCCCUUUUUUUUCAGUUUACCAAACACAAAAAUGACCCUCAGCUUUUUUUCACAGUGACUUUUUUUAAAAUCACCUCAAUCCCAAACGGGGCCUUAGAGACAUGAUUUCAUGUCUUGUGGCCUUUGAGACAUGUAUUUCACUUUAACAAUUAUCUUCUUUAACAUAGAUGUUUAUUCCUUUCUAAUAAAAACAGGUUGUCCGACCAAAAUGGACGAGAUGUUGGAAAAAUAUAUAGAGUGGUCAAUGAGCAACACCUUAUAUGAUGGAUCAUAAAUUACUACUUUGUUAUUGAUAUUAUGAUUAUAUUACUUUUGUUACUAAUCAAAUUGGUUUAUGUUGAAGCUUGCAGGUUUGUAAGAUAAAAUGUGAGUAUUAUGCACAUGACGUAUACAUAUGCAUUGCAAAGCAAGAAAAAGAGUUGUGUUGUGUCAAGUGCUCACCUGUGUAGAGUGUUUGCAUUGUGAGGAUAUUCAUGGGUUGAAGUUUACCUUGAAUAUAAAAUAAUGAACCUUGUAUAUGUCAAAUGUAGGGUGCAGGGGCUUGAGUAUACAAUUGGUUGAUUAUUAAAAUAAUGAAAUCUUGUAUAUGUCAGACGUAUGGUGCAGGGCUUGAAUAUACAAUUGGACGUCAGGGGAAGUGCCUGUUUAAUAAAGUGGGGUUUAAGGGAUGAACGGGAGUUAACUCAUAUUCUAACGUAUCCAUAGCCAAGUGGUAUAAGUAUGGUAUGGGACAUGGAGAUUAUUAUAUAGUGUUUGCUUGGCGAAGCUAGGGUUCCUAUCACAGUGUAGUGGGGCCAUGUUUUAUUUUCUGUCAGCAUUCUUCAGAUGGCUUUAGGGGUGAGGAGUGUUGGAAUCUUAACAUUUGGAAACUCAGGAAGGGGUAAAUGCGAAGCUUAACCUUUGGAGAGAAGUGUUGGAAUCUAAAGUCUUCGCCUAAGUCGAUCAAAGACAGAAUAUAUGGAGUGCAAGUUCAGUGCAAAUGGAGGCCAAAAUGAGUUAGGGGUGAGGAUCGGAGAUCAGGAAAUACCAAAGAGCGACCGUUUUCGCUACCUAUGAUCUAUCUUGCAAAAGAACGGAGAAUUAGAUGGAUACCUCAACCAUAGAAUACAAGUUGGAUGCAUGAAGUGGAAGAGUGCAUCCGGCGUGUUGUGUGACCGCCGUAUGCCACUGAAGCUCAAGUGAAAAUUUUAUAGGACGACAAUAAGGUCGGCGAUGCUAUAUGACACAGAAUGUUAGGCGGUGAAGCAUCAACACGUACAUAAAAUGAGUGUAGCGGAGAUGAGGAUACUUCGUUGGAUAUGUGGGCACACGAGAAAUGAUAAGAUUAGGAAUGAGGAUAUCCGAGGUAAAGUAGGAGUAGCCGAAAUUGAAGGAAACAUGAGAGAAAAUCGGUUACGGUGGUUUGGACAUAUGCAAAGAAUGCCUACUGAUGCUCCGGUUCGAAGAUAUGACUAUGGGACAGAGGUUCAGAGCCGAAUGGGUAGAUGAAGACCUAGGAAAACUUUGGAAGAGACCCUAAAAAAAGACUUAGAGUACUUGGAUCGAAUGGAAGACAUGACACAUAACCAAGUACAAUAGCGUUCUAGGAUUCAUAUAGCCGACCCUACUUAGUGGGGAAAAAAUUUGUUGUUGUUGUUGUAUUCUUCAGAUGGCUUUAGUAGCUUAUUCAAAUAAAACCCAGACGUUGGCCAUGGAAAAAUUUUGAGAGAGAGAGAGGGGGAGAUACAACUUUAUUUUAUUAUUUUUUAUUAAGUCGGUAUGAACAGUUUGAAAUCCAAAUCGAAAUUCUUUGCAACCUCGGAAGCAACCCCAGAUUUUGGCCAUGGAAAUAGGACUUGGAUUGUCUGCCCUCCUAGUUGUGGUGUCCUUCCAUGCCCUCCUAUUUUGUACGGUCACGGUUAAGCCACGUCAAUAUUUUAUAUUUUUAUUAUUUUUUGUCUUAUUAUCUUAUUAAAAAAUUAAUAUAAAAUAUUGACGUGGCUUAACCGUGACCGCACAAAAUAGGAGGGCAUGGAAGGGCACCACAACUAGGAGGGCAGACAAUCCAAGUCUAUGGAAAUAUGUUAGAGAGAGAGAGAGAGAGAGAGAGAGAUUUCCUCCUUCAUUGCUUUGCUUCCAGGACUGAAAUUCUCAAUCUUUAUUGCUCCACUUAGAUUCUCAAUCUUUAUUGCUCCACGUGGACACGUAGAUUCUCUAUCUUUAUUGCUCCACUUAGAUUCUCAAUCUUUAUUGCUCCGUCCCAUGGCCAGCUUUAUUUAAAGUUGUUUCUCGCCCUCGCUCUCUCUCUCUCUGAGCAAGUCCAUCCCUAAGGACUUUACGUCUGCAUCCAGCGCAUUUAUCCAUUCAAGUGAACAGUAAUAGACUGGAAUGAACAGAAAUAGGUCAAGGCAUCUCCACCCCUAAAAAAAUACGCUGGCACCCAACAUAUUUAUUUGGUGUGUUUUUUUUUUUUAAUUUUAUUUCGGAUAAGAUUUUUAACCAAUUUCGGAUAAAAUUUCAAAUAAACUUAAAAAAAAUACACACUAAAAUAAAAUUACAUACUCAUCAAAUAAACUUAAAAAAAACACACUAAAAUAAAAUUACAUAAACUCAUCAAAUAAACUAUAAAAAAAACACACUAAAAUGAAAUUACAUAAACUCAUCAAAUACACUUUAUUCUUCAACCACAAACUUUAUUAUUUAUAGAAAAAAAUAACUUUUUUUUUAAUUUUCUGUAUUUUUUUUUAAAUUUUUGUAUUUUUUAAUAUUUUUUUGUAUUUUUUUAUAAUUUUUAAUAAAUUUUAAUAUAGUUAAUUAAUAUGGACCGUUGGAUUUGAAAAAUAUUCAAAUCCAAGAGCCAAGGAGUUGCCACGUGGCCACUUGCCCAGCUUCUUGGUCAGUCAGUUUUGAGCUAGCCCAGAGACCAGCAUAGGCUGGGCCCCAUGCUGUUGUGCGGGCUGGAGGUAAUGGACAGAGUGCUGGGCAGUUUUUUGGACUGAGUGCUGGGCAAUGUCCACUCCGGUGGACUUGCUCUCAGAGGCAGAUGGUCUGCCCUUCCGUACCGUGCCAUUUCCUUCUCCUAUUUGUACGAUCACAAUUAAGCUACAUUAAUAUUUUAUAUUUUUAUUACUUUUUGUCUUAUUAUCUCUAUUAAAAAAUUAAUAUAAAAUGUUAACGUAACUUAACCGUGGCCGUACAAAUAGGAAAGAAAGAGAAGGGCACGAUAACUAGAGGGCAGACAAUCUGCCUCCCUCUCUCUCUCCCUCUCUCUAAUAUUUUUCCAUGGCCAACGUCUGAUUUUAUUCGAAUAACCUUUUGACAAUCAAUAUGUAAUAUAACAUCAAGUUUAUUUUAAAUUUCAAUCUUAUUAAAUGAUUUAAGUUAAAAACAAUCAAUAUGUAAUCUAACAUCAAGUUUAUUUUAAAUAUUAAUUACAAUCAAUAUGUAAUAUAACAUCAAGUUUAUUUUAAAUUUCAAUCUUAUUAAAUGAUUUAAGUUAAAAACAAUCAAUAUGUAAUCUAACAUCAAGUUUAUUUUAAAUAUUAAUCUUAUUAAAUGAUUUAAGUUAAAAAACUCAUUUAUGCAAAAACUUGGCAAAAUUUUAUUUAAACUCAUGUAACUUAUUUCUACACCCAACUUACUCUUUACACAUAUUGAUUUUUAACUAAACUAUUAAUAUUUCUUUAAACCCAAAUUUAUUACCUAUUAAACCCUCGUAAAGAAGCAUUGAAUUGGAGCAGGAGCUGCGUAGGGACGACUCCUUCGAUCAAUCGAUUUCAACAUGCUUCUAAUGUUAAUUGAAACGCUUUCUUUCUUUCUUUCUUUUUCUUUUUUUGGUUGAGCGAGUGAUAGUCUGAAGCAUUAUUCUUAGGGUCUCUGCCUUGACACGCCAACCAGAACGCACAGAUAGAAUUAACAAAAAGACAAAUGGGCUCAUGAGAAAGAGGAAGGAGAUGAGUGAGCUUUUUUUGGUAUUUUUCUACAGGGGACUGGGACGGCUUUUGAGCUCAUCGACACCCCCAGCAACUUUGGGUCCGAGAUGAAAUUAAAAUGUUGUUGUAACUCGUGGAAGGAUUCAACAUAGAAAUCUGAGGGGUGUGUGUAAUCCACAUCAAUAGUCUGAAAGGGGGAACUAGAAAAAAGGAUUGUGGGACAAGAAGUUAGAAUUGAACCGAAGGUUCCAAUCCCUUUUUAACUUUCGUGUUUAUUUUCCAUCUUGUUUCUGGCUGCAACUUCCCUCACCAAAAACAAUUACAUUUCUUGUCUGUUCAACUGUACCCCUCGAAACUCCAAAGCAUAAUCCUGAUCACUGAUCCCCGCCAUUAACAUAUAUCAAAUGGAACUAUAUAUAUGUACACGCAUGUGUGAGCAGUUGGUUGCAUGUAAUCGAAGAAACAUUAAUCAAGUUUAUUGAUAUUUCCCCAAUCUUGUAAAUUAUUGGUUGUUUUUCUUAAUAGAAAGUGCUGCCAUCUACAUUUUUUUGUUAAUAUGCCAUCUACACAAUAAAUGUUUGGGUUUAUUGAUAAAUAUGAGUUUUAUUAUUAAUUUCAUUGUGUACUUAAUAGUAAUUAUGCAAUAGUGUGAAAUAGACAAUUAACAUUUAAAAUUUAAAUUGGAUGUAGAAAUAGGUUAAAUGAGUUUAAAUAAAAUUUCCCAAAAACUUGGCAUCCAUCUAAUACUUAUUGGUGACAUAUUCCUUGUCCUUGGUCAUGGAAAAACGUUAGAGAGAGAGAGGGGGGGGAGGAUUUUGUUUGGGUUUUUGGCAUGGCGGUUGACAUUAAUUCAUAUGGGAAUAAUAAUUACAAAUACUAAUUGACUUCAGACCCAGAACUAAUUGGGAUGUAAAGUAAUCUUUGUUCAACCUUUUGAGUUUUUACUAGAAUAACAGUCUUUCUACUUGCACUGCCCUUUGCUUUGAUAUCUGCAAGUACUGCAAACUGGUUUGAGUUGCCUUACAUCUUGGAGUUAGUUUCUUUUUUUCUCUUAACUUCUUGUGAUAAUUACGCUUUGUGUUCGCGCCUAAUGAAGUCGAAUUUAAAUUAUAAACUAGUUGCAGACAAGAAAUUAUUCUCUCUCUGCAAAUUAAAAAUCAAAUCAAGUUGAGUUCAAGAGAGCAGCUCUCCAUUAUUUGGUCACCAAAUUUACAAAUCAUCAAAAGUAAAAUUACUGGAAAAAUGGAUUCAUUCAGUUCAAUCAUAAUUUUACAUGAUCAUCCAGAACAAAACACCAUAGACAAUUAAAGAAACACUAAAAUUAAUAAGAGGAGAAAUUAAAAGCCGGAGAAAAUCGUCUUACAAAUCUUCAUUCCAUACCAAGUUCUGCAGCCACUAAAAUUAAUAGUUAUUCAAGUAGCUGCUUCCGAAUAAGCACUGCGGAGCUGCACUCCUACCGGCACACAAAUUCUACACUGGCGGGCACUUUUUUCUUGAGGUGUUGGAUAGCAUGAUCUCUGGCAUUCUCUUCUUCAUUCUCCAGUAGGCAAUUGAUCUCGAUUCCCGUAGGCUGACACCAAAACCGGACAGGAUUUAUAACAAUCUUCUCUAGUGCAACAACAUUCUUCACCCAAGUACCUGCCAUGCUUUACGCAACACUUGUGACCUCGAUACCCUGCUAUUUCUACCACCUUGAGGCAGUGAUGGGGUUGUUUGGAAACUUUCUCUAGUAUUGCCAUGUCCUCAUUGGAGGUUCCGAAACCCAACUGCAACAUGGAAAGCAAACACAACCAGAUUCAAAACAAACCCCGUUAUUAAUUCUUUUGGCUCUUCGAGAAUACAGGUAACAGAGAGAUCGUGAGAGGACAUUGAUGCAUAUAUCAAGUUUAACUUUGGUAACCUAUCAAUAACAAAGGCGUACAAUACAUACAUACCCCCAAAACAAGGCUGCGCAAGUCAGGAGCUGCCUUCAUGAAAGAAGCUAAGCGACCAAGGGACAGACAGUAGUUGGCAUCCACUAAUAAUUCCAAAUGCUUUAGAUUUGAUAACGCGGGAAACGCAUAAUUCUGAUUGUAGACCUGAAAGCCAACAACAACUGAGUAAGGGACGCGACAAUAGUUGAUCUCAACCAAAUAACAUGGGAUAAGUAUGCUAACCGCUCCCCUGAUAUCCAGCUUCAGGGUCUCUAAAUGAGAAAGACGGCAUGAGAGUUGACUGAACGCAAGCCUUAUGAAUUCAGCAAAAGUGCCCCACUUGUAAAUGGAUACCUCAACCAGCAGAGGCACAUUAUUGAAACUCAAAUCUAUUAUUGGUCCAACAUCAAGAAGAAGAAAUUAGACUAGAUGUUAAUGGAUUUAUCAUAUUGAUGGAAAUAACAGCUCCUGCAUAAUGCCGAUGCUUGUCGCAAUAGAAAAAUGCAAAUUACUGUACUAACAAAAUAACUGUCCAUGUAUACUAGCUCUAAUAAUCUUCGUAGUUGCUACAACUUGGUACCACCAAGUGAACCAAAAUCACAAGAAAUAGAAUUCAGUACUUGACUUGCAAGAUUACUCUCAGCACCAUCCUUAGAAACCUCGGGAAACUAAACUCAUCAUUCAAACUGUUACCAACUUUGAUGGAAAGCCCAGAACUAUAACCUCACUAAAUUAUAUGAACUUGAAAAUCAUCUGUUGCCCCCUUUAAUGGAAAGUCAAAUAUAAUUAUACAACAGGGUCAACAGAGACCAUAUCUAGCUUAAGGUUCAACUCUGCCUGCUUCUGCAUGGCUAUGGUUCUAUAAUUAUUCUAACUUGUAGUUCCACGUCAAAAAACCUCUAACCCUCUCUCGACAAAGCUUUUUCCUCCUAACUAAGAAGUAUACUUUAGACAUCAAAGAAGGAAUGAGUAUAUACAACAAAAAUGAUAAAAUCUAACCCCAAGAAGUAAACAGAAGUCAUUUCAAGACUAGUCAGCUUAAAUUAAUCUCAAUAUGUUGAUAGAAAAACAAUGAGUACCCAAGGCACCAAAAAAAUCUACCACUACUCCACCCAAAAGCACUUAAGUACAGACAAAGAAAGAACCCACCACGCCUCCUCAAAUAUAUGCGAGCAGUGGAAGACUAUAUAUCUCUGCGUAUUUUGAAUGGAAAAAAAAAAGAGAAAAUUUAAGAUACCUUGACAUCAUAAAGCACAUCAAGCAACCUCUUAGGGUCUGAACAACCUUCCCGAUUCGCAAGUCCGAUAUUAUGAAAAGUCUAAUAAGAAGAUCCAUAGUAAGCAAAUAUACAUUACAAAAAUACAAACUUAACUCAUUUCAGAAAUUGGGUUUUCAAAAAGAAAAAAGAAAAAAGCUUCAUCUUUUCAUAUAAAAUUAAAGAAAAAGAAAGAGAAUUACUUUGGGAUCGUUUGGCUUCCUCUUGAGGCACUCAGACAAGGCGGUAAGGCGCUGAUCGAACUUGCCCGGCUGGAACUGCAGCAACGCAACCUGCGCAAAAGCUCGGGUCACGGACAUGACGGCUUCGUCCUCAGCAGCUGAAGCAGAAGCGUCCCGAUUCGCAAGCGUCGAUGACGAAGACGGAGCCAUUGGCGAAUCGAUCGCUCAGAGCCCAGGAACCAAUAAGACUUAUCUGAAUACACGAAUCCCCCAGAAAAAAUUAUCGAAAACGGCGAACCCUAAUGGGUAGAAGGUGCGUUUUGGGAAUUGAUUUGAAAUCAGAGUUGGGGGCUUUCGAAACCCUAAGAGCUUUGCAGAGAAGGACACCCGUUAGAGCGUCUUUUCUCGAAUGUGGCACUGGAUAUGGGGAUUGGGAACCUAUUUUCGCGCCAUAACGCGGGAAAGGGUGGCGGGUUUAUUAACUUGGGGCCUGUUGGGCUACAGGCCCAAAUAAACUGAAACCCAGAUGUGAUAAGUUGGGCUGUAGGGGAUUCAAUUGCCCAAUUGGCUAGGCAAUAGGGUAGGGGGUGGAUUCGCUCUUACCCCACUAGAUCGCCUCUCUGCUCUUACCCCACCCGACCCCUUCUCUCUCUCGAUAUAUAUAUAUAUAAGCAGCUAAAUGAAAUACAAGGACGAAACCCCUAGCUUCGAGAGUGACCGCCGUUUGAACCGUUGAGAUGGAUGCCUUCUGUAACAAUGGCGAAUUUCCAAUUGAUCCAAUUGAAGGGUAAAUCUGUUGUUAGGAAAUUUUCUGUGUUUGAUGUGGACAAUUAAAGAAACAGUAAAAUUAAUAAGAGGAGAAAUUAAAAGUCGGUGAAAAUCGUCUUACAAAUCUUCAUUCCAUACCAAAUAGUUAUUCAAGUAGUUGAUUCCGAACAAGGUCUAAAAUAUCGAUAUUAUCCCGAUAUUUUCAUCGAAAUUUUCGUGUUUUGGACUACUGAUAUUUCCGAUAUCAUCGAUAUUUUAGACCUUGAUUGGAACUCUAUGUGAUACUAAGUCACUCAUGUAUCUUACCAUACAAUGUAUAAAGUGUAAAAUAUUGUACUAAUUCAUUAUAUAUAAAUGAUUACGGUGUGUUUAAACUUCUUUCAUUAAUUACUACAUAUUUUCUACACUCACAAUGUUUGCCAGCUCGUUAUAUAAUCAACUUAAAUCAGUUAAAUCCAUCAUGCAAUGUAUUUCCUUCCAAUUUUUUGUGAUAAACUAAUAGAUAAUUGAUUAAAUAAACAUCCUGCAAAGUUUUUGGAUUACCGAUAUUUCGAUCGAAAUUUCCGUGCUUUUGGACUAUCGAUAUUUCCGAUUUCAUCAACAUUUUAAACCUUGAUUCCGAAGAAGCACUGCGGCACUGAGAGAAAAAAAUAUAAAAGAAUAGAGAGAAAAAGAGGUAGAAAAGAACAGACACAAAAAACGUAGGCUUUAGUUCUCAAAAAAAAAAAAAAACGUUGGCUUUUUGUUUGAACAUGCAAGAAAAAUGAUUAUGGUUGAGCUUGGAAAUCUCCUGGUCGCCAGGAAGGAACCAUCACUAGGGUGUUACUUUGGACUGAUAAUCAUUCGGGGCGGCGUGUACCAGAUUCCUUGUUUGUGAUACGUUCGUUCUUUUCUACUUUUUUUUUCUCUCAGUCCUUUUCUACCAGAUUCCUUCGGAAGCAGCUACUUGAAUAAUUAUUAAUUUUAAUGUCGGUAGAACUAUUAAUUUUAGUGGCGGUAGAACUUGGUAUGGAAUGAAGAUUUGUAAGACGAUUUUCACCCGCUUUUAGUUUCUCCUCUUAUUAAUGUCAGUUUCUCAUGUUUUGUUGGAAUUUUCCCUAAAUUAUGCAAGUAGGUAAAUUAAUAUAAUAGUAGGUAAAUUAUGCAAGUAAGUAAAUUUCAAUAAUAGUAGGUAAAUUAUGUACGUGAUUUACCUACAUUUGUUUAUUUGAAUUAAAUAUCUAGACUGUAUAUGUAAAUAAUUUACCUAUAGUUGGUUCUUUUAUUUUUCUUUGUUCUAAAAUUAAUUUACUUGCAAUUUUUAUCUCCUUUCAACAAUUUUUUUAUAUAUAUUUUAAAGUACAAUAAUUUACUUAUAUAUAAUAUGGACACGUUGUAAUGGUGAAUUGAAAUUCGAGAGCCAAACUAACCAACAAAUCCUUACAUUUAUAUGCAAAAUAUUAUUUUUGUAAAAUCAUUAAUUUCCCCUUGCAAUUUGCAUAUAAUUAAUUGUGUACAUUAAACAUUCAAUAAGGGUGUUUUAGGCAUCCGAAAAAUUUUAAAUGGGUAAAGUCAAACAUAAUUAAUGAAUUUGCUUAUGUUGAGUCUAGUUAAUGGGUUUUAUUCAAGCAAAAAAAUUUACGUCAGGUUUUAUGUAGAAAAAAAUUAAGUUCCAAAGGCUAAGGUCAUAUUUUCAGUAAUUUAAAUUCGACUUCAUUAUGCGCAAACACAAAGUGUAAUUACCAUAAGAAGUUAACAAAUGAGCAUAUUUUGGAGAAAGAAAGCAAAACUAACUCCAAGAUGUAAGGCAGCUCAAACCAGUUUGCAGUACUUGCAGAUAUCAAAGCAGGGGCCGUACAAGUAAAAAGAUUGUUAUUCUAGUAAAAACUCAAAAGGUUGAACAAAGAUUUAUUUGCAUCUACUUUGAUUCCAAUUAAUUUUAGGUAUGUUGUCGAACAGUAUUUGCAAUAAUUAUUCCCAUAUGAAUGCCAAAAAUCCAAACACAAAACUCUCCCUCUCUCUCUCCCUCAAUUGGAAUUUUGUGUAUCGAGUGUUUGGAGCUCCUUGGAAUUUUGUGUACUCGAGUGUUUGGAGCUCCCGAGUGUUUUUUGUGUACUCCGAAGUUCAUUGACAUGACUAAUAAAAUAAUAUAAUUUCCCUUUCAUAUAGUAUUUGCAGCAAUAUUUAUUCCACAUGAAUUAAUGUCAACCACCAUGCCAAAAACUCGCGAACUCGAGUGUUUUUUCUGUACUCCGAAGAUCGUUGACGUGACUAAUAAAAUAAUAUAAUUUCCUUUUCAUAUGGUAUUUGCACUUUUGUAGGAAUAUUUAUUCCCAUAUGAAUUAAUGCCAACCGCGCCAAAAAGGACUUGGAUUCUCUGCCCCUCCUAAUUCGGUGCCCUUUUCGUGCCCUCCUGUUUGUGUGAUCACGGUUAAGUCACGUUAAUAUUUUAUAUUACUAUUUUUUUUUUAUCUUAUUAUUUUUAUAAAAAAUAAUAUAAAAUAUUAGCAUGGAUUAACCGUGACCGCACAAAACAGGAGGGCACGGAAGGGCAGAGAAUCCAAGUCCCGCCAAAAAACCCAGACACAAUACUCUCCCUCUCUCUCUCUCUCCCCCUCAGUUGGAAUUUUGUGUACUCCGAAGUUCAUUGACCUGACCUGACUAAUAAAAAAAAUAUAAUUUCCUUUUCAUACUCCUGCUUUGGUGACAUUCGAAUAUUUGAUUGGUUAUGAUCCGUUGGACUCGUUAAGAAGCAUGCAGGGGAAAAAACCAGCCAAUUUGUCAAACGGUUAUUCGAAUAAAACCCAGACGUUGGCCAUGGACAAAUGUUAGAGAUAGAGAGAGAGAGAGAGGGAGAGACAACUUUAUUUUAGAAAUAUUUUAGAUGCGGUUCCUAAUCCUUAAUAUUCUUUGAUUAAAAUCUUAUUCAAAGUUUGAUCAAGGUCCUUUGACUUUGUACACCUCAUUAUAUGACUAUUAAUAUUUAUAUUUUUAUAGUUUUGACAUUAAUUGUUUGAUAUUUUAUAAGAUUUAUAAUCCUAUAAAUUUAAAAUCUCUCAUUAUAAUACUAUUAGAAACGGUUACAAUAAAAAAAUUCAAACAUUUUGAUUGAAUAAAUAGAUAAAAACUAUGUAAAAAUAAGAAAUAAUAAAUGACAAAAAAAUGUAUCCAUGGUGUUGGCUUAUGAGGUUGGCAAAAGAAUGUAUCCAUCGUGUUAGCUUCUGAGGUUGGCAAAUGAAUGUAUCCAUAAUGUUGGCAAUCCUUGGACAUUAAUCUGUCCAUGCAACUUAAUAAAAAAUAAUAAAACAAAGUUGUCUCUCCCUCUCUCUCCUCUAACAUUUUUUCCAUGGCAAAAGAAUGUAUCCUUGGACAUUAAUCUGUCCAUGCAACUUAAUAAAAAAUAAUAAAACAAAGUUGUCUCUCCCUUGGACAUUAAUCUGUCCAUGCAACUUAAUAAAAAAUAAUAAAACAAAGUUGUCUCUCCCUCUCUCUCCUCUAACAUUUUUUCCAUGGCAAAAGAAUGUAUCCUUGGACAUUAAUCUGUCCAUGCAACUUAAUAAAAAAUAAUAAAACAAAGUUGUCUCUCCCUCUCUCUCCUCUAACAUUUUUUCCAUGGCCAACAUCUGGGGUUGGCUUCUGAGGUUGCAAAGAAUUUCGAUUUCGUUUUCAAACUGUUCGUGCCAACUUAAUAAAAAAUAAUAAAAUAAAGUUGUCGCUCCCCCUCUCACUCUCUCUCUCUCUCUCUCUCUAUAACAUUUUUCCAUGGCCAACGUCUGGGUUUUAUUCGAAUAAGCUACUAAAACCAUCUGAAGAAUGCUGGCAGAGAAUAAAAUAUGGCCCCACUCCACUGUGAUAGGAAGCCUAGCUUCGCCAAGCAAACACUAUAUAAUCUCCAUGUCCAUUCAAACAAGAUCACCAACUCAUUCGAUAAAUGAAAUAAAAGGGAGAAACCAAGCUUCUAAGAGUGACCACCGUUUGAACCCUGAACCCUUGAGAUGGAUACCUUCAGUAACAAUGGCGAACUUCCCGUUCAUCCAGUUGAUCCAAUUGAUUGGUAAAUCUGUUGUUUGGAGAAUUUUGAUUUUCAUUUGUUUGGUACCGCAUAGGGAAGUUUGAUUGGUUUAAUUUCUUUGGUUAUUGCUGUUUUUGUGUUCCAGGAGGCUGGAGGACCAGUUUCUGGAGCAGUAUUUUCAGGAGUCUUUGUGGCAGCAGGAGGAUGCGCUGUGGCUUCAAGAUGUCCUUUGUAAUAAUUAUUGAAGUUUUAUAUAUUUAUUUCAUGACUAAAAUUGUUACAAGUUGCAGCAUAUAAGGAAGAAGAAACGUGAAGAAGAGAGCAGGGAAGAUGGCAGCUAAGCCAACAUCAUGAUGACAUGCAAUCCCUCUAAAACUUAAUCUAAUAUCCUGCUUUUGCUUUACAGCAUGAAGAGCCGAAAGCAAAGAAUAAAAAACAGUAAGUGAGGGGGGGAACCGAAAGUAACAACACCACUAGACAAAAACUUUCUAAUAUUUUAACCCUACUUUCAAUGAUGACUGAUGACAUCCAAUACUCCCCCUCAAGCUGGAUCCAGUAGGUUGAUGGAUCCAAGCUUGGAGAGGAGCCUUUGAAACUGAUGGGAAGCCAGAGGUUUAGUGAAUAUAUCAGCCAGCUGAUCGAAGCUUUUUACGUAAUGCGUCUGAAUCACCUGCGACUGUACUUGUUCACGGAUAUAGUGACAGUCGACUUCAAUAUGCUUCGUCCUCUCGUGAAAGACGGGGUUUGAUGCUAUGUGCAUGGCAGCCUGGUUGUCACAAAAUAAUGUCAUUGGUUGAGCUGUGAACACUCCUAAGUCACAUAAAAGUCCUUUUAGCCAUAUCAGCUCACACGCGGUUGAGGCCAUUGCACGAUAUUCAGCUUCAGCACUUGAUCUUGCGAUGACAGUUUGUUUCUUGCUCUUCCACGUGACCAAGUUUCCACCAACAAAGGUACAGUAACCCGUGGUGGACUUGCGAUCGAUUGCGUUUCCUGCCCAAUCAGCAUCACAGUACCCCAUGAUUUGAGUGUUGUCAUUCUUUGCCAUGAGGAUGCCACGACCAACAGACCCUUUUAAAGUAACGUAAGAUCCUUUUGACAAGGUUCAGAUGCUCGAUGGUGGGAGAGUGCAUGAACUGACUGGCGAUACUUACUGAAUGUGAGAUGUCUGGUCUGGUGAUCGUUAGGUAGAUCAGCUUGCCGACAAGCCUCUGAUAUAAGCUGAUAUCCGAGAAUGACGUGCCUCCCAAGUCAAGCUUGAGCUUGCUAUCAAGAGGGGUAAGUGCAGGCUUAGCAUCACUCAUAUUAGCAUCUUUAAGUAGGUCCAUGACGUAUUUUCGUUGAUUAAGAAAUAGUCCCUUGUAAGAAGAUGCCAUUUCGAUUCCAAGGAAAUACUUCAACACCCCAAGAUCUUUGACUGCAAAUUUUUGUUGAAGUGACUGUUUGAGUGUGGUGAUUUCAGCAGCAUUAUCACCUGUAAUUAUUAAGUCAUCCACAUAUAUUAACACAACUAAUUUGCUCGCAGCUCUUGUGCGAAACAAAUAAUGAUGAAUCUGCAUUACUCCUUUUGAAACCAAUGCUAUGAAGAACGGUACUUAGUUUUGCAUACCAAGCACGUGGCGAUUGCUUCAAUCCAUAAAUUGACUUAUGUAACUUACACACCAAAUUAGGCUCUUGGCUUUGAGGGUGUCCUGGUGGCAAUCUCAUAUAGACUUCUUCUUCAAGAUCACCAUGUAGAAAGGCGUUCUUCACGUCCAUUUGGUACAUAGACCAACCUUUAUUGACCGCAACAGACAAUAGAACCCUUACUGAGUUCAUUUUUUGCAACAGGAGCAAAUGUUUCCUUGUAAUCCACCUCAAAUGUUUGAGUGAAUCCUCGAGCCACCAGCCUGGCUUUAUGCCUCUCAAUCGAACCAUCAGAAUUAAACUUGAUCUUAUAGAUCCACUUGCAGCCCACUGCCUUUUUUCCUUGUGGAAGUUUGGUGAUGCUCCAGGUUUUUGUGUUGGUCUAGUGCUUUGAGUUCAUCUCUCAUUGCUUCUUUCCACACAACUUGGUUAUUAGCCUUAUAAAAGUUUUGAGGCUCACUGUGACUUGAAAUAUUGUUAAGAAAGGCAGCAUGAGAUGGAGUUACCUUUUGAUACGACACGCAAUUUGAAAUUGGAUGCCUCGGUUUAUAUGUGACAAAAUCUUGAAACCUUGUGGGAGGUUGUCUAUCACGCCGAGGAUUGCGUCGAGGUUCUGGGAGGUUUAUCUCAUCCUCGUUCAAAUUUUUCAUCCACACCUUGAGGAUUUUCUUGGUUGCCGUUGUCAUCAUCAUGCACAGAACUAUCAGGAUGAGUACCUUCAUUAUUGACUUCAAUGAGAGGUGUAGAAGAUUCAUCAAUGUGGUCAUGGUUAGCACCUCUGUCAUUUAAAACAUCUUGAGUACAGAUUCUUGGUAGAGGAAUUAGGUCUAAGAUGCACUCCCCCUGACUUGUGGCUUCAUGUGAUUUGCUGAAAAAAGGGUUAGCUUCAUGAAAUCGAACAUCUUUAGAUACAAUUAUUUUUCUUAGUUGAGGAUCAUAGCACUUAUAUCCUUUUUGUGUUGAUGAAUAACCAAGAAAAAUACAUUUGAGAGCUCUAGGGUCCAAUUUAUCUCGAUGGUGUGACUGUAUAUGAACAAAACAGACACAACCAAAGACUCUAAGAUGUGAAAGGUCGAUUUUUCUUCCUUUCAUGACUUCAAGUGGAGAUUUAAACCCCAAGACUCGGCUAGGAAGUCUAUUGAUGAUGUACACAGCCGCCAUGACUCCUUGUGACCAAAAUCUCUUUGGUACGUUCAUUUGUAACAUUAAUGCUCUCGUUUUUUCCAGUAUGUCACGAUUUUUUCUUUCAGCUACACCAUUUUGUUGAGGUGUGCCGACACAACUUGUUUGAUGCAUGAUACCGUGCUUGCUCAAAUAUAAUGACAUGAUAUGGGACAUAUAUUCGGUGCCAUUAUCAGAUCUUAAGGUUUGAAUUUGAGAGGAAAAAUGAUUCUUAACAAGAUUGUGAAAAUCCUUAAAAACUUCAAUCACUUCACUCUUAGACUUUAAAAGGUAUAACCAGGUGGCUCUAGAGAAAUCAUCAACAAACGUUACAUAAUACUUAUAACCAUCAAAAGAUUCAAACGUUGGUCCCCAUACAUCUGAGUGAACUAGUUCGAAAACUUUACUAGUCCUAGAUAAGGAUGAGGUAAAAGGGUAAUCUGGUGGCUUUAGACAAAUGACAUGUUUUCACACAAAAUUAAAUCAUUUCCUAAGUUUGGAAACAAGGAUGACAAAACAGGUUGGGCAGGAUGAGCUAAACGUUGAUGCCACAAGUGACUAUCUUGGGAUGGACUGGACUUGGCUUGAAAUCCUCUGGGACUGCUUUUUGAUAUGUAAUAGAGGCCAUCAAGGUAAAACCCUUCACCAAUCGUCUUCUUGGUGAGGCAAUCCUGAAAAAUGACAUUGUGAGGGGAGAAAAUGGCUAAACAAUUUAAGGUAUUAGUGAUUUUUCCCACAGAUAGAAGUUGAAAUGGAAAAGAAGGAACAAAUAAGGCUACUGACUCAAUUUUGUCCGACAUUAAGUUGAUAUUUCCCUUCCCUAAAACCUUAGAACUCUCACCAUUGGCAGUUGAGACUUGAGAAGGUUUUGAAAAAUUUUCAAACUUGUGAAACUUAGAAACAUGGUUGGUCAUAUGAUCUGUGGCACCCGAAUCAACAAUCCACAAAUCAUGCAUCAUAUUUACAUUAAGAGCAGUUUUGAAAGCAGUCAUGAUACCUUGCAUGUCAUCUCGGGUCAUGUGUUGUGUGUCUGUCAGAAAUCCAGCGAACUUGCCUAGCAAAGCUAUUGAAUUUCCAUCUUCAAAGCCAACCUCUUUUCUUGCUUUGAAGAUACACUGCAAACUCAUUUAUGAGUGCAGCUGGAUUUGCAGUGAAAUUCUUGAGUGCAUCAGAACCAUGAGAUGUUGAGGCAGUUGCAUUGUUGGCUCUGUGUGGUGCACGGUUCAGUCUUUGUGAGCCCUUGUUAUCCUUCAUGAACUCUGGCUUUAAUUCUGGAUGUAAAAUCCAGCAUGUCUCCUUAACGUGACCAGUAUAGUUGCAGUGUUGACACUUUAAGUGUGGAUUCUUCACUUUGUAUUUUCUUUCGUUGGCUAGAUAAGCCCUUGCUUCAGUUACACCGGUCUUUGUGCCAAUGUUCAUGACUUUCCUUCGUACUUCUUCACGUUGGAUUGUUGCACAUACGCUGGUGAAGGAAGGUAGAUCGGGGUUCAUGAGUAUGUGGCUUCGUAGGUCUUCGUAUCCUGAAUCGAGGCUUGACAAGAGUUGGAAUAUCUUGUCUUCUUCUGCCCUUUUUAGUAGCAAAGACGCCUCAGUUGUAUGAGGCCGAUACAUUUCCAGCUCAUUCCACAUGCUCUUCAUGCUGCCCAGAAGUUGAACAAAGGGCUUUCCUUCUUGUUGUAGGUUGGAAAUGUCCUUCUUCAAUUGAAACACACGUGCAGCAUUGUUCUGGCUGCCAUACAUCUCCUUGACUGUCUCCCAUAGCUUGAAUGAUGAUUCAGAAUAACUGAAUAUUUCAGCUAGUUUACGUUCCAUGGAAUUUAGGAGCCAUGACAUAACUAGCUGAUCCUUGCAAAGCCAGAUUUCAUAAGUUGGUGAGGAAACAUCUGGGACUUCGAUGCUUCCAUUUAUGAACCCUAGCUUGGAUCUUCCACCUAGGGCAAGACUCACUGCUCUCGACCAAGGUAAGUAAUUAAACUCAUUUAACAAGACCGAGCUUAAUCUUUGAUUUGGAUUUACAUCCACCUCAGACACGGUUGAGGAGGAAGGCUGGGGAUUUUUCAUCUCCAAACGAAUAAGAAUGUUCUUCCGCCAUGUCGGAGAUGGAAUACGAUCAGCUAGAAGAAAUGCAGAAGCAGGUUAUUUUUUCCUGCUCUGAUACCAUAUUGAAGUUUUAUAUAUUUAUUUCAUGACUAAAAUUGUUACAAGUUGCAGCAUAUAAGGAAGAAGAAACGUGAAGAAGAGAGCAGGGAAGAUGGCAGCUAAGCCAACAUCAUGAUGACAUGCAAUCCCUCUAAAACUUAAUCUAAUAUCCUGCUUUUGCUUUACAGCAUGAAGAGCCGAAAGCAAAGAAUAAAAAACAGUAAGUGAGGGGGGAACCGAAAGUAACAACACCACUAGACAAAAACUUUCUAAUAUUUUAACCCUACUUUCAAUGAUGACUGAUGACAUCCAAUAAUAAUUCUGCAGCAGUAGUGUCAGAGGGGUAUGCAAUUUAGUAUUAUUGUUGAUAAUAUAAAUAAAUAAUGAAAAAGGACUUGCAUAUUGGUGUGUGCGUGCUCUUUUUGGUAAGAUUUAUGUUUCUCUAUAUCCAUUUUAAGAAGUAAGGGUUUAAUUUCUUUUGUCUGUUUCUGUUUUUUGUGUUUUAGGGACAUAGUCCAGGGGGAUCACCGACAUGCGGCUGCUAAUGUUUCUGCAAUGCAGGCACUGAGAUGGUUGUUUUUUGUUUGUUUGUUUUUGUUUAUCUUUUAAGGGUCGUUUAAAUUUCCUUAUUUAUUUUAUGUCAGAUGUUGUUAAUUACGUUUCCCUCUGUCUCUCUAAACUUCUUUAUCCUUCUUUUUCAGUGAACAAGUGGGUGGCUCCAUGUCAACACCAAAAAUGAUCGAAAUCAAAGUAGAAUGGCAGGAAAAGCUGGUAAAUACAAAGAGUCAGCGCAAUUUUCCGGUCGACCCAACUAAUAAGGUGUCUCUCCUGAGGAUACUUCUAGUGAACGAGAAGGCCCAGCUACCGGGGGGUUAUCUCUUUGCCUACCGUAUGACAGUACUGAAUGAAGAUAAAAGUUUCCUAGACCAGGGGAUGGUGGGUGUGGGAGUCCCGAAACUGGACGUGUUGGACAACAUGGCCAAUAAUCACCGACAGCGGGCCGCUAAUGUUUAUGCAAUGCAGACACUGAGGUGGUUGUUUUUUUUUAUUUCUCUUUAAAGUGUCAUUUAAAGUUCCUUAUUUAUUUUAUGCAGAUGCUUUUAAUUACGUUUCUCUCUGUCUCUCUAAACCUUUUUAUGCUUCUUUUUCAGUGAAAUCAAAAUCAAAGUAGAAUUGUGGAAAAGGCUGGCAAAUAAAAAGAGUAGGCACAAAUUUUAUGUCGACCCAACUAAUAAGGUGUCUGUCCUGAGGAUACUUCUAGUGAACAAGAAGAUCCAGCUACCGGACGGUUAUCUCUUUUCCUACCGUAUGACAGUACUGAAUGAAGAUAAAAGUUUCCUAGACCAGGGGAUGGUGGGUGUGGGAGUACCGAAACUGGACGUGUUGGACAACGUCACCAAUUUCUCUCGACAUUAAUUCAUAUGGGAAUAAUUAUUGCAAAUACCAUUCGACAUCAGACCCAAAACUAAUUGGGAUCGAGUAGAUGCAAAUUAAUCUUUGUUCAACCUUUUGAGUUUUUACUAAAAUAACAAUCUUUCUGCUUGUACUGCCCUUUGCUUUGAUAUUUGCAACUACUGCAAACUGGUUUGAGCUGCCUUACAUCUUGGGGUUAGUUUUACUUUCUUUCACCAAACUCUGCUCAUUCGUUUAACUUCUUGCGGUAAUUAAGCUUUGUGUUUGCGCCUAAUGAAGUCGAAUUUAAAUUAUAAUUAGCUGCAGACAAGAAAUGAUUCUUUUUGUGCAAAUUAAAAAGAAAAUCAAGUUGAGUUUAAGAAAGCAGCUCUCCAUUAUUUGGUCACCAAAUUUACAAAUCAUCAAAAGAAAAAUUACUGGAAAAACGGAUUCAUUCAGUUCAAUCAUAAUUUUACAUGAUCAUCUAGAACAAAACACCAUAGACAAUUAAAGAAACACUAAAAUUAAUGAGAGAAAAUAAAGCCGGUGAAAAUCGUCUUACAAAUCUUCAUUCCAUACCAAGUUCUGCAGCCACUAAAAUUAAUAGUUAUUCAAGUAGCUGCUUCCGAAUAAGCACUGCGGCGCUGCACUCCUAAAGGCACACAAAUUCUAUACUAGAAGGCACUUUUUUCUUCAGGUGUUGGAUAGCAUGAUCUCUUGCAUUCUCUUCCUCAUUCUCCAGUAGGGCAUCGCUAUCGAAUCCCCAAGGCCAACCCCAAAACCGGACAGGAUUUAUAACAAUCUUCUCCAGUGCAACAGCAUUCUUCACCAAGUACCUGACAUGCUUUACGCAACACUUAUGACCCCGAUACCCUGCUAUUUCUACCACCUUGAGGCAGUGAUGGGGUUGUUUGGAAACUUUCUCUAGUAUUGCCAUGUCCUUGUUGGAGGUUCUGAAACCAACUGCAACAAGGAAAGCAAACAAAACCAGAUUCAAAACAAACCCGUUGUUCAUUCUUUUGCUUCUUCGAAAAUACAGGUAACAGAGAGAUGAGAGGAUAUGAACGCACAAAAACAUUCAUACAUAUAUCAACUUUUAUUUGGUAGCCUAUCAAUAACAAAGGCAUACAAUACAUACAUACCCCCAAAACAAGGCUGCGCAAGUCAGGAGCUGCCUUCAUGAAAGAAGCUAAGUGACCAAGGGACAGACAGUAGUCGGCAUCCACUAAUAAUUCCAAAUGCUUUAGAUUUGAUAAUGCGGGAAACGCAUGAUUCUGAUUGUAGACCUGAAAGCCAACAACAACUGAGUAAGGGACGAGACAAUACUUGAUCUCAACCAAAUAACAUGGGAUAAGUAUGCUAACCACUUUCCUGAUAUCCAGCUUCAGGGUCUCUAAAUGAGAAAGACAGCAUGAGAGUUGACUGAACGCAAGCCUAAUGAAUUCAGCAAAAGUGCCCCACUUGUAAAUGGAUACCUCAACCAGCAAGGGCACAUUAUUCAAACUCAAAUCUCUUAUCGGUCCACAAUAAAUAAAGGAGACAAUGUUUCCACCAGAGAUCUCAAUGAAUCUGAGAUCAAGGCAAUACUUUAUCUCUAAAUAUUUCAACGCGAUGGAGGGACCUAUCACUCUUAGCUUGCCUAAAUCUUUGGCAAAACUCAGCGACAAACGUUCUAGAACUGGACAGUUGGACAACAAGAACUCAACAGCAUCGCUGGUCACACCAACAUGUUUAAAGCGAACAACUCUGAGGGACUUGAAGGAGCAGUACUGUAUCCACAAGGGCGUAGGCUUGGAAGGUUAGAAAACAGGCCGUUUUGCUUUUCUGGACCCAAUAGUAGUUCGUGGGGAAAUGUGUAGUCAUCAUCAAGGCAAGCUAUUGAGUCUGUCCAAAGCUCCAACUCAAGUAUUUGAACCCUCUUUUCCAUUGCAAAUUGGAUCCAUUUGGCAAUGGAACCGGCAAAGUCGCGUUGCAGAAAAACAGCAAACCCGGAAGCGUUCAAUGCAUUGGCCUCUAUGUUGGCCCAGAAUGUGAUCGACCCAAUUGACGUAGAGGAGGCUUACCUGGUCUUUCACUUGUUCUUUGAGCUUCAAGAAGCGUUGUAUAGUAGUGGCGAUAGCACUAUCGCCAACAUCAAAGUUAACAGCGUCAAAACUGAGAGUCGUAGUAGAUGCCCAGACAUGGCACCAUCACCUAGAAAGAAUACUAGUAGCUGCUGCUUCCUUUAGCGGCAAGAGUGACACUAUACAGACAAGGAUUUCGGGUGGUAAAUUACUGAUUUGGUCCUGCAGCACGGCCCAGCUGUGCCCAUCAUCCUUGCAUAUACAGAAAAGAAGAGAGAAAUACAUUCUUGUUAGCCAAAAAACUUCAAAAGCUAAAAAUCAUAAACAUAAUCCCAAAGAGUGUUGCUGGGUAAUCUUAGGCGUUUGAUUUCACGAUUCUACCAAAAUUACUCAUUAAAAAAAAAGAAAAAAACCAAUCCCAAAGAGUGUUGCUGGGUAAUUUAACAAGUCAUGUAAUCCAACCGGGUGCUUGGCCACAUUUAGUUCGUUUGUGCUCGGAAGCCAUUCCGUAAUAACAUAGUCAACAAUUUCUCUAAUAAGCUCUGCUUCUCACCUGAAAAUUGAUAUAUAAGUAGGAGCUAUCAGUAUAUAAACAAUUUUCUUUGCUUCAUAUAUAUAUACACACUAACUAGCUACUGGCCAGUAUGCGAUUUUGUGAUCAACUUGAACAAAAGAAACAGAGUCAUUCUUUGAUGUAUAAAAGUAACUAAACUCCAAUUACGGUUUACGUUUUAUACGAGAGAUAAGGUGUAUUAAUCAGGCAUGUUAGUUAGAGUAGUACAACUUAAAUCUUGAAAAGCAGGUGAAUGAUUACCCAUUGUCAUUGAUUUGAGCUUGGUAGCCGGACAAACUUGCAGCUUCUUUAAGAGCCUCUCUCCACUGCUUAACCCUUUCUCUUUCAUAUUCACGUUUCCGGUCAUCUUUUUCUUCACCGAUGUCCAAUUCGCGUUUCUGAAAUGCUUUGGCUAAAUCUUCUUCCAGCUUCCUGAAAUGCGAAGGAUCAAAGUGAUAGAAUAUUGGCAAAACAUGUCGCCCCAGUUUGGAUCUGCACUCCAUGAUCUUCACCAGCUCGUCAACACACCAACUCGAAUGCGCAUACCUCUUUGAGAAGACAAUGAUAGAGUUCCUCGACUCUUCGAUUGCCAGUAACCGUUCCUCUUUCAUUUCUUUCCCUCUUUUGAGAUCGUUGUCACCCAUAAAAGUCUGGUAUCCCCUGUCUUUUAAUGCCGCGUGGAGGUGGUCUGUGAAGCCCUUGCGCGUGUCUUCGCCUCUGAAGCUCAAGAAGACGUCGUAGUUCCAAAGUUUUGACUUGGAGGAGGAUGAAGAGGAAGCUUCGUGGGCUGUCAUGGCGGUAUCUACUGUUAUGGCACUGCAGUGGUUCAGAUCACUACUGAAACAAUAGCAGUGGUUGUGGUUGUGUUGCCUAACAGAUGAUACUGAAUACCGAAGCACAAGUCUUAUGCGUUUGAUUUCAUCAAUCUCCCAAAAUUAUUCAUUAAAAAAAAACAAUCCCAAAGAGUGUUGCAGGGUAAUUUAGAACAAGUAAUAUAAUAUCUGGGAAAUAAACAAUUCAAAAAAUAAAAAAAAGGUGCAAUUUUUUAUGACAGGGGAGAAACAAGUUUUUACUUUUUACCUUUAGUUGUUGGGAGGUCUUCGUCUCCACUGAAUCUGAACCUUAGGUGGAAGGACAUCGCGUUUGCGGUUUUGUUCUAGAUUUCAAGCCUCUAGGGUGUUGAAUUCAGGAAAGAGUGAGAGAGAAACCAACUUCAAAUUCCAAAUCAAAUCAAGGACAAGAUAAGGGAAUCAUGAUUUGGUGGGUUUCGGUCGAGAAGGGAUUUGGCGGAUUCACGGCGUCGGGGUCGCAUGUCCGAGUGGGGAAAAGGUGGUGAUCAGUGACGGAGGGGAUGGUUGGGGUCGUGACCGAGUAUUAUCGAAUAUAGCCAAAAAUUAACUCUUAAUUUCAAAAAUGUCACUUUAUAUAAAACCUUUCAAAUAUAUCAAAAUUUCACUUAAAUAGAUACAAAUACCUCCAAAUUUAACAAUUAAAUCAAUUAAAUUCUUUUUAGCUACUCUUGCCUCAAGUUCCGGUCCAACUUCACCUUCGCUUCUACACUUCACUACCACAACCCUAUCCCCUUCGACCCCCUCAUCACCGAUAUUGAGCGCCACCGCGGUUAUCGCAAGUGGGAGCAGCAGAAUUUCAAUCAUGCCUUCAACGCAUUUUUUCUUACUAAUAUCAUUUUUAGUUUUAAAUAUAAAAAUAGUUUUUAAAGUUAAUCCACAUGUCGUUAUAUGAUUGUAUUUAUGAAACUCACGUAAUGCCACAUCAUCACACUAAUAGAGCAAUUGACAGAUUUUUCACGAAAAAACUAAAAUGAUCACGAUGGACAAAUUCAAAGAAGGACUAAAAUGAUUAACAAUAGACAAAUUCAAGAACACUACUAUUGCUUAUCAUUAAUUGUUAAGGACCAGAUUAAGGAGUUAUGUCAAUGUCACGAAUCAUUUUGGCUAAAAAGCCUUUAAUUUAUUUUAUUGUUAAAUUUGAGGGUAUUUGUGUUUAUUUAGGUGGAAUUUUGGAUAUAUUUGAAAGAUUUUAUAAAAAGUGACAUUUUUGAAAUUAAGGGUUAAUUUUUGGCUAUAUUUGAUAAAUACUCGUCGUGACCGUCGCGCAAGGGGAGAAAUUUUUGAUGGUACACGAUGACGUGUUAUUAUAUAAAUGGUGAAAUUUUUUCUCUUUUUACUUAUCAUACGUCAUCUUAAUUUACAAUCGUCGAAUUGAAUGAAUUGAUAACAAUCAAAUCACAUAAAUUAAUAGAUAGUGUGUAAGAAGUAAAUAAGAUCUACACCUCCCUUCUUGUAUUGAUCUCUAAUUUAUUUUUCCACAGAGAGAGUAGUUGACAGUUUCGUGGCAGAAACGAAGAAGGUGCCGUCGAAUUCUCAUUCCGCUUAACGAAUCGCCACUAACUUCUACAAUUCCCAAAUCAAAAAAUUCCAGUAAGGGUAUGUCGAAACACAAAUCAAAAUUCAAUUUCUUUGUGUACAGGACACACAAAGAUCGAGACUUUUUUUUACUUCUAAAAUUCUACACACUUUCAAGCCCUAAAUUUUCCCGGAAAUAAAAGAAAGUGAAAGAAGUCGUACCUGGUUUGAGAGAGCAGACGCUAUCGGCAAGUUUGGUGGAGCAGUGAUGGCGGAGAUCUCUGGAGAUCUCUGGUGAGAAACCAUUGAACAAAAAAACCCCGAUUUUUAAAUUUAAAGUCAACAAAAAUUUGAACAAAUAAAAGAGAACUCAAAAAUCAAACCCCAAACAAAUAAGUCGGAGAACUCAACAGGAAACCCAAAGUUUCUGCAGGAUUGGCGAUUUCCUGAAAACCAAGCUUUGUAGGUUUAAAAUUUCUUCCCAAAGGUACCAGAUCCAACAUUCUCAACUUUAGCUAUUUCAGCUACAUAACAGAAAUUUUUUUUUAAUUUAACUAUAAUUAACUAAUCUGAUUUAAGAUUAAUAAAAAAACUUGAAAAUUUCAGCUUUAAAAUCACAUCUCAGGUUGCAAAUAGAAUAAAAAGCGUAGAAUUUUAAAACUGCUCAUCUUAAAUAUAGAGGCCUUCGCAGGCUCCAAAGAAACGUCAGAAACCCGAAAAACCGAUCUCCUGAAACCAAAAACAAAACCAAAUUAAUCACCAUCACCUAGAAUUCGAAGCCACAAACAAAAUCCCCAAAAUCACAACCAAAAAAUUUAAACAAAAAACCCAUUUAUAAAUCCAAAUUAACACUCCCAAGCAUAUAACAUUCAAAGCAAAGAAUUACCUACACCAAAUCGGCAGCAUGAAACGCGAUCCUUUAUGGGCUCCAAAUUUUUUGCAAAUCGAGACCAAAUUGACGUUGUCGUUUGCAGCCCCCGACAAAACCAUCUAAACAAAUUUUAUUGACUUAACCGUUUUCUGCAAAAAGCCGAGACACAGAGAGAACUUGAGAUCGGGAGCGAGGCAAUGAGAGGUGUUUGGGAAGGAAAUCUCGCUGGUGGGCGUUCCUGGCUCAAGCACACAACUCCCCGAGGAGUUGGCACUUUGGUUGGUUGUCGGGCUCCUACUUGUCGGAAUGCUGCAAGAGGAUGACACAGUUAGUUCUGAAAUGUGCCUUUGUGGGGCCUUAGGUGUAGGCAUUGAGGUUCACAAUCAAAACUAACUGAGUGCGAAGGCGUGUCAUUGCCAUCUCAGUAUGGCAGAUGUAGAACAAGUGUGUUUAAGUCGAUUACUUGCGCCCCAAGUUAUUUUGACUUCUUGUUAUCAAAGGAUUGUCGUAGAUGGGUUAAGUCUACAUUAAGUUCUUUUCUAUGCCUUAAGAUCAAGGACUUUUAUUUAUCUUGUAUGCUUAGAGGGUGGAUGUCCAGAUCCGAUUAAGUCAGCAGUUUAGUUCACUUUUUAUCCUCUUAUGACAAUAAAACCACUAAGGGAACCAGAUCUGAAAACUGAUGGAGCUUUGAAUCAUUAAGAGAUUGGAAAUGACUUGAAUAUAUGUUGGGGAAUACAUUAUAACACCAAAUCUAUUAAUUGAAAGACGAUACAAAGAGAGUCGGGUAAGAUUUCACCUUGUCGGGCAAGGUUUAAAUGUCUUGCAGUCUCUUCUCUUUGUAGUUACAGGAGGUUGAGUACUAAAGCAGGAUGAAUGGUGCGCAAGUUUACACAAUCGAUACUACAACAUUUAAAAAAUGUAGCAAAGCUUUUACACUAGACAAAAGAUGUCUUUCUAAGGGGAGUCUGAGGCUAAUACAUAAUCUGGACAAAACACAACUUUCUGGGUAUUUGCUUGACUAAGAGGCAAGUUGUAUAUUUGUUUGAUUGGUUGAGUGUCUUUGUCUUUGGGCCAUCUUCCUCUUUUUAUAGGCGAAUUAACCCGACUAUGUUGUUUUUGCUCUUGCCCAAAAGUAACUGAAUGAUAGUGAGUCAUCAGCCUUUUUACAUGUUCUGUCAUUCAAAAAGUGCUUUUGGGCUGAGAGUAGGUGGAUUUCCAUCGGUUGUCACUUCUCUUGUAAGCACCUAGCCUUUGCAUUUAUGUGGGGCCGUCAUAUUGUCUCAAGAUGGAUGAUCUGGGCUUGACUCUGGGCCUCGGCAAAACCUUCUUUAUUGAGCUCUUUUGGGCUUUCUUCCCUUCAAGUCCAAAGUUAAAUAUUAACCCAAACAAGAGGUUUGAGAGAAACAAAAGCGUUUGUGAGACAGAGACGAAAAUGGAAAGAAGAGUCCAAAAGAAAACCUAGAAGGAAACCUAUAAUUAAUGGGAUUAUCUAUGGGUAGAUUUAGCCUUACAAUAGUAGGAUGUUACAAUAAUGAUAAUGUAUCUAUUGUAUGGUGAAGUGUUAUUGGCACUCCAAAAAUCUCAUUAUAUACUCCUUACAAGUGUAUUUUUUUUCCUAAUAUAAAAAGUUUGGAGUGUAGAAUGAAAUUUUUGAAAUGCUAAUAACAAUUUCCGUUGUAUAUUAAAUAUGUAUUAUUGUGCCACUUAAAUUGCGAGUUCUUAACGAGUAUUUAUCAAAUAUAGCCAAAUAUUAGCCCCUAAUUUCAAAAAUGUCAUUUUUUAUAAAAACUUUCAAAUGUAUCCAAAAUAUCACUUAAAUAGACAUAAAUACCCUUAAGCUUUUAAACCUAAUAAAUUAAAAAAUCAAAAAAUCAAAACCCUAUUAGAUUAAGAAUUCUCACGGCAAAACCUAAAAAAUGGUGGAAAUCUAGUGAAGGCAUCGACGGUUGGUGGAGACUUGUGCACUCCUAAACGAAUGUGAGUAUAGAUGGUUAAUUUCUUACAUUUUUCCUUGUCUACGUUUUCUCUUUGCUUUGGUAGUUUUUUCCUUCGUAUUUAAUUUUCUGCUGCAACUUGAAGAAACAAAAACAUGAGGUUUUAUGAUGAUUGUAACACGGUUUAUACUCCAUUAUAUAUUUAUUUUGAGAUUAACAUCUGAAUAGUCAUGAGGUUUGUACAUUUCAUGGUUUGCAAUACUCGCCUUGAGAAAUUUAUCGAGUUUUCCUACAAGGGCCAAUAACAAGGUUGUUUUCCCGUAGCCAUGGGUACCAAGAAAAUCAUGUACUGCAUUUAGAAAAUUUAGGGUUUACUUUAUGAUUUUUUUUUUUUGGUGUUUUUUUUUCUUUUAGUCUGCAAUUGUCGAUUAACUGUACUAAUAAUUUGGCCAAUAUUAAAUUAAUUUUUUCAAUAUAUAUGUCACUUUCUUCUUUGCUUAUUGUUUUGCUUAUAUUUUAGGAAAAUGUCUAGUAAUAUGCAAUCUGAUGAACUCAGCUCUAACCGAUCAGAUGUUCACAAGGGUAAAAAUAUUGUACAUGAAUCAGACAUGGCAGACCUGUGCAAUUCAGAUAGAGAGAUAGUUAUAGGUCAAUUGUACGAGACUAAGGAGGAUUUAAAAAAAAUGUUGGGUAUUGAUGCUAUAAAGAACAAUUAUGAAUUCAAAGUGAAGAGAUCAAGCAAAGAAAGGUUUGAAGUUGGUUGUGUCGGCGAUGAAUGCAAGUGGAAACUAUGUGCCUCUAAAUUACAACAAUCAUCAUAUUUCAAGGUCAGGAAAUACGUUACUAUGCACUCAUGCUCAUUAGACGUUAUCAAUCGCCAUCAUCGACAGGUAAGUAGUUCUCUUAUUGGUCAAUGCAUAAAGUCUAAGUACGAGGGUGUAUCACGAGUACAUAGACCACGUGACAUCAUAGAAGAUAUGCUGAAGGACAUGGGUGUGAGUAUAAGUUAUGUGAAGGCUUGGAGAGCUAAGGAACAUGCAAUGGAGUUGGUUAGGGGAUCAUCAGAGGAAUCUUACGCGUUACUUCCAUCUUAUUUUGCUGUGUUAGAAGCCAAAAAUCCAGGUACUAUAACACAUAUUGAAACUGAUGAGAAUAAUUGUUUUUUGUACUGUUUCAUGUCACUUGGACCUUGUAUAAGAGGUUUUCGAAGUGCUAUUAGGCCAGUAAUAGCAGUCGAUGGGACAUUUUUAAAGGGUAAAUAUCUUGGCACCCUAUUUGUUGCCACAUGCAUGGACGGCAAUAAACAAAUAUACCCUCUAGCAUUCGGAGUUGGAGAUUCAGAGAAUGACGCAUCAUGGAAUUGGUUUUUGACAAAAUUACGGGGAGCAAUUGGGGAAGUUGAUGACUUGGUGUUCAUUUCUGAUAGACAUGAAAGCAUUCGGAAGGCUCUCUCAACUAUUUUUCCCAAUGCCCAUCAUGGUGCAUGCAUAUUUCAUAUAAGUCAAAACAUUAGGCACAAUUUUAAGCAUGAGAGAGCACACAAACUGUAUUUUACAGCUGCUAAGGCAUACAGAGUUCCCGAAUUUCAUCGUCUCAUGACAGAAAUAUAUAAAGUCGACUAUGAGGUGGGUGAUUAUCUUAAUUCAGCUGGAUAUGAAAAGUGGACUCGUGCGUACUUUGAUGGAAAGCGGUACAACAUCAUGACAACAAAUAUUGCUGAAUGUCUUAAUGCAAUCACCAAAGAUGCUCGAAAACUACCUAUCACAUGAUUUCUUGAGUAUUUAAGAAUGAAUAUUCUCCAGAAGUGGUUUUAUGAUCUAUAUUCCUGAUUAUCUUUACCACUGCUUGAUGUAUUGUUCCAUCUUCCCUUGUUCACUCUGGUAUAUUGCCUUCUUCAUCAACUUCUUCAUCUAUAUUCCUGAUUAUCUUUACCACUGCUUGAUGUAUUGUUCCAUCUUACCUGUCAACUACUAGAUUUUCAAAGGAAAAGUUAUUCGGUUACUAUUAGCCGAAAGACUAGUAUAAGAGAAAACACUAUUUUUAGGUUUUGCCGUGAGAAUUCAUUCAUUUAAUAGGGUUUUUGGUUUUUUUUUUUUUUUUUUAAUUUUUAAUGCAAUGAUAUAUUUUAUUUUUAAUUUAUUAGAUUAAAAGCUUAAGGGUAUUUGUGUCUAUUUAAGUGAUAUUUUGAUACAUUUGAAAGUUUUUAUAAAAAAUGACAUUUUUGAAAUUAGGGGCUAAUAUUUGGCUAUAUUUGAUAAAUACUCGUUCUUAACUGUCUCUCUAUAAAUAUUUUUUAAAAUUAAUUUACACUACAAUAGUUAAGUGUGCCAUUUGGGGUUUAAACAAAUCAAAUGAGGUCCAAUCUCACUGUUAUGUAGUAUUUGAUUUGAACAUGAGACUUAAGAUAUUGGCUUAAAUAAAGUACUUUACACUAAUAUAAACGAUUAGUGAUACAACGUAUGAGGCGAUUGAUAUGUUUUUUUUUUUUUUUUUUUACUUUUGUCGAAAGGUGAUGUAUAAACGAGUAAAACUCUUACAAUUACCAAAAUUUUGAAUUAAUUACCGGACAUGUGUAUUUUUAUGUGAUUAUUAGCCUAUUUAACCGUAAAAUACAAAGUAUCAUAUUUCACAAGCAUCCAGCUAAAGUUAGUAAAAUUGAACCAAACCAAUUUAAUCAAAUAUUCUAUAAUUGUCAAACCAAUUGCUAUUUGAUUCGGUUAAUUCCAAAAACUCUUUUUAGUGUAAGAACCAAACAAGAACCCUCAAAUUGGUUUUCUUUUCAUUGAUCGAUUUGAGCUUUCUCGAGGUCUUUUGGCCACUCCUAUGAUCUUUAUGAUUUAACAUUUUAGUUUAAUUAAAGCACUUUAACAAGAACAAGCUUUUUAAGUGCCGAUUAAUCCCAUUAUUGGAGAAAAGUCUAAUAUGAAAAUUAGACCAGAAGGAAACCUAGAAUUAAUCCCAUUAAUCUGUUACAACUAGCAGCAUUAGCUUACAAAUGUGAUUGCGAGUUAUUAAUAUAGGAAAAUGAUUUAUGCACAUCAUUUUUCACUUCAUGCAUACUUCUUUUUCUUUUUUAUUGAUUGAAUUAAAUAAAUAAAAGAUGAUCAAGCGAAACAUAAAGAGAUAAGGUAAAAAAAAAAGAUGAAAAAGGGUGUGCAUAAAAGAUUAGGAUUCUAUUCUCUCAUUUUUUUCAUCAUCUCCUUUCACAUUCUGUAUUUUGUCUUUCUCUUUUUAUAAAAAAUUAAUAUAAGAAGUUAACGUGAUUUAACCGUGACAGUUCAAAUAGAAAAUGAGAAAAGAAAAGAAAAAAAAAGAGGAAAGAAAAUCCUACUUAAAUUGCGAGUUCUUAACUGUCUCUUUCUUUUUACUAAUUAUUAGUAAGAAAAUAAUUUUUUUUUUCUUGGUGUUGUGACCCGUUGAACUUUACCAAUAUUUUUACUUGAUUACACAAUCAAAUGAUUAGUACUCGUGGUCGUAUACUCAUAAUGGGUUUAGCGUCUAAAGGGAAUCUUUGGUGACAAUUUUGGUGACGACAUCAUGUUGCGUUCAAAGGACUGUUAGUUGUAAGCCGUUAAACUUGAUGAAUAUUUAUAGAGGGAAUUGUUAUUGGCACUCCAAAAUUCUCAUUCUACACUUUAAAUUUUCUAUAUUUAGAAAGAAAAAUACACUUGUGAGGGGUGUAGAAUGAGAUUUUUAAAGUGUCAAUAAUACCUUCCUAUUUUUAAUAUAGUUGUGGGUUUUAGUCAACGCUGGAGGGCAUUUUUAAAGACGUUUACGUUUAUCCAUUGGCUAAAUCCAGAAGGAAACGUAAGUCGGAUCAAAGUGGUAUCUUCAGAGAAGUUGAAAACUAAAAACUACAUACGUAAUAGGAACUUCCUGGUAAUUUAAUUUGGACUUGUAAAAUUAUGUUUUUACUGCCCUACAAAGAGACUUGUCUCAAUAAUGCUAGUAGUAUCGAAUAUAUAGAUAUAUGAAGCCACUUGUAUCAUAGUUGUUACAUAAAAAUCAAAAUGUAAAUACACAUAUGUAUAAAAAAUUAAUUAAUUUUGACAUUUGAAUAGUUAAAAUACAUCACGAUGUUAUGGACAAUCAAUGGUGGACACAAUUACUUUCACUAAAAGAAAGUGAAAUAUAUACCAGUAACAAAUGGAUUAAAUACGAUUUAUACAACAAAAUUACACUUGGAUAUUGAAACUUACAACAAAUAUGAGAUACCCAUAUCUGAGGAGUAUAUCUUGCUAUUCUAUAUUUUUUGGUCCUUUCAAGUCAAACAAUACUGCUGGUGCAUGCUCGAUCGUCAAGAGUACUAGUACCACCUCGGCUUGACUCUACCGCAGGAUCAAUGGGGGUUGGAGGAAUUGAAUUGUUUGGGGUAGGGUGCUCAAAACUACGAGGUUUGUAAUGUUUCUUGAAGUGAAGAUUGCAGAAAACUACAAAGAGGAAGGCGGUGACAUAGAUAGAAUAGGCAGCACAUUUGAACCAAAAAGAAAAUGGGAUGGCAAUGAAUAUGUAGAAGGCUGUGACUCCAAAGAACAUGCUAAAAUUAUGGAAAAGACGUGGGACUAAUAUUAUGUCAAGAUAGUACACGGAGGGAAUAAGUUGGCUUACCAAGAUAAAAGUGAAAGAAAGUAAGACUGAUAAUCCAAGAAAAUCAAAGGUCAUAGGGAGAGAGAGCUGGCCGGGAGGAAUUUGGAAGCGGAUUUGCGUUAUUCCAAUCGUUGCUGUGAAGCAAAACCCGACAAUGAUCUUUGCCCAAUCUAGGUUGUUGGUUGGGAAUGGAACUUGCGGCACUGCGGCUUCUAGGUCUGGUUCGCCAUCGGGAUGAUCACGAUCGCCGGGACUGAUUAUCAGAGCAUUGAGUUGUGGAAUUAGCUUUGCAAUAAAACGGCUCAUUUUGUUAUGAAGAAAAAGGGUGAUUGAAUGGUUGUCCAGUUUUGUUCCGCAGAAAAAUGUGGUUGCUGUGUAUCCCUUAUAUAAUUUUUUUAAUGAGGUAUUCAUCAAUUUCCUCACUGAAUUUGUAACUAUUGGCCAAUUUCGCCCCUCAACUUUAAGUUUGGCCAAUUACCCCCCUCAACUCUCAUAAUUAGUCAAUUUCCCCCCUCAACUAUAAUUUUGCCAAUUUCCCCCCUCAACUCUCAUAAUUAGUUAAUUUGCACCAUACUAUUAAUUUUUUAAUUUGAUCAUAAGUAAACAAGUGUGUGUAAGAAACUAAAUAAGAUGUAUGUUAAUCAUUUUCCUAUGUCUUUAUCCUAUUACAAAUAGAUUAAAAUUUAGAAUUUUACAAUUUAUCAUAGAUAAUAUUAUUAGUCAUAAAAAUCAGUAUGGAGUAAUUUUAUUUGAUUUUUUACUAUACAAAAUUGAUAAUGAAAAGGAUUGAUGUGUACAUUUUUGUAUGUGAAUACAAUUUUCUUUAUAAAAGUGAAAGCUAAGUUCAAGUAAAUUGUGGAGAAUCGAGCUUUAGUGCAAAAAUGGCUAAUCAAUUCAUAAUUUUCGACUCCUUAUUAAGAAUAACACAUUUUAUUGAAAUAUGUCUGAUCCAUGAGUUUAGGAUUAUUAUUUCUUCUUCUACAUGCUUUAAACCCGAUUCAUAACUUUUUCUUACCAAUCAACCCAUAUCACAUACUAAUUGUAUUAUGUUUUUGUACAUUUUACUCUAUAUUAUGCAGGUGAGUUUAUGUUAAUUUUAGUAGUUGGAAGUUAUUAGAAAGUUUGAAAGAAAAAAAAAAGAAUAGAUGGAAAAUUAAAAAAAAUUAAUAGUAAAGUGCAAAUUGACUAAUUAUGAGAGUUGAGGGGGGAAAUUGGCCAAAUUAAAGUUGAGAGGGGAAAUUGACUAAUUAUGAGAGUUAAGGGGGGAAAUUGGCCAAAAUUAAAGUUAAGGGGAAAAAUUGUCUAAUGAUCACAAGUUCAGGGGGAAUUGAUGAAUACCUAUUUUUUAAUUAUUUUGCGGGCACCGAAGUCCCAAACAAAUAUGGCAUUGCCUGGAAUCUUCCCUAAUCACGUGUGCAAGAAAUAUUUUAAACCGACGGCAAGAAAUAUUUUGAACCGACGGGGAAUGGGACGUGUGGAAAGGGAAUUGCACACAAUUGGUGGAAUUCAAGUGUUUACUACCACAAGAGGAAUGAAAAUGGGGAGGAAAAUGGGGUGGGGACCCAGCUCAUUGGAGUCGGAUUCUCUAAUAAUACUUGGUAUUUGGAUUCCUUCAUGGGAGUCCUCCACGAAUCAUAGUUUUAUUCCAAAAUUACCCUAAUUUAUUUUCUUUAUUUUAAUUCAUCUUCGAUUUAAUUCAUCUUCAAUUCAAUUCAUUUUCGGUCCAACAAGAAUCUAAUUCUGUUUCCUCCCUCAAUUCAAUUCAUUUUCGAUCCAAUUCCUCUCAAUCUAAUUACAGAUUAGUAACCGUGCUAUAAGAGAGCUAAAGAUGUAAAAGACUUAUUGAAUAUUUAUAUAAACACUAAUUUGUAAUCAGAUUGAAGCGAAUUGAAUUGAGGAGGAAUCAGAUUGAUGAGGAAUUGGAUUGAGGAGGAAACAUAAUUAUAUUCCAAUUGGAGUUGUUUACUAAAACUGUCCGGAAUCGGAGUAGGAAUGACAUCGAUUUAUAUAAAUUGUUUACUAAUUCACUUGAAUCGGAAUGAAAAUUAACGUGAUUACUAAAAUACCCCUAGUGUAACUAAUCUAAUUUACAUGCUAAUUAUUUUAGUUAAACUUUUUUAUUUAUUUUUUAUAGUAGGGAGUAUAGUUUUUCUUUAGGAAAACUUUUAUUCUUUUUUUCAUUUUUUAUUGAGACCCUCUCCUGCCGCAUCUCUAUAUUUCCCAUUCUUUUCAUUUUUAUCGUGACCCUCUAUUGCCGCCAGCCCCUCUCCCUUUUUGUCCUUUAUACAGUUCAAUCAAAUAGAUAGACCUACAACAUAUUGUUUAUUGUGUCUGCAUACUAAUUAAUUUGUUUGGUUUUGUGAUUGUCUGUAUAAAUUUUUAUAUAGUUUAAUUCUCAUUAGCAAAAUGAUUUAAAAAGUCUUCCAUUUUAUAUUACUAAAUUUGAUAUGUAGAAACAAAAAUUUCUAUUUUUAAGGCCUUAUUGGUGAUUAAAUUAGGUAUUUUAGAAGGAAAAAAAAUUUGAAAAUAAUAAAAGUGAGCAUGGGUAUUUAAUAUGAUUGAUAAUGAGUUUUAAAGUUAAGGACUAAAACUAGAUUUAUAAAAGCAUCCCGGUUACAAUGAAAAAUAAUAUUGUUUACGUCCUUAAGUCUAAAUGCCCCUUGGACCGCCUUUCAUCAACGUGGAAAAAGUAUGGACCACCUUUCAUCUACGUCACCGCACAAAGGUAUCUAGACAUAAAGAUGUAUAUACAGGGAGGAUUCUCUGUCCUCCCACUUCCCGUGCCCUCUAGUGCCCUCUUGUUUGUGUGGUCACGGUUAAGCCACGUCAACAUUUUAUAUUAUUAUUUAUUUUUAUCUUAUUAUUUCUAUAAAAAAAAAUAAUAUAAAGGGUGCUUUAGAUUUAGCCCCUUACAACUGUUGAACUCUAGACAUAAACCCACCUAUAUUAAAACAUCUAAAUAAAACCUAAAUUUUGAAUUUGAUGUCAUGUAAGAUAAAAGAUGUCCAUACAUUUAAAUUUAUUUACAACACCAUGCCACCAACAUUAAUAUGGCUAUUACAGUUUUUUUUGUAGACUUUUAAUUUAUUGUCUUUUGUUUGUCAACAACAUUUAAUUAGUUUAAGUUUUUUUUGCUUUAAAUUUUUUUUUUUAAAAGAAGAAGUUCUUUUCUUCUUUUAUGUGAAAUCGCCUAAUCCAAAUCUAAUUAGUUCAAUAUAUACAUUCUAUUGAAAAAAGUAGAUACAUUAACUUGUGAAAAUAAAAAAAAAAAGGUAAAAAUAAACUAGUAGAUACAUUGUUUCUUGUAAAAACUAAACAAUAGUUACAUUAUUUUCAUAAAAAAAAUAAACCAUAUGUAAUUUUUUUUAAAUUACACAAUAGGUACACAAUUUUCGUAAAAAUUCAAUAAUAGGUACUUUAUUUUUGGAAAAAAAUAAAAAUAAAUAACUAGUAGAAACAUUGUUUCUUUUAAAAAUUAAACAAUGAAUUUAUAAGGUAAAUUAGUUUGCAUGUAUUUUGCAUAUAUGGGUUUGUUAUUAUUAUGUAGGUAAAUUAUUUUUCAUGUAUUUUACAUAUACUGGGUAUAUUAUUUUUCUUUUUUAAGCAAUCUAACUGUCACAGCCCGUCCCGGGAAAUUGUUUUUGAAAAUGUGAAAAGACGGAAAUACCCUUGGACGUCGAAAUAUAAUUGGGUUGUGUGGUUAUGUGGGUUAAGUUUUAUUUGGACAAACUUUUCUUUUCCUAAGUUUUGGAACACUUAAGACUCAAGUGUUUUCUUUGGUCUUGGUUAGACCCACGUGGAACACACACACUCACACACACACACACACACUAACUUUCAUUCUCUCUCUCGUUGACACUAUCUCUCUCUCCUUCCUCUCGGAUUUUUGCAGAAAAUCCGUACAAACGUACGGACGAACCUCAAACCAAACCAUUUCAACACAAAUCGAAGUUUUGGAGGUUGGUUUUAGACUCCCAGCAUGCUCAGGAACUCAUCACUAUCCUUGGUUGGACAUAUGAAAGUCGAGAACUCGGGUUAUUCGAAACCCCGAUUUUGGAGCACAGUAACUCCGACGUGAACGUGGAGGUUUUAAGGCGUUUUAAGGCUAAAAAAGGUAAGCUUUAGUCUUUUCUAGCACUUUAAGUCAGUUUUGGCUAAGAUUGGACGUCAGGAUCGUGAGAACCAAAUAACCCGAUUUGAGGUACUGUUCAUGUGAUCGUAUUUGUGGACUUUUCAACGAAUUUUAAAGCCAUAGGAAGCUUAAGGACGUUCUCACGAAGCUCGGAGAAGCAUUUUGGAAGGAUUUGGACGUCGGAAAGCGUAGAACGGAAGAGUUGCAGAGGUGGCCGGACUUUCGAGAGUUCUCCGGUGAGAUCCAGCGAUCUUUGGGACUCAAAAUUGGUAUAAACUUGAUCCUCAUGUUAUAAGCUUUGAAUUGGUUUAAGUUUCGUGAAAAAUGGAUGAAAAAUGGCCGAGAUAUAGUGGUUUGAAGACGACGGAAUAUUUCGUCAAUUCUGACGCCGUCAGUUAGAGUUAACAGUUACCGUGGGUUUUAACGGAAUAUUCCUAACGGCGUCAGUCAUGCUGACAGCACGUGGCCGCAUGUGGGGGCGCGUCUGGCCGUGCCUUGGCCGGCGCGUGGGAGCUCGAAAAAUUAUUUUAAAAAUAUAGGGAUGAUCUUUAGGUUGUGUAGGUCACAGUGGUAUAUUCAUAUACCCAAUUUGAACUAUAUAUGAGAAGUUAUUACCUAUUGUUGGUUAUGUGCGUUAAAUAACGUUUAUUCGAUUAUUACGCCUAUAGGUGAGGCCUAUUCUCGGGACGAGCAUAAUCAAUCGAGGCUCGGGGGCUACGACCCAUCGACACAUCAGUGAGUGGGCUUUUGUUUUCAGUAUAUAUUUAUAUACUUGAUAUUUUCCCAGAAAAUGCGUUUAAAUGAAUGUAUGCCUUGAAUUAAUAUGCCAAAUGUUUUUAUAUUUUGAAUAUGCAUUGCAUGGUUGCAUAUAUAUAUAUAUAUAUAUAUAUAUAUAUAUAUAUAUAUAUAUAUAUAUAUAUAUAUAUAUAUAUAUAUAAAUGUGGUGCUGUGGAGGCCCAGGUGAGUUCAGGUAAGUUAUGUUUGAUUAUGUGAACUACGAAUGACUUGAUCCCUAUUCAGGGUACGUAGGCAGUCUAACGAAACGUUAGAUGCAGUCAUACAUUAAUUGAGUCAAGGCCUUGGUCAUGAAUAGAAUGAUUAUAAAUGCAUUGAUAAACAUUGAGCUCAUAACCUGCACCUAGGGUGAUUGAUUUAGCCAGAGAUAUGAUACAUGCCCGUUUAUUAUGUCACCCCCGCACUAUAUGCUCACUUUGGAUCCAAUUUAAGUGCACAGUCUUGUCGUAUAGUCCUUAUAUGGUUCCGACUUGUAGGUGACUAGCGAUUUAUCGCCCGGCUAUUAUGAGAGAAUAAGAUUGAGCAUAAUUAUAUCUCACCCAAUCUUGUCGUACAAACCCUUUUUAGUGGUUCCGACGUAUGUGCAGUGUAUUGCCGUAUAGGUCAUAGAAGUGAUUCCGGCUAGAUUUAGUUUGAGCUAUGAAUUCAGCCGUACAGACUACCACAGGGGUUCCGGCUAUCAUGUCAUAUUUCUAUGAAUUCAUUCUUACCUGAAUUGCUUACUCUGUUAUAUCUUGGCAUGGUUUAUAUACAUAUGAAUAUGAUUAUGUGAAGCAUGAAUUGAAUAGUUAUGAUUUCGGAUAUAUAUGUAUAUGCUUAUAUCUUAAUUCUGGGAAAAUUAUACAUGUUUUACAACGAGGGGUUAGAUAUGUUGAUAAGUGAAAUGGUUUUGUAAAACAUUUGUUUUGCCCACUCACGUUUUCUGUUUUGCGCCCCUCCAGGUUUUAAGUAAGUUGUUGUUGGUGGCUCGAGGGCGUCGGCAGUUCUGACUUAUCUAUAUAUCUAGUAGGACAAUCCUGGUACUGUAUAAUUAGUACUCGUCCUACUGGACUGCACUUAGACUUUAUGCUCUAAUUAGGAGUGUUUACUGUUGUAACUAACUCCUAUCACUCCAUGUUUAGUAGUGCACUCUAGUAUUUCAGUUAUUUAUUUAUUUAUUCAUGUAUUGAUAUCUUUAUUACUUCCGCACUGUGCACAUGACUACGUCACUCUCACGUGACGGCCAGCAUGCCUUGAUCUCAGUCGGGGUGUGUCACUAACAUUUUAAAAUUUUAAUAGUAUUAUCAUUUGUAUCAUAUCUUUAAUAGAGAUGAAAUCCACAUGACGCACAUAUCUGUAUUAAAAAAACAAUAUAAUGAGAAAAAAGAUAAAAGAUAUAAAAAAUGUCUCUUUGUUUUCUUCACAAUCAAUAUUCAAAAUAUUGAAAAAAUAUAACAAACUAGUAGAAUCUUCUCAGUAUCUCUGGUAUCCUCUUUUGUCUUCUUGGUGUUUUAUUUUUGUUUCCCGUUUUAUGUCGGGUUUUGAAGUGAAAAAGGUACAAGUAUAUUGCAGGAAGGCCUUCUACUUACUUAUUCAUUCUACCCGCAGACAGAGCUCGGGAGAGCCAACAUUUGAAUUUAAGGGCCGAAUUAGUGUGGGCUGGGAUAAGUUGUCCAUUGGGCUUUCGGGUGAAAGUAAAUAGAAGGGCUUUCUUCUGUCUUGGGUUUUAGUUGUAGCAGAACCUAUAAGAUGGAGCACAAUAUCCCCAGUAAUUCAUCAACCUUCAAUUCGCAGACCCCAAUCCGGAGGCUGGAGCUUCCAUGCAGAAAGAUUACUAUUACCAUCAUCCUCUUGGUGAUCGCCCUGUCCCAUAUGUCCUUCUGGAUUCAGGGUCUGCAUAUGGACAGGUGUCCUUCUGGAUUCAGGGUCUGCAUAUGGACAGGGUGAUUACCAAGGUGAUGACGGUAAUAUUUAAUUCAUAUGCCCUUCUGAUUUAAGGCCUUCUGAUUUAAGGCCUGCAUAUGGACAGGGUGAUUACCAAGGGGAUGACGGUAAUAUUUAAUUCAUGAUGUUGGCAAACUCGUCGGAAAAUCGACCCCGGCGCUGGCAAACUCACUGGGGACAGAGCUCUGAAGUGGCCGCCGUACCACUCCUCUCGGUGAAAUUUCGCGAAGAAGAUAAGAAACACGAAAAUUACGCUAAAUUUCGGUACUUUUUGCUGUUUAACUUUGUUUUUGUGUUCUUGGGUUUCAGGGUUUUGUUGCUGGUGACAGGGUUCGAAAGCCGGGUAUCAAUCAAACUCUCAAUUCUAUUUAAUUUCAGUUUCGAUUUCAAUGUCUCUUUUGAAAUUUAUUUCAUGAUGUUCGAAUUUGGAUCUCAAAUAUCGCCUUUGUGCUCGGAUUUAUGAUGCAAAUCUUAAAUUUUGCAACUCGUCUAAAUUUGGAGUGUGAGAUUAGAUCUCGGAUAUAUGCUGCAAAUCUUUCAUCUCAGGUAGUUUCUCUAACAAUUAAUAAUAAACUCUUACCUUCUAGUCUUAAUCAGAUAGCUUAUAUGAUGAUUAAACCUUACAAAACAACAACAACAACAACAAAGCCUUUUCCCACUAAGUGUUGAUUCCCCAAAUUAAUCCAAGUUUUAAUCACAUAUCUAAAUCAGUUUUUCGCGUUCUUCUUUUCUUCCGGAAGGAAAUUAUAUUUUCAUAAUUUGUUAGGCAAUUGAUACAAAAGUUUUUGUUUAUUGUUAAUUUUGUUUUUGAUUGAUUCAUAAUAGGGUUACAGAUUAGAUUGUUAAUUUCAUUUUUUGCUCGUGUGUCGACUGAUGUAGAGAGAGAGAUAGUAGUGUUGCAGCAGCAAAAUGAGAAUGGGACAAGAUAUGUUGGUGGAAAUCCUAUCAAAUUGCCUCCCAAAACUCUCUAAAUGGUGAUAUGCUCUCUUCACCAAUCCGAGUUUUGAAUUGAAGCACCUCUCCAACUCCGCCAACAACCACCUCACCACUCGCAACCUCCUUUUCAAGUGAUAGUAGUGCAGCAGCAGCAUGAGGAGGAGGAAACUGAACAAGUAUUCUUGUUGCUUAAGUUAUGCAAGGACGUUGCUUACGUUAUGCAAAGACGAUGAUAAUAUCGGUGAUGAGGAAAGCAGUAGCUGCUCUCUUGUUGGUGUCCAGGACAUCAUUUUUCCUCACUCUUUUAUUCAAAAGGUCCAGAAAGGCCAUCAUUUAUUUCGAUACAAGUUGCUAGGUAUUUCAUGGUAUGCCGAACCAUCUGAGCUCCAACGAUUACCCCUGGGGCGUGACCUUGAUUUGAAGCAUAUUGUGCGGAAUGAAUCAGUUGCCCUGUUUGCUCUUUUCUUUGAGAAUCAUCAGAAUUAUAGAUAUCCUAAACCUGACUUAUAUGAAAUGUGGGUGACGGAUGACGACUCUAACGGUGCUUGGACAAAACAGUUAACUAUUGAUGAGCGCACAGAGUGCCCUCCCGAGAUGUUCCCACAAACAUAUCACAUAUUUUCUUCUAGGCCUGUGGCAUUGUGGAGUGAUGAGUUUCUUAUGGUUCACAGUGAUGAACGCUCAGUUUGCUUUAAUCUUUGUACUACAAAGCUUACGUAUAUUCCCAUUGAAACAUUAGGUGAGUUUGUUGGUUAUGUGAAUGGCAGAGUUUCUGUCAUGGGACGCAACCACAAGCCUGAGAGCAUGGAGAAUAAUUGCUCAGACAAAGAUGAAAAUGCGAUGGUGGUGGUAGACGGGAAGAGGGAAAGCUGCAGGAGGCAGUACACAUAUUCCGUUUCGGCCAUUCAACCGGCUGAUGUUUCCCAUAGAAUCAAGAAGGUGAUAGGGCCUCCGGGCAGAGUUUGGUGCAUGUCCCUGUAAACAGUAAGUUGCUGUUUACAUUAACUUUUGAGCUGUUUUUUAUUUUUUUGUUUUCACGAAAGCUUCCUUUUUAAAUUCUCCUGUUGUUUACGGGAAUGUUCAUAUGUAAUCUGUCUGUCUGCAACAUUUGAUGGGUGCAGGUUCUAUGCCAUAUUAAGCCUCCUCUACGGGAAGUCGAUGGAAGAAGAAGAGGAAAAAAAGCUCGAGAACUGGUUAAUGCUCUGGAUGGAUGAGGGCAUUACUAGCUUAACCCUGCGCUAUUGAUGUUUUACCAGACUGAUCUCUCCAUCAACACUGCUUAUUUGAAAAUUCUAUUUCAAAAUGUCAGAAACAAGUUUUUCUUGCAAAUCAACCAGACCAUGUUUACACGUAGUGUCGCUAACGUUGGCAAGGAAACUUUUGAUUAUAAAUGUUUUUGGCAGCUGUUGUUUUACCCAACUCGCUCAUCCCCCAAAUUACAAUCAUGACAACGUCAUUUGAUCCACCACUUGGAAAGAUGACUGAUAAAAUCAUCGUGGAGGAUUUUCGAGGUAUUUGAGUAGUCGACUGCUUUUGAAACUUGGUCUCACGGACGGCCACAGUGAGGUAGCAGCUGUGGAGUACUCCUGACGACGUUGUUCCUGGAACUAAGGUACUUUCUGAUACUUGAUGCUUGCUCAAUGCUCAGCUAAAUCAGUUAGAGAUUUCUUUGAUUGAUCACUUUUUGGAUUUUGAAUAUGUUCAGUUUAGUAUUCAAACGAGUUCAUCGACUGCAAAGGUAGUGGAAAAGAUAAUUCAAACCUUAUGCCAAAUAUGUCAUGGCAAGUCGAGAUUAAUGAAAAGCUUUCGUUGAUUUUCUAACCUUAAAAGUGAAUUCCUGAAAUACGUGGUGGAAGCAGGGCAAGUAUUUGUGCGAAUUCUGAGUAGUAUUUGUCAAGUAUUUUGAUGAAUGUCUUAUAUUGAUUGUUGUAAUGUUGAAAUGUUUCUAGAUGCAAUAUAUCUUCAAAAUUCAAAGCAACUAAUUGAAAACAAUCAUAGGAGCCUGAAAGAAUCCAUCAUUUCUUAGUCAUGCGGAGGAUAUUUUUAUCUUAACAUGAACAGCCCUACAAUCUAUUCAACUCUCAUAGUCUCACUAUCUCCAAAUGGUAAAGGCCAAGAGACUCAGGUGUCCGGCUGAAUGUUACCUGAACAAGUAGAUGAUGAAUAACCAAGAGACAGAGAGGCGCGUAAGAGGAUCUUCGUCCAUUGGGUCGGAUAUCUGAUCUCCUCUCACUGACUGCUGGACCCUGUGGCUUCCAAUGAUCAAGAGACCGAGAAAGGCGCGUAAGAAAAUCUUCCUCCAUUGGGUCGGCUAUCUGAUCUCCUCUGUCAUUGACUGCCGAACCCUGUGGCUGGAGCCUGGAAGAGUACUGAGAGAUUCUAAGAACGGGUUUGAGGCUGAAUAUGAUGGCCUGCAGGAAAAGUAUUAGAAGACAAGGAAAAAUGUGAAUGCGCAAGGCUGAGAGGACCAUGAUCAUGCACUGCUAUAGUACUACCGAUGUACUUACUGAGAUCAUAAUCAUUAGAUGGCUCAGAAUUAUCACAUGACUCCUCAUAGAACCGAGCUGGAUGUUGGUCAAAAACAUAACUAGCUUGGUCCAAAUCAUGCGUAUUUUCCUUCAUAGGUUUGUUCCACACUAGAUUAACCAUUGUUCUCAUUGAUGGUGCUGAAAGUUGAACUUCAACUUUAUCCCCACUUUGCAAUUUGAGCUUAUCGUUCGAUAGUUGUCCUUGCCAAAGUAGUCCUCGCCAAAGUCUAGGCGUAUCCAAAUAUUCGCUGCUUAAGUAAGCCUGCAACUUUCUACGCUUGGUAUUAUUUAUAACAGUAAUGCCAAGUUCACCUCUAAUUACAGGUUUUAUCAAGAAGCACAGAGUCAGCCCUUCAAAAGUACGACCAUCAUUCGGGGGAAUAUCAAAACUGACUGUAUUGCUAUGGUUAACAAACUCAAACCAAUCAGGAACAAAAUUCCCAGAGAGUGAAACGCCACCAAAUCCGCACGAAGUCCAUCCCUACAUAUAAAAUGCAAGUGUCAUACAUACAUACACAUGUAAUCCCUACAUAUAAAAUGCAAGUGUCAUACAUACAUACACAUGUAAACGUGCGUUUGUGUGUGCAUGUGCAUGAUAGGAAGGCAAUGAGAGAGAGAGUGUGAGAUACCUGUAGGAUGUUCUUCCUAAAAUCAGCUGUGAGAUUGGUGCAAUUACUCAUAUCAAUCAAUGUCAUGAAGUUUAAUGACUUAUCCAAGCCUGGAAUCUCAGUGAGUUUGUGCGAAUCUUUUACACUCAACUCUGUCAUCUUUGACAUUUCCGAAAAAUUGGGCAUUGUUUCCAAUGCACGGCAAUCAUCGGCAUACAGAAAUUUCAAAUUUGUUGGUAAAUCAGGGAUUGUACGAAGGUUAAAGCAGUCAUUUAACCACAAUGUUUCAAGCUUUGUAAGACCACUGAGGCUGGGUAGGGUAUGAAAAUCAUUCUCUUGAAGAUCCAAAACUUGUAAAGAAAUUAGACUCCCAAGAUCAUGAGGGAUUGCAUCAUGUGCUAAUUCCACACCUUUUAGGGAUAGAUAAGUGAGAUUCUUCAAUCUAACUGUGGAAGAUGGUAUUUGUCUUAUGGCUGUAAACUCUGCUUCAAGUAUUCUCAAUGAUUUCAUCUCCCCUAAAUCCUCAUGCAGUUCUUUGAAUUCUAAACAGUCAUUAAGAAGAAGAGUCUCAACAGAUUUCAACUUGUAGAAAUCCCUUGGAAGAGAACUAAGGUUAUCGCAAGCUUUAAGGUUCACCAAAGAAAGUUUUUGAAGUUGACCGAUGGAGGGGUGAAUCUCAGACAGACCCUUACAAUCUUCCAGUAUCAACUCUUCAAGAUUUGGGACUUCUGAAAAGUCCGGUGAUUUAAUUAGAGAGUAGGAAUGACUGAGAUUCAGGAUUUUCAACCUCUCUAGCAACUGUUACAGAAAGCCAAAGGAAAAUUGAAAUUAAUAUCCAAAAGGAAGAUGUCAUAAUAAAAAAAAGGAAAUCCAAAAACAAAUAGAAACAGAACAUCAUCAUGUGUAAUUGAUCGUACCUUAUAACCCUCCCAAACUUGUACCAGGCUGCUCCACUGCAUAUCUAAAACAACUAGUCUUGGUUGAUCGAAAAAGUCAUUUGGUAUGGACUUUAAAAGGCAUCUUUCCCAACACAACCAUAUUAACUCUUUGGGAAGAUGUUUGUAUUCUCCAUUGAGCUGAACAUAUCUGAGAUGAAGGAAUCUCAGUUUCUUCAUAUUGGCAAAUGCUUCUGUACUCAAACUAGGCAUAAUAGUUUGGUGCCAAGGAUCAGGGAAAUUUAGAGCAAGUCCUUCAACUUCUUCAGUUCCCUGUUAACAAAAGGUUAUAUUCAUGUGUAAGAAACGGAUUAUUUGCGUAUAUUUACAUGUAUUAUUAUUCAUUAGGCAAAAUCACCUACGGUGAUUAUAUUUACACUUAAAUGUUGUUUAGUGUAUAAUAGACAUACGUGGGUUACAUAUAUGUUUUCAAGCAGGAUGCAUUAUGCAAAAUUUUAUUGGGAAUGUACUUACAGAUUUAUUUCUCAAGACUUUGGCGGCCUCUUGAUGGUUCCACAACCUACUCCAUUUUCCAGGGUGAUCAAGAGAUUUUUCAGAAAUGAUUACUCUGGCCAUUUCUCGCAGCAAAUCAUGCAUAUUCAACUUAUUCUGCUCAACAGUUAUAAGACAUCGUUCACGGAGGACACUGAUUCCUAUUGUUGCAGAAAAUCCGCAUCCAUCUAAUCUUUUUGCGACAUAGUCCUUGUCCUCUCCAAUAAAGAAACAAGAUAUGUCAAGAAAUAUAGCCUUCUCUGAACGACGUAGCCCGUCAAAGCUUAUUCUGAGUCGAUUUACAAUGUUUUCAUCUGGAUAUCUUCCCAAUUCCUCCAAUUGGCUUUCCCACUCUGCCAACGAUCUUUUAAUCAAAAGAGAUCCCAAAACUUCAAGCGCUAGUGGUAAACCUCCACAGUAAGAACCAACCUUUUCUGAAACUUCAAGAUAUCCUUGAUCAGGACAACUAUUUUUAAAGGCAUGCCAACUAAAUAGCUCAAGAGCUUCUUCUUCAUUCAUUUUCUUAGCCUGAAAUGUUUUGUUCACAUUUAGUAGUAGACGUUCAUCUCGUGUCGUUAUGAUAAUUCUACUUCCAGGACCAAACCAAUCAUGACUUCCAACUAUUGCAUCCAGUUGUUCCUUUUUAUCUAUGUUGUCCACGAUGACAAGUAUCUUUCUAUGUUGAAAUUGUUGUUUUAUCAGGCCGAUACCAUCGUCAACACAGCUUAUUUCACGCUUCUUUUUCAAGAUGUGAGAAAUAAGUUUCUUUUGCACAUGAACCAGAUCAUGUUUACUUGUAUCAUCGCGAAUGUCGGCAAGGAAACUUUUGAAUUCAAAUUGAGGAUGAAUUUGGUUAUAAAUGGCUUUGGCAGCUGUUGUUUUACCCAAUCCACCCAUCCCCCAAAUUCCAACCAUGAGAACAUCAUUUGAUCCACCACUUGAAAGAUAACUGAUAAUAUCUUGAAUGCGUGAAUUGAUUCCAACUAUGUGCUUGGCCACAUGUAAUUCAUAAGUGCUGGUGAGCCAUUCACAAAUAUUCUCGUCAAUAAUUUUUUUAAUGAACUCUGCUUCGCACCUGAAAAUUGAAUUCGUAAGCAUUAGUGGGACUCAAUGAAGGCUCGGCAGGAGAUAUCAGUACAUAAACAAUUUUCUUUCCUUCUUCCCUUCAUAUAAUAUAUAUAUAUAUAUAUAUAUAUAUAUAUAUUAACUAGCUACUAGCUAGUAUGUGAUUUUAUAACGAAGUUGAAUAAAAGAAUUCAUUGAUAAAUAAAAGUUAGGCGUAUGAAUUAAACUCCAAUUACGGUUUAGGUUACUUAUGAGAGAUUAAGGUGUAUUCAUUAAGCAUGUGAAUGAACGUUUAGAUUAUGUAGAAUGUUAAUUAAGCAUGUCAAUUAAUUGAGAGAUUAAGUCAUUCACUAAAAAUUGCAGCUUCUGUGAAGGAUCAACGUGAGAGAUUAAGGUGUAUUAAUUAAGCAUGUUAAUUAGAGUAAUACAACUUAAAUCUUGAAAGCAGCUGAAUGAUUACCCAUUGUUAGCGAUUUUAAGAUGGUGGCCAGACAAAUUUGCAGCUUUUGUGAGAGCCUCUCUCCACAGCUUUAGCCUUUCUUGUUUAGCUUCACGUUUCUUGUCAUCUUUUUCUUCACGGAUGUCCUUUUCGUGCUUCUUAAAUGCUUCAGCUAAAUCUCCGUCCUGCUUCCUGACAUGUGAAGGAUCAACGUGAUAAAAUAUUGGCAAAACAUGUCGCCCCAGUUUGUAUCUGCACUCCAUGAGCUUCACCAGCUCGUCAAGACACCAACUCGAAUCCGCAUACAUCUUUGAGAAGAUAAUGACAGAGAUCCUCGACUCUUCGAUUGCACGAACCAGUUGCUCUUUUAUUUCUUCCCCUCUUGGUAGAUCGUCCUCAUCAAAAAAGACCUGGUACCCUCUGUCUUUUAAUGCCGCGUGGAGGUGGCUCGUGAAACCAUAGCGCGUGUCUUCACCCCUGAAGCUCAAGAAUACGUCGUACUUCCAGAGUUUGGACUUGGAGGAGGACGAAGAGGAGGCUUCGUGGGCUGUCAUGGCGUUAUCCACCGUUAUGGCUCAGCAGUGGUUCAGAAUCAGAUCACAGACUGAAAAAAUAGCAAUAGUUGUGUUUGCGUUGGCGUGUUGACCUGAAAAGCGACAGACUGCCGAACGGGAAGGUGCAAGGAAAGAGAGAAGAAGAGCGACAGACUAUUAAAAUGAUGCCACGACCCAGAAGAAUAUUAAAAUGAUGCUUGACGGUGAAAAGCCGUCCGACACGUCACAGGACGUUGGAAAACAAACAAUAUUAUGAGAGAGGAAGAAACAAAACUCUGAAAUUGAAAAAAAAAAUAUUAUCUCCUUCUUCAACUUGCAAGUUGCAACAAACAAACAAAAAAAUCACUUUAACAUAUUCCUGUAGAAAAACCCAUCACAGAAGUAGCAAAUUUAGGAGACAGAAAGAGACCUGCACUCAAAUCGUAAGUUCGCCCGAGAAAUUUUCCAAUUCAGAAUCCAGAUCGUGGGUGGUCGAGAAUUUUCAAGGGAUUUUUGUAACUUGGAAGCCAUCUUUUUCAAUUUCAUAGCCGCAGGGAGGACUGAAAUGUGGGGGUAGAAGUUGGCGGGAAAAGUACUUUGGUGUUCUUGGAUUUAUCGAGGAAGGGGGAAGGUGAGAGAGAGAAUAAAAUUAUUUUUAAUGGUAUUUUUUUAAUUAAAUUAACAAUGAGGUCCAGACUCGCCAUUAAAAGAUCACGACCCCCAAAUUUCAUCCAACGGAUAAAAGAAGAGAAGGUUUUAAAAAGUAUAACAGUUCUUGACCGUUGAAUGAAAUUUGAAGGGUUAGGAUCUAUUGAUUCCCGGGUUCAGGUGGAACAGAUCCUCUCCGGAUCUGUUCCUUAAUUAUGGAGGAAUGGGGGAGUUCGCGUGCUAGCAUUUCUUUUUCAAGCAUUAACAAUGAGGCCCAGGCUCACCAUUAAUGGAUUUGGAACCUCUCCUGAGCUUAAGGAGAGGAUCAUUCUGACCAAAACACGUGGACCGUUAGAUGAAAAUUUAACGGCUAUAAUUAUUAUAACUUUAAAGAGACCUUAUGUUUGUAGCCGUUGGAUUUUCAUCUAACGGUUCACGUGUCUUGGUCAGGAGGAUCCUCUCCAUAAGCUCAGGAGAGGAUCCAAAUCCACCAUUAAUUAUGGAGGUUCAGUUACACGUGGAGUUGAAUGGGGGAGUUUGACAGGAGAGAUUUUUUAGGAUGACAGUCACACAAGGUGGUACAUCACGUAUUGUUAUAAAUUGUGGGAUAUGUUUAUUUUCCACCGAUAUGGCAGUAGUGAAUGAAGAUAAAAAUUUCCUAGAUCAAGGGAUGGUGGGUGUGGGAGUCCCGAAACUGUACGUGUUGGACUCCAUAACUAAAAAAAAAAGUUUACCAAAUAUUCAGACACUACUUCUUUUAUUAAAAGCACGUUUACAAAAAAAAAAAAGUUUACCAAACUCUUAACAACUUUAUUUUACAACUGUUUAUUCUCACAGCACAAUAGAUGUAGUUUUUUUUAAAAACACAGCAAUACCAAACUAGCCUUAAAUGUGCACACCUGCCCCCAACAAGAUUGGUAAUUGUGAGCAUCCGUCGCACAACUUCGGACAACUCCAUCGUCCUCUGACAAUAUAAACCCUGAAAUCGAACCGAACCUUAAAACACUUAAACUUUGACAUAAUGAUGUGCGGGAAGUAAAAGGUUUGAUUAAAUCAGCAUCGGGAGUCCCAAUAUUUGAAUUUAAGGGCCGAAUUAAUGUGGGCUAGGAUAAGUUGUCCAUUGGGCCUUUGAAUUUAAGGGCCGAAUUAAUGUGGGCUGGGAUAAAAAUUUGAUCUUGUUUGGACCUAUGAUCCGAGUAAACAAAAGUAAGUCAAUGGCUCAGAGUUGACAAUAAUACAAACUGUAGAUAAUAUUUAAUAAUAUAAGCAAUACGUUGCGGGUUCUCUAUCGGUAACUAACCUAACAUCUAAUCUAAUAAAAUCUAUCAUUUAACAAAAAGCACUGCGGCGCUGCACUCCUACAGGCACACAAAUUCUACACUAGCAGGCACUUUUUUCUUGAGGUGUUGGAUGGCAUGAUCUCUUGCAUUCGCUUCCUCGUUCUCCAGUAGGUAAUUGAUCUCGAUUCCCGUAGGCCAACACCAAAACCGGACAGGAAUUAUAACAAUCUUCUCUAGUGCAACAACAUUCUUCACCAAGUACCUGACAUGCUUUACGCAACACCUGUGACCCCGAUACCCUGCUAUUUCUACCACCUACCUUGAGGCAGUGAUGGGGUUGUUUGGAAACUUUCUCUAGUAUUGCCAUGUCCUCGUUGGAGGUUCCAAAUUCCAACUGCAACAAGGAAAGCAAACAAAACCAGAUUCAAUACAAACCCCGUUGUUCAUUCUUUUGGUUCUUCGAGAAUACAGGUAACAGUGAGAUGAGAGGAUAUGAACGCACAAAAACAUUCAUACAUAUAUCAACUUUUAUUUGGUAGCCUAUCAAUAACAAAGGCAUACAAUACAUACAUACCCCCAAAACAAGGCUGCGCAAGUCAGGAGCUGCCUUCAUGAAAGAAGCUAAGUGACCAAGGGACAGACAGUAGUCGGCAUCCACUAAUAAUUCCAAAUGCUUUAGAUUUGAUAACGCGGGAAACGCAUGAUUCUGAUUGUAGACCUGAAAGCCAACAACAACUGAGUAAGGGACGCGACAAUACUUGAUCUCAACCAAAUAACAUGGGAUAAGUAUGCUAACCGCUUUCCUGAUAUCCAGCUUCAGGGUCUCUAAAUGAGAAAGACAGCAUGAGAGUUGACUGAACGCAAGCCUUAUGAAUUCAGCAAAAGUGCCCCACUUGUAAAUGGAUACCUCAACCAGCAGGGGCACAUUAUUCAAACUCAAAUCUCUUAUCGGUCCACAAUAAAUAAAGGAGACAAUGUUUGCACCAGAGAUCUCAAUGAACCUGAGAUCAAGGCAAUACGUUAUCUCUAAAUAUUUCAACGCGAUGGAGGGACCUAUCACUCUUAGCUUGCCUAAAUCUUUGGCAAAACUCAGCGACAAACGUUCUAGAACUGGACAGUUGGACAACAGAACUCAACAGCAUCGCCAGUCACACCAACAUGUUUAAAGCGAACAACUCUGAGGGACUUGAAAGGAGCAAUACUGUAUCCACAAGGGCGUAGGCUUGGAAGGUUAGAAAACAGGCCCUUCUGCUUUUCCGGACCCAAUAGUAGCUUGUGGGGAAAUGUGUAGUCAUCAUCAAGGCAAGCUAUUGAGUCUGUCCAAAGCUCCAACUCAAGUAUUUGAACCCUCUUUUCCAUUGCAAAUUGGAUCCAUUUGGCAAUGGAACCUGCAAAGUCGCUUUGCAGAAAAAAGCAAACCCCGAAGCGUUCAAUGCAUUGGCCUCUAUGUUGGCCCAGAAUGUGAUCGACCCAAUUGACGUAGAGGCGGCUUUCCUGGUCUCUCGCUUGUUUCUCGAGCUUCAAGAAGCGUUGUAUAGUAGUGGUGAUAGUACCAUCGCCAACAUCAAAGUUAACAGCGUCAAAACUGAGAGUCGUAGUAGAUGCCCAUACAUGGCGCCAUCGCCUUGAAAGAAUACUAGUAGCUGCUGCUUCCUUUAGCGGCAAGAGUGAUACUAUACAGACAAGGAUUUCGGGUGGUAAAUUACUGAUUCGGUCCUGCAGCAUGGCCCAGCUGUGCCCAUCAUCCUUGCAUAUACAGAAAAGAAGAGAGAAAUACAUUCUUAUUAGCCAAAAAACUUUAAAAGCAAAAAUCAUAAACAUAAUCCCUAAGAGUGUUGCUGGGUAAUCUUAGGCGUUCGAUUUCAUGAUUCUACCAAAAUCAUUCAUUAAAAAAACAAAAAGACAAUCCCAAAGAGUGUUGCUGGGUAAUUUAACAAGUCAUGUAAUAUAUUGGGAAACAAACAACAACAAUAACAAAGCUUUUUUUUGGGUCGGCUAUAUGAAUGCUAGAUCGUCAUUGCGCUCGGUCAUAUGUCACUUCUUCUAUUAGAUCCUAUUACUCUAAAUCUUUUCUUAGAGUCUCUUCCAAAAUCAUUCUAGAUCUUCCUCUACCACUUCGAUCCUGAACACAUGUCCCGAAUCGCAUCUUUUAACCUUAGUAGCUUCGUUUCACAUGUCCAAACCUCUGUAACCGAUUUUCUUUUAUUUUUCCUUCAAUUUCAGUUACUUUUAAUUUAUAUCCUCAUUUCUAAUCUUAUCAAUAAGAAACAAUUAAAAAAGAAAGGGAAAAAAAAAAACUGCAAUUUGUAUGAAGGUGGAGAAAAGGUUUUUACUUUUUACCUUGAGUGGUUGAGAGGUGUUCGUCUCCAUUGAAUCUGAACCUUUGGUCGGUCUGAUGAGUCAGGGCAGAAUGAGGUGGCGUUUGCGGUUUUAUUCUAGACUUGGAGCCUCUAGGGUUUUGAAUUCAGUAAAGAGUGAGAGAGAAACCAACUUAAAAUUCCAAAUCAAAUCAAAGAGAAGAUCAGGGAAUCAAGGUUUGGUAAGUUUCAGUCCAGAAGGGGUUUGGCCGAUUCACGGCGUCGGGGUCGCAUGUCGGAAUGGGGAAAAGGUGGUGAUUCGCGAAGGAGGGGAUGGUUGGUGUCGUGACCGUCAAGGGGGAGAAAUUUUUGGUUAUAAUCCUAACACAAGGGAUAUAAAUGUGUUAUUAAUUAUAUAGGUGGUGAAAAGUUUUAUCAUUUUUUACAUUUGAUUUACUUUAUUAAUUUACUUCUCGUCAAAUCGAAAUGAUUGAUGACGAUCAAAAGACAUAAAUUAAUAAAAGAUAUGUUAGAAGGAAAUGGAUUCCACACACCCCUUCUUACAUUGAUAUAUCUAUAUAGUGAUUCAUCAUUUGUAUUAUCUCUUUAUAUAAAUGAAACUCACAUGUCUUGACGCACCUAUCCAUACUAGAGAGAUAGGAAAAAGGUAAAUUGGAUGAUGUUUUCGUAUAAGUUACCUCUCCCAUUCAUAUUCCAAAGCAAAAAAUUUAGAGAAAAAAUCCAUGCCGUGGGGGUCAGUGGUUAAGUUGAUUAUUUUUCAAAAUAUAUUUCAAUAACAAACAAUAAUAUCCAAAAUAAGUAAAAUUUAAAAUAAUAUUAAAACAACAGAAAAAAGCCAAUUGCCACACUUAUAAGCAUGUGGCAUCUAGUAUAUAUAAAACUUUUCGAAAUAUCAAAAAUGUUCUUUUGUUUUCUUCACAAUGAAAAUUCAAAAUAUUUAAAAAAUACAACAAACUAGUAGAAUCUUCUCAGUAUCUCUGAUAUCCUCUUUUGUAUUCUCGGUGUGUUAUUUUUGUUUCCCGUUUUAUGUCAGGUUUUGAAGUGAAAAAGAUACAAUUAUAUUGCAGGAAGCGGCUGGAAAGGAUGACGAAGAUGAGCACGACCCAGUGAAAACUCGAGGAAGAAAGAGUAUAUGAGCAUGAAAAAUGCGAUCAGUUCCGUCUUUGUGUGUCGCAUGCAUGGAAUAAAAGUAUAUGACUAUGCGUAGUCAAUUGCAACAAUUCUUCAUAAUUCUUCAUAAAGGACAAAUAAUCAGGAGGAAAACUAAUGAAAAUAGCUUGAAAACUUUGAGUUUUAACGAUAAGGACAAAAUAAAUGGUAAAAAUGAAUAGAAUCAUGUUUGACUUUUUAAUGUAAAAAUAUGAUUUUUCGUUAAAGUGAACAGUAUCGCAUGUGUUUUUUUGUUAAAACUCUCAUAAUCACGAUGGUGCACGAAGUGCCAACAGGAUCCUAUUCGGAUCCUCUUUGUGAGGAUCCCAAGAAUCUGUAAAUUGUGUCUGUUCAUCGUACAUAUCAGUGUUUUUUUUUUGUUUGUUUUUUUUUUUGAGAUACUGUUUAAGUUCAAUUUUAAAUAAAAUAAUUUCUAACCACAUGAUACACGAUGAACGGACACGAUUCAUGAAUCUCAAUGAUCUUCACAAAGAGGAUCCAAGGAGAAUCCAGAUUACACGAAGUGGUGCUCGUGGAUUGGUGACUGUUUGGAUGAGUAAGGCUAGAGGCAUAAUACAAUUAAAAUCAAAAUAUCGUCCAGUGCCUACAUGUCCCCAUAAAUAAAUACAAGUCGUCCUACAACAUUCAAAUCACUUCAACGCAGCGCUACUUCAAGUUCGUCAUUAAAUCUCUUCCAAAGAGUAGUCAUUGAGUCCAUGUUUAUAGAGGUUAUCUUGUAAGCCUUAUCGGCCAAGUGAGAGAGUUCCCAAUUAGUGUUCGGCGCAGUAAAAACCGAACUUCAUUUUUGAAGUCACUAGCAACCUUGUUUUCAAGGUAACUAGCCUUGUUUUAAACCUCAUUUGGCCUUGAUCGCUUGAAUACAGAAAUCAAGAGUGUGUUCAGUGUUACCACUUACUUAUUCAUUCUACUCAUAGACUGAGCUCGGGAGACCCAACAUUUGAUUAAGUGCAAGACUACUGCAGUAAAAAAUAUCGAAAUAGGAUAAGUUGUACAAACAACAGCAUCUGGAGAGCCAACAUUUGAAUUUAAGGGCCGAAUUAGUGUGGGCUGGGAUAAGUUGUCCAUUGGAUUUUCCGGUGAAAGUAAAUACAAGGCCUUUCUUCUGUCGGCGUCGUCUAGGGUUUUAGUUGUAACGAAGCCUAUAAAAGCAGCACGAUAGCCCCAGUAAUUCAUCAACCUUCAAUUCAGAGGCUGGAGCCGCCGUAGAAAUAUUACUAUUACCAUCCUCCCCUCCCAUAUGUCCUUAUGGAUUCAGGGCGCAUAUGGACAGGGUAAUUACAAUCCUUAUGGAUUCCGGGGCCUGCAUAUGGACAGGAUAAUUGCAAAAUGAUGAAUCCUUAUGGAUUUCAGGGCCUGCAUAUGGACAGGGUAAUUGCAAAAGGGAUGAAGGUAAUAUUUAAUUCUCUAGAUAUAUAUUUUUUAUCUGUUCAAAUAUCUCUAGAUAUACAUAUAUGUAGCUAAAUGAAAUAGAAGGGCGAAAACCUUACUUAUGAGAAUGACAUUCGUUUGAACUUUGAACCCUUGAGAUGGAUACCUUAUGUAACAAUGGCUUUCCAAUUGAUCCAAUGAAUGUCGAAUUUCCAAUUGAAGGGUUAAUCUAUUGUUUGGAGAAUUUUGAUUUUGAUUUGUUUGGUAAUACUGUCCAGCAGAAGUUCGAUUGAUUUAAUUUCUUUUGGUUAUUGUGUUUUUGUGUUCCAAGGGGCUGGUCUGGUAGUUUUCGGAGCAGGGUAUUCAGCACCGGAUGAUCAAGGGUGGUACUCUCUUGGUCAUAUUUUAUUCCUUUUUAAAGUCGCAUCGCAUAUGAAUUCUCUAUUUCAUUUGUAUGGAGAAUUCAUAGACGAUGUGAUUUUUAAAAUGAAUAAAAUCAACCACUCUUGUUCAUCAGGUACCUCAAUAUCUUGCCUCGAAGACUGCUCCACCAGCCCCAGGAAUACAAAAACAGCAACACCCAAAAGAAAUUAAACCAAACGAAUCAAAAUCAAGAUUCUUCAAACAAUAGAUUAACCUUUCAAUUGGAAAUUCGGUUCAAGAGUUUUCGCCCUUUUAUUUCAUUUAGCUACCUAUAUGUAUAUCUAAAGAGUUUUGAACGAAUAUAUAUAUAUUUAGAGAGAUGGGCGAUCUAGAGAAUUAAAUAUUAGCGUCAUCCCUUUGGUAAUCACCAUGAUCUUCACUAGCUCGUCAAGACACCAACUCGAGUGCGCAUCAACUCUUCGAUUGCCAGUAACAGUUCCUCUUUCAUUUCUUUUCCUCUUUUGAGAUCGUUGUCAUCCAUAAAAGUCUGGUAUCCCCUGUCUUUUAAGCCCUUGCGCGUGUCUUUGCCUCUGAAGCUCAAGAAGACGUUGUAGUUCCAAAGUUUUGACUUGGAGGAGGAUGAAGAGGAGGCUUCGUGGGCUGUCCUGGCGGUAUCCACUGUUAUGACACUGCAGUGGUUCAGAUCACGACUAAAACAAUAGCCGUGGUUGUGGUUGUGUAACUUGUGUUGCCGAACAGAUGAUACUGAAAUACCGAAACACAAGUCUUAUGCCUUUGAUUUCAUCGAUCUCCCAAAAUUAUUCAUUAAAAAAAAAACAAUCCCAAAGUGCAGGGUAGUUUAGAACAAAUCAUAUAGGAUAUCUGGGAAACAAACAAUUCAAAAAAACAAAAAAGGUGCAAUUUUUUAUGACAGUGGAGAAACAAGUUUUUACUUUUUACCUUGAGUUGUUGGGAGGUCUUCUUCUCCACUGAAUCUGAACCUAAGGUGGAAGGAGAUGGCGUUUGCGGUUUUGUUCUAGACUUCAAGCCUCUAGGGUUUUGAAUUCAGGAAAGAGUGAGAGAGAAACCAGCUUAAAAUUCCAAAUCAAAUCAAGGAGAAGAUAAGGGAAUCAUGAUUUGGUGAGUUUCAGUCGAGAAGGGGUUUGGCGGAUUCACGGCGUCGGGGUCGCACGUCCGAGUGGGGAAACGGUGGUGAUUAGUGAAGGAGGGGAUGGUUGGUGUCGUCACCGUCGCUCAAGGGGAAGAAAUUUUUGGUUGUGCUCUUAACACACCACGUGUUAGUAUAUAGAUAGUGGAAAAUUUUCUCUUUUUUACUGUUUAAAUGUCAUCUUAUCUUAAUUUACGUUCAUCGAAUUGAAUGAAUUGAUAAGACAUAAAUUAACAAAUGAUUUGUGAGAAGUAAAUAAGAUCUACAUAUCCCUUCUUGUAUUGAUAUAUUCAUCUAAUUGUAUCAUCAUUUGUAUCAUCUCUAUAAUAGAGAUGAGAUUCAUAUGACGAACAUAUCUCUAUUAAAAAAUGAUAUAAUGAGGAAAAAGGCAAAAAAUGUGAAGUUUUCAUAUAAGUUACCUUCUCCAUCAAUAUUUCAAAGCAAAAAAUUUAGAGAAAUAAUCCAAGUCGUGGGGUUGGAUGGCUAAGUUGAUUAUUUUCCAAAAUAUAUUUCAAAAACAAACAAUAAUAUCCAAAAUAAGUAAAACUUAAAAUACAAUUAAACAAAAAAAAAAUCAACUACAACACGUGUAAACAAGCGGUACAAGACUAGUAUAUAUAAAACUUUUUCGAAAUAUGAAAAAUAUCAUUUUGCUUUCUUCACAAUCAAAAUUCAAAAUAUUAAAAAAUACAACAAACUAGUAUAAUCUUCUCAGUAUCUCUGGUAUCCUCUUUUGUCUUCUCGAUGUUUUAUUUUUGUUUCUCAUUUUAUGUCGGGUUUGAAGUGAAAACCCCGACAUAGGAUAAGUUGCACAAGCGACAGGCAUCGAUUCGGGAGAGCCAACAUUUGAAUUUAAGGGCCGAAUAAGUGUGGGCUGGGAUAAAGUUGUCCAUUGAGCUUUCGGGUGAAAGUAAAUAGAAGGCCUUUCUUCUGUCUAGGGUUUUAGUUGUAACAGAGCCUAUAAAAACGAGCACAAUGACCCCAGUAAUUCAUCAACCUUCAAUUCGCAGACCUUUCUUCUGACUGGAAUCUGGAGGCUGGAGCUUCCAAUUCCAUGCAGAAAGAUUACUAUUACCAUCCUAUCAAAUUGCCUCCCAAAACUCUCUAAAUGGUGGUAUGCUCUCUUCACCAAUCCGAGUUUUGAAUUGAAGCACCUCUCCAACUCCGCCAACAACCACCUCACCACUCGCAACCUCUUUUUCAAGCAAUAGUAGUGCAGCGGCAGCAUGAGGAGGAGGAGGAGGAGGAAACUGAACAAGUAUUCUUGUUGCUUAAGUUAUGCAAGGACGUUGCUUAAGUUAUGCAAAGACGAUGAUAAUAUCGGUGACGAGGAAAGCGGUAGCUGCUCUCUUGUUGGUGUCCAGGACAUCAUUUUUCCUCACUCUUUUAUUCAAAAGGUCCAGAAAGGCCAUAUUCAAAAGGUCCAGAAAGGCCAUCAUUUAUUUAGAUACAAGUCGCUGUAAAACUUAGAGCACUAGGGUUUUCAGCUUUUGAUUGCACACCCAUAUAACGAUGGGUAGCAGUGUAUUUAUACAAUACUUUCAGAUUACAAGUAGGGUUUUGAAUACCCUAUUUACACGGAUAACUUUGAAUUCAAAAAUACAAAAUCAUAACAACUUAUCUUUGGAUUAUUCAAAACUGAAACCCGGACCUAGCAAUCUUAUCCUAUGAAGAGUUUGUUGCAGAGAUUAGUUUGGGAUAAGAUUGACUUGGUCUAACAUCCCCCCGCAAGCUGACAGGUCGAGCAACGACGGGAAGCUUGGAAACUAACAAGUUGAAGCGUGAAGAGGAAAGACCCUUGGUGAACAAAUCGGCAAUCUGGUCUUGGGAACAAAUAAAAUGAACCAAAAGCUGUCCACGGACCACCUUCUCUCGUACAUAAUGGUAGUCCACUUCCAAGUGUUUCGUCCGGGCAUGAAAAACUGGAUUGGAAGCCAAAGCAAUGGACGAAACAUUAUCACACCAUAUAUGCGGUCGUGGAAGAUAGAGAUGUAGAUCACGAAACAAACUUCCUAACCAUGACAACUCAGCUGCAGUAUAAGCAAGCUGCCUAUACUCAGCCUCUGUGCUAGAUCUUGAGACAGUCUUCUGUUUCUUUGAACUCCAGGAAAUCAAAUUCGUGCCCAAAUAGAUACAGAAGCCACCAGUUGAAUGACGUGUGUCUGGAUUUCCCGCAUAAUCAGCAUCAGAGAAGGCAUUUAACCGAACAUCACCAGGUUUGUAGACAAGACCGUGAUCAUGUGUGGCCUUUAAAUACCGCAAAAUCCUCUUAACCACCAUCCAAUGUGUAGUCCGAGGCAUAUGCAUGAACUGGCAAACCUGGUUCACAGCAUAAGAAAGAUCGGGUCUGGUGAUCGUCAAGUAUUGGAGCGCUCCAACAACCGUUCGAUAUUGUUCUGGAUUAGAAUAAGGUUCACCAUCAUACUACUGACUGAUCUUGUGUCCCGCAGGUACAGGAGUGGAUACUGGUUUGACAGCAGUAAACUUGGUGCGCUCCAGCAGAUCCAAUGCAUACUUGGAUUGUGUAAGAUGCAUAUUCUCCCCAGAAUAAGUAACCUCGACACCCAAAAAAUAACUUAAGGGACCUAAGUCCUUCAUAGAAAACAAAGUGCCGAGCUUCUCUAUCAACCAUUGCAUUUGUUGAUCAUUAUUGCCUGUAAGAAGAAUGUCAUCCACAUAGAUAAGUAAGAUCAAGUAAACACCUCGUUGAUUAAACACGAACAAUGAAUAAUCACAUAAUGAUUCUUCAAACCCAAGUUGAAGCAGAUAAUCCGAGAAUCUUCGAAACCAGGCUCUGGGAGCCUGUUUUAAUCCAUACAAACUUCUCUGCAAUUUACACACAUAAUGGGGAUACUGCUGAUCAAGAAAACCGGGCGGCUGUUUCAUGUAGACAGCCUCAUCCAAAUAGCCAUGCAAGAAUGCAUUCUGUACAUCCAACUGUCGCACCGUCCACUUCUUCGACACUGCAAGACUCAAAACAAGCCGAAUGGUGCUGUGUUUCACGACCGGACUAAACGUUUCAUUAUAAUCCACUCCGGAUUGCUGAUGGUAACCGUUAGCCACAAGUCGAGCCUUGUGACGUUCGAGAGAACCAUCGGCACGUCUCUUGAUUUUAAACACCCAUUUGUUUGGCAGCAGGUUCAUCCCAGGACAAUAUGGAACAAGCGUCCACGUUCCACACCUUUGCAAAGCACUGAACUCUUGUGCCAUUGCUGCCCUCCAUUCUGGAUAUUUGAUAGCCUGACUAAAACAAGACGGCUCAACAAACUUGGAGUCAGCGAUUGCAUGCAAAGCAUAUUUUGGAUUUGGCUUUUGAAUCCCAGAUUUUGACCUUGUUGUUAUGGAGUGGGGGAGAGUAGGCUCUCGUAUGGAAGAUGAGGUGGUAGAUAAAGUUGUUGAAUGAGAAGGAUUCUGAGAACUUUGUACAGAUGGAAGGUGAACCAAGUCUUGCUCAUCGGUGGGACCUAAUGUGGAACUAGGUUGAGGUGUCCUAUUUAAACACGGGAUGGUAGGGAUAGGUGGAUGAGGAGUAAGGUCCAAAUUUGAAACAGGUUGUUGGGGAGGAAAAGGUGGCGUGAUAUGCGGCUGAUCAGUAGACACCAAGUUUGACUCAGGUUGGUGGUUGAGGCUAGGAUGAGACUCGACACGAUUUGGUGAAGAUAUGGAUGGUACUAAGGGUGAUGAGGGUGUAGUGGUUAAAAUCAAAUCAGGGGUCAACGAUGUACCUGUGAUAGUGACGGCUUCCUUGGGAGAUGCAAGUUCCUUGAAAGGAAAGGAAUCCUCAUCAAAUAAAACAUGGCGAGACACGUAGAUGCGUCUCGUGGAUAAGUCCAAGCACUUGUAUCCUUCAUGAUUCAGUGAAUAUCCUAAGAAAACACAUGGUUUGGACUUUGGUUGAAGUUUAUGCCGUGUAUACGGAGUCAACAGUGGAAAACAUUUUGAACCAAACACUUUAAAUGCCUCAUAUUUUGGAUUCUUUUGAAACACUUUUUCAUAGGGAGACACGUUAGAUAAAACCUUUGUUGGAAGCCUGUUUAUAAUAUAAACAGCUGUGGAACAUGCAUCGAACCAAAAUGUUUGAGGCAUAUGAGCAUGAGAAAGCAUUGUAACACUAGUUUCAACUAUAUGACGAUGCUUUCGCUCGGCAAUUCCAUUUUGUUCAGGAUGUUUUGGACACGAAAAACGUUGGGAAAUCCCAUGUGUAGCAAGAAAAGUUUUGAAAUCGCGACUCAUGUAUUCACCACCUUCAUCACAUUGAAGAGCUUUAAUAGAUUUGUUAAACAUUUUUUCAACAUGUGUUUUAAAUGUCACAAAAAUUCCAAAUACUUCAGAUUUAUUUUUCAUGGGAAAGAUCCACGAAUAUCGUGAGUAGUCAUCCACAAACAACACGUAAUAACGAAAACCUUCAUUAGAAAUAAUAGGUGAACUCCAAACAUCUGAAUGCAAAAGUUCUAAUGGACAAUAAGACACGGACACAGACUUGGUAAAGGGAAGUUUAGUGCUUUUGCCUAAUGGACAAGAGUCACAAAACGUUACAGUACUUGUACCAGAUGAUGGUACUUGGUUAUUUGCAAUCAAAAAUUUAAUAAUUGACGAAGCAGGAUGACCAAGACGUAAAUGCCAUUUCUGGGGUGAGACUCUAACACCGACACACACUGAAAUAGGAUAGUUGGACAAUCCACCGCCACCAGGAAAUGGAUACAAUCCAUUCUCACAUCUCCCGCGGAAAAGCGUCUUCCGGGUUUUGAGGUCCUUAACAAGGAAAAAAUAAGGAAAUAUCAGUAUAUAGCAAUGGUUAUCUAGGGUGAAUCUGUGUGCCGAAAUAAUAUUAGUGGAUGCGGAUGGACAAUGUAAAAUGUCAUGGAGGUUAAAUGAGCAAGACUUAGUGGAUGCGUUAGGUAUUUCAUGGUAUGCCGAACCAUCUAAAGCUCCAACGAUUACCCCUGGUGCGUGACCUUGAUUUGAAGCAUAUUGUGCGGAAUGAAUCAGUUGCCCUGUUUGCCCUUUUCUUUGAGAAUCAUCAGAAUUAUAGAUAUCCUAAACCUGACUUAUAUGAAAUGUGGGUGACGGAUGACGACUCUAACGGUGUUCCCACAAACAUAUCACAUAUUUUCUUCUAGGCCUGUGGCAUUGUGGAGUGAUGAGUUUCUUAUGGUUCACAGUGAUGAACGCUCAGUUUGCUUUAAUCUUUGUACUACAAAGCUUACGUAUAUUCCCAUUGAAACAUUAGGUGAGUUUGUUGGUUAUGUGAAUAGCAGAGUUUCUGUCAUGGGACGCAACCACAAGCCUGAGAGCAUGGAGAAUAAUUGCUCAGACAAAGAUGAAGAUGCGAUGGUGGUGGUAGACGGGAAGAGGGAAAGCUGCAGGAGGCGGUACACAUAUUCCGUUUCGGCCAUUCAACCGGCUGAUGUUUCCCAUAGAAUCAAGAAGGUGAUGGAGGGCCUCCGGGCAGAGUUUGGUGCAUGUCCCUGUAAACAGUAAGUUGCUGUUUACAUUAACUUUUGAGCUGUUUUUUUUUUUUUGGUUUUCACGAAAGCUUCCUUUUUAAUUUCUUCCUGUUGUUUACGGGAAUGUUCAUAUGUAAUCUGUCUGUCUGCAAACAUUUGAUGGAUGCAGGUUCUAUGACAUAUUUAAGCCUCCUCUACUGGAAGUCGAUGGAUGCAGGUUCUAUGCCAUAUGUCAGAAACAAGUUUUUCUUGCAAAUCAACCAGACCAUGUUUACACGUAGUGUCGCAAACGUUGGCAAGGAAACUUUUGAAUUCAAACUUAAAAUGAAUUUGAUUAUAAAUGGUUUUGGCAGCUGUUGUUUUACCCAACUCGCUCAUCCCCCAAAUUACAAUCAUGACAACGUCAUUUGAUCCACCACUUGAAAGAUGAUUGAUAAAAUCAUCGUGGAGGAUUUUCGAGGAAUUCGAGUAGUCGACCGCUUUUGAAACUUGGACUCACGGACGGCCACAGUGAGGUAGCAGCUGUGGAGUACUCCUGACGACGUCGUUCCAGGAACUAAGGUACUUUCUGAUACUUGAUGCUUGCUCAAUGCUCGGCUAAAUAAGUUAGAGAUUUCUUUGAUUGAUCACUUUUUGGAUUUUGAAUAUGUUCAGUUUAGUAUUCAAACGAGUUUAUCGACUGCAAAGGUAGUGGAAAAGAUAAUUCAAACCUUAUGCCAAAAAUGUCAGGGCAAGUCGAGAUUAAUGAAAAGCUUUCGUGGAUUUUCUAACCUUAAAAGUGAAUUCCUGAAAUACGUGGUGGAAGCAGGGCAUGUAUUUGUGCGAAUUCUGAGUCAUAUUUGUCAAAUAUUUUGAUGAAUGUCUUAUAUUGAUUGUUGUAAUGUUGAAAUGUUUCUAGAUGCAAUAUAUCUUCAAAAUUCAAAGCAACUAAUUGAAAACAAUCAUGGGAGCCUGAAAGAAGUUUGAAAUAUGGACUUGUCUUCAUUAUCGAACUGGGAAAGCGAAAAACAAAAGAGGCGUUUGACGAACUGGAUGUAGGUCAAAAACAUAACUCACUUGGUCCAAAAUCUUGAAUAUUUUCCUUCAUAGGUUUGUCCCAUACUAGAGUAACCCUUGUUCUAAUCAAUGAAACAUAAUUAUAUAAGAUCCUGCCAAAAUUAGAUCAACUUCAACUUCAACACUGCCUUGCAAAUUGAGCUUCAGAACACGAGUCGGAUUGCAAAUGAUGGCAAAAUGUUUGAAAGUGGAGAAAAUUUCGGAGAUUUUCUAUUGAGAAAUCCAUCAUUUCUUAGUCUUGCGGAGGAGAUUUUUUAACUUAACAUGAACAGCCCUACAAUUUAUUCAACUCUCAGUCUCACUAUCUCCAAAUGGUAAAGGCCAAGAGACUCAGGUGUCCGACUUAAUGUUACAUGAACAAGUAGAUGAUGAAUAAUCAAGAGACAAAGAGAGGAGCGUAAGAAGAUCUUCGUCCAUUGGGUCGGAUAUCUGACCUCCUAUAUCACUGACUGUCGGACCUUGUGGCUUCCAAUGAUGAAUAGAUAAAGAAAGAUGCGUAAGAAGAUCUUCGUCCAUUGGGGCGGAUAUCUGAUCUCCUUUGUCACUAACUGCUGGACCCUGUGGCUUCCAAUGAUCAAGAGACCGAGAAAGGCGCGUAAGAAGAUCUUCGUCCAUUGGGUCAGAUAUUUGAUCUCCUCUGUCACUGACCGCCGGACCCUGUGGCUGGAAGAGUAUUGGGAGAUUCUCAGGACGAGUUUGAGGUUGAAUACGACAACCUGCAUGAAAAAUACCAGGAGGCAAGGAAAAACGUGAAUGCGCAAGGUUGAGAGGAUCAUGAUCAUGCACUGUUAUAGUACUACCCAUGUAAUUGAAAAAAUCCAUCAUAUCUUAGUCUUGCGGAGGAUAUUUUUAUCUUAACAUGAACAGCCCUACAAUCUAUUCAACUCUUAAUAGUCUCACUAUCUCCAAAUGGUAAAGGCCAAGAGACUCAGGUGUUCAGCUGAAAGUUACCUGAACAAGUAGAUGAUGAAUAAUCAAGAGCCAAAGAGAGGCGCGUAAGAGAAUCUUCGUCCAUUGGGUCGGAUAUCUGAUCUCCUCUGUCACUGACUGCCGGACCUUGUGGCUUCCAAUGAUGACGAGACAAAGAAAGGCACGUAAGAAGAUAUUCGUCCUUUAGAACUCCAAUGUCACUGACUGCAGGAAAACUAUUAGAAGACAAGAAAAAAUGUGAAUGCUUGCUGAGAGGACCAUGAUCAUGCACUGCUAUAGUACUUACCAAUGUAAUUUCUGAGAUGAUAAUCAUUAGAUGGCUCAUAAUUAUCAGAUGACUCCCCAUAGAACCGAGCUGGAUGUUGGUCAAAAACAUAACUAGCUUGGUCCAAAUCAUGCGUAUUUUCCUUCAUAGGUUUGUUCCACACUAGAUUAACCAUUGUUCUCAUUGAUGACGUAUCAUAACAGUUUGCUGAAAGUUGAACUUCAACUUUAUCCCCACUUUGCAAUUUGAGCUUAUCGUUCGAUAGUUGUCCUUGCCAAAGUAUGUGCCAAAGAUUAUAGUUUGAAGGCUUAUCCCAAUAUCCGCUGCCUAAGUAAGCCUGCAACUUAGUACGCUUGGUAUUAUUUAUAAUAGUAAUGCCAAAUACAAAAUUACUUUCAAGUGAAUAUUUGUGCAAGAAGCACAUAGUCAGCCCUUCAAAAGUACGAUCAUCAUUCGGGGGAAUAACAAUGCUGACUUUAUUGUCAUCAUUGACAAACUCAAACCAAUCAGGUACAAAAUUCCCAUAGAGUAAAAUGCCACCAAAUCCGCACGAAGUCCAUCCCUACAUAUACAAUGCAAGUGUCAUAUACAUACAUACAUACAUACAUACAUACAUACAUACAUACAUACAUACAUACGUAUACAUGUAAACGUGUGUUUGUGUGUGCAUGUGCACGAUAGGAAGGCAAUGAGAGAUAGAGAGUGAGAUACCUGUAGGAUGUUCUUCCCAAAAUCAGCUGUGAGAUUGGUGCAGUUACUCAUAUCAAUCAAUGUCAUGAACUUUAAUGACUUAUCCAAGCUUGGAACCUCAAUGAGUUUGGGCGAAUCACUUACCUUCAACUCUGUCAUAUUUGACAUUUCCGAAAAAUUGGGCAUUGUUUCCAAUGCAGGGCAAUCAUCGGCAUACAGAAAUUUCAAAUUUGUUGGUAAAUCAGGGAUUGUACGAAGAUUAAAGCAGUCAUUUAUCCUCAAUGUUUCAAGCUUUGUAAGACCACUUAGGCUGGGUAGGGUAUGAAAAUUAUUCCCUCCAAGAUCCAAAACUUGUAAAGAAAUUAGACUCCCAAGAUCCUGAGGGAUUGCAUCAUGUGCUAAUUUCACACCUUUUAGGGAUAAAAGAGUGAGAUUCUUCAAUCUAACUGUGGAAGAUGGUAUUUGUCUUAUGGCUGUAUGCUUUGCUUCAAGUAUUCUCAAUGAUUUCAUCUCCCCUAAAUCCUCAUGCACUUCUCUGAAUUCGAAACAGUAACUAAGAAGAAGAGUCUCAACAGAUUUCAACUUAUAGAAAUCCCUUGGAAGAGAACUAAGCUUUUCGCAUUCUUUAAGGUUCACCAAAGAAAGUUUUUGAAGUUGACCAAUGGAGGGGUGAAUCUCGGACAAACUCCUACAAUUUUCCAGUAUCAACUCUUCAAGAUUUGGGACUUGUGAAAAGUCCGGUGAUUUAAUUAGAGAUAGGGAAAGACUAAGAUUCAGGAUUUUCAACCUCUCUAGCAACUGUUAUAGAAAACCAAAGGAAAAUUGAAAUUAAUAACCAAAAGGAAGAUGUCAUAAAUAAAUAAAUAAAGGUAAUCCAAAAACAAAUAGGAACAAAACAUCAUCAUGUGUAAUUGAUCGUAACUUAUAACCUUCCCAAACUUGUACCAGAUUGCUGUACUGCAUAUCUAAAACAACUAGUCUUGGUUGGUCAAAAAAGUCAUCUGGUAUGGACUUUAAAGGGCAUCCUUCCCAACACAACCAUAUUAACUCUUUGGGAAGAUGUUUGUAUUCUCCAUUGAGCUGAACGUAUUUGAGAUGAAGGAAUCUCAGUUUCUUCAUAUUGGCAAAUGCUUCUGUACUAAAACUAGGCAUGCUAGAGCUUCGAAGCCAAGGAUAAGGGAAAUUUAGAGCAAGUCCUUCAACUUCUUCAGUUCCCUGUUAACAAAAGGUUAUAUUCAUGUGUAAGAAACGAAUUAUUUGCAUAUAUUUAAAUGUAUUAUUAUUCAUUAGGAACUUCCCAAUGGGUCACCCAUCCUAGGAAUGCUCUCGUUCGAACUCACUUAAUUUCGGAGUUCCAAUGGAAUCGGAAGUCAGUGAGUACCCAAGGCCUCGUGUUAUAUGGAGGUGGGCAUGUACAUAUAAGGCACAUCACCCCCUCUCCGUUGGUCGAUUGUGGGAUGUUACAAAAAAUCACCUACAGUGAUUAUAAUUACACAUAAAUGUUGUUUAAUGUAUAAUAGACAUACGUGGGCUAUAUAUAUGUUUUCAAGCAGGAUGCAUUAUGCAAAAUUUUAUUGGGAAUGUACUUACAGAUUUAUUUCUCAACACUUCGGCAGUCUCUUGACGGUUCCACAACCUACUCCAUUUUCCAGGGUGACCAAGAGAUUUUUCAGAAAUGAUUACUCUGGCCAUUUCUCGAAGCAAAUCAUGCAUAUUCAACUUAUUCUGCUCAACAGUUAUAAGGCAUCGUUCACGGAGUACACUGAUUACUAUUGUUCCAUAAAAUCCGCAUCGAUCUAAUAUUUUUGUGACAUAGUCCUUAUCCUCUCCAAUAAAGAAACAAGAUACGUCAAGAAAUAUAGCCUUCUCUAAAGUAUCUAGCCCUUCAAAGCUUGUUCUGAGUCGAUUUACAAUGUUUCCAUAUGGAUAUCUUCCCAAUUUCUCCAAUUGACAUUCCCACUCUGCCAAUGAUCUUUUAAUCAAAAGAGAUCCUAAAACUUCAAGCGCUAGUGGUAAACCUCCACAAUAAGAAACAAUCUUUUCUGAAACUUCAAGAUAUCCUUGAUUAGGACAACUAUUUUUUAAAGGCAUGCCAACUAAAUAGCUCAAGAGCUUCUUCUUCAUUCAUUUCCUUAGCCCGAAAUGUUUUGUUCACAUUUAGUAGUAAACGUUCAUCUCGUGUCGUUAUGAUAAUUCUACUUCCAAGACCAAACCAAUCAUGACCUCCAACUAUUGCAUCCAGUUGAUCCUCUUUAUCUAUGUUGUCCACGAUGACAAGUAUCUUUCUAUUUGAAAAUUGUUGUCUUAUCAACUCGAUACCUUCAUCAACACAACUUAUUUCAUGCUUCUUUUUCAAGAUGUCAGAAAUAAGUUUUUUUUUGCAAAUAAACCAGAUCAUGUUUACUUGUAGCAUCGCGAACGUCGGCAAGGAAACUUUUGCAUUCAAACUGAGGAUGAAUUUGGUUAUAAAUGGCUUUGGCAGCUGUUGUUUUACCCAAUCCACCCAUCCCCGAAAUUCCAACCAUGAGAACAUCAUUUGAUCCACCACUUGAAAGAUAACUAAUAAUAUCUUGAACGCGAGAAUUGAUUCCAACUAUGUGCUUGGCCACAUGUAAUUCAUUAGUGUUGGUGAGCCAUUCACAAAUAUUCUCGUCAAUAAUUUUUUUAAUGAACUUUGCUUCGCCCCUGAAAAUUGAAUUCGUAAGCAUUAGUGGGACUCAAUGAAGGCUCGGUAGGAGAUAUCAAUACAUAAACAAUGUUCUUUCCUUCUUCCCUUCAUAAUAUAUAUAUAUAUAUAUAUAUAUAUAUAUAUAUAUAUAUAUAUACGAACUUGAAUAAAAGAAUUCAUUGAUAACUAAAAGUUAGGCGUAUGAAUUAAACUCCAAUUACGGUUUAGGUUACUUAUGAGAGAUUAAGGUGUAAUCAUUAACAGAUUUCAACUUAUAGAAAUCCCUUGGAAGAGAACUAAGCUUUUCGCAUUCUUUAAGGUUCACCAAAGAAAGUUUUUGAAGUUGACCAAUGGAGGGGUGAAUCUCGGACAAACUCCUACAAUUUUCCAGUAUCAACUCUUCAAGAUUUGGGACUUGUGAAAAGUCCGGUGAUUUAAUUAGAGAUAGGGAAAGACUAAGAUUCAGGAUUUUCAACCUCUCUAGCAACUGUUAUAGAAAACCAAAGGAAAAUUGAAAUUAAUAACCAAAAGGAAGAUGUCAUAAAAUAAAUAAAUAAAGGUAAUCCAAAAACAAAUAGGAACAAAACAUCAUCAUGUGUAAUUGAUCGUAACUUAUAACCUUCCCAAACUUGUACCAGAUUGCUGUACUGCAUAUCUAAAACAACUAGUCUUGGUUGGUCAAAAAAGUCAUCUGGUAUGGACUUUAAAGGGCAUCCUUCCCAACACAACCAUAUUAACUCUUUGGGAAGAUGUUUGUGUAUUCUCCAUUGAGCUGAACGUAUUUGAGAUGAAGGAAUCUCAGUUUCUUCAUAUUGGCAAAUGCUUCUGUACUAAAACUAGGCAUGCUAGAGCUUCGAAGCCAAGGAUAAGGGAAAUUUAGAGCAAGUCCUUCAACUUCUUCAGUUCCCUGUUAACAAAAGGUUAUAUUCAUGUGUAAGAAACGAAUUAUUUGCAUAUAUUUAAAUGUAUUAUUAUUCAUUAGGAACUUCCCAAUGGGUCACCCAUCCUAGGAAUGCUCUCGUUCGAACUCACUUAAUUUCGGAGUUCCAAUGGAAUCGGAAGUCAGUGAGUACCCAAGGCCUCGUGUUAUAUGGAGGUGGGCAUGUACAUAUAAGGCACAUCACCCCCUCUCCGUUGGUCGAUGUGGGAUGUUACAAAAAUCACCUACAGUGAUUAUAAUUACACAUAAAUGUUGUUUAAUGUAUAAUAGACAUACGUGGGCUAUAUAUAUGUUUUCAAGCAGGAUGCAUUAUGCAAAAUUUUAUUGGGAAUGUACUUACAGAUUUAUUUCUCAACACUUCGGCAGUCUCUUGACGGUUCCACAACCUACUCCAUUUUCCAGGGUGACCAAGAGAUUUUUCAGAAAUGAUUACUCUGGCCAUUUCUCGAAGCAAAUCAUGCAUAUUCAACUUAUUCUGCUCAACAGUUAUAAGGCAUCGUUCACGGAGUACACUGAUUACUAUUGUUCCAUAAAAUCCGCAUCGAUCUAAUAUUUUUGUGACAUAGUCCUUAUCCUCUCCAAUAAAGAAACAAGAUACGUCAAGAAAUAUAGCCUUCUCUAAAGUAUCUAGCCCUUCAAAGCUUGUUCUGAGUCGAUUUACAAUGUUUCCAUAUGGAUAUCUUCCCAAUUUCUCCAAUUGACAUUCCCACUCUGCCAAUGAUCUUUUAAUCAAAAGAGAUCCUAAAACUUCAAGCGCUAGUGGUAAACCUCCACAAUAAGAAACAAUCUUUUCUGAAACUUCAAGAUAUCCUUGAUUAGGACAACUAUUUUUAAAGGCAUGCCAACUAAAUAGCUCAAGAGCUUCUUCUUCAUUCAUUUCCUUAGCCCGAAAUGUUUUGUUCACAUUUAGUAGUAAACGUUCAUCUCGUGUCGUUAUGAUAAUUCUACUUCCAAGACCAAACCAAUCAUGACCUCCAACUAUUGCAUCCAGUUGAUCCUCUUUAUCUAUGUUGUCCACGAUGACAAGUAUCUUUCUAUUUGAAAAUUGUUGUCUUAUCAACUCGAUACCUUCAUCAACACAACUUAUUUCAUGCUUCUUUUUCAAGAUGUCAGAAAUAAGUUUUUUUUGCAAAUAAACCAGAUCAUGUUUACUUGUAGCAUCGCGAACGUCGGCAAGGAAACUUUUGCAUUCAAACUGAGGAUGAAUUUGGUUAUAAAUGGCUUUGGCAGCUGUUGUUUUACCCAAUCCACCCAUCCCCGAAAUUCCAACCAUGAGAACAUCAUUUGAUCCACCACUUGAAAGAUAACUAAUAAUAUCUUGAACGCGAGAGAGAAUUGAUUCCAACUAUGUGCUUGGCCACAUGUAAUUCAUUAGUGUUGGUGAGCCAUUCACAAAUAUUCUCGUCAAUAAUUUUUUUAAUGAACUUUGCUUCGCCCCUGAAAAUUGAAUUCGUAAGCAUUAGUGGGACUCAAUGAAGGCUCGGUAGGAGAUAUCAAUACAUAAACAAUGUUCUUUCCUUCUUCCCUUCAUAAUAUAAUAUAUAUAUAUAUAUAUAUAUAUAUAUAUAUAUAUAUAUAUAUACGAACUUGAAUAAAAGAAUUCAUUGAUAACUAAAAGUUAGGCGUAUGAAUUAAACUCCAAUUACGGUUUAGGUUACUUAUGAGAGAUUAAGGUGUAAUCAUUAACAGAUUUCAACUUAUAGAAAUCCCUUGGAAGAGAACUAAGCUUUUCGCAUUCUUUAAGGUUCACCAAAGAAAGUUUUUGAAGUUGACCAAUGGAGGGGUGAAUCUCGGACAAACUCCUACAAUUUUCCAGUAUCAACUCUUCAAGAUUUGGGACUUGUGAAAAGUCCGGUGAUUUAAUUAGAGAUAGGGAAAGACUAAGAUUCAGGAUUUUCAACCUCUCUAGCAACUGUUAUAGAAAACCAAAGGAAAAUUGAAAUUAAUAACCAAAAGGAAGAUGUCAUAAAUAAAUAAAUAAAGGUAAUCCAAAAACAAAUAGGAACAAAACAUCAUCAUGUGUAAUUGAUCGUACCUUAUAACCUUCCCAAACUUGUACCAGAUUGCUGUACUGCAUAUCUAAAACAACUAGUCUUGGUUGGUCAAAAAAGUCAUCUGGUAUGGACUUUAAAGGGCAUCCUUCCCAACACAACCAUAUUAACUCUUUGGGAAGAUGUUUGUAUUCUCCAUUGAGCUGAACGUAUUUGAGAUGAAGGAAUCUCAGUUUCUUCAUAUUGGCAAAUGCUUCUGUACUAAAACUAGGCAUGCUAGAGCUUCGAAGCCAAGGAUAAGGGAAAUUUAGAGCAAGUCCUUCAACUUCUUCAGUUCCCUGUUAACAAAAGGUUAUAUUCAUGUGUAAGAAACGAAUUAUUUGCAUAUAUUUAAAUGUAUUAUUAUUCAUUAGGAACUUCCCAAUGGGUCACCCAUCCUAGGAAUGCUCUCGUUCGAACUCACUUAAUUUCGGAGUUCCAAUGGAAUCGGAAGUCAGUGAGUACCCAAGGCCUCGUGUUAUAUGGAGGUGGGCAUGUACAUAUAAGGCACAUCACCCCCUCUCCGUUGGUCGAUGUGGGAUGUUACAAAAAUCACCUACAGUGAUUAUAAUUACACAUAAAUGUUGUUUAAUGUAUAAUAGACAUACGUGGGCUAUAUAUAUAUGUUUUCAAGCAGGAUGCAUUAUGCAAAAUUUUAUUGGGAAUGUACUUACAGAUUUAUUUCUCAACACUUCGGCAGUCUCUUGACGGUUCCACAACCUACUCCAUUUUCCAGGGUGACCAAGAGAUUUUUCAGAAAUGAUUACUCUGGCCAUUUCUCGAAGCAAAUCAUGCAUAUUCAACUUAUUCUGCUCAACAGUUAUAAGGCAUCGUUCACGGAGUACACUGAUUACUAUUGUUCCAUAAAAUCCGCAUCGAUCUAAUAUUUUUGUGACAUAGUCCUUAUCCUCUCCAAUAAAGAAACAAGAUACGUCAAGAAAUAUAGCCUUCUCUAAAGUAUCUAGCCCUUCAAAGCUUGUUCUGAGUCGAUUUACAAUGUUUCCAUAUGGAUAUCUUCCCAAUUUCUCCAAUUGACAUUCCCACUCUGCCAAUGAUCUUUUAAUCAAAAGAGAGAUCCUAAAACUUCAAGCGCUAGUGGUAAACCUCCACAAUAAGAAACAAUCUUUUCUGAAACUUCAAGAUAUCCUUGAUUAGGACAACUAUUUUUUAAAGGCAUGCCAACUAAAUAGCUCAAGAGCUUCUUCUUCAUUCAUUUCCUUAGCCCGAAAUGUUUUGUUCACAUUUAGUAGUAAACGUUCAUCUCGUGUCGUUAUGAUAAUUCUACUUCCAAGACCAAACCAAUCAUGACCUCCAACUAUUGCAUCCAGUUUGAUCCUCUUUAUCUAUGUUGUCCACGAUGACAAGUAUCUUUCUAUUUGAAAAUUGUUGUCUUAUCAACUCGAUACCUUCAUCAACACAACUUAUUUCAUGCUUCUUUUUCAAGAUGUCAGAAAUAAGUUUUUUUUGCAAAUAAACCAGAUCAUGUUUACUUGUAGCAUCGCGAACGUCGGCAAGGAAACUUUUGCAUUCAAACUGAGGAUGAAUUUGGUUAUAAAUGGCUUUGGCAGCUGUUGUUUUACCCAAUCCACCCAUCCCCGAAAUUCCAACCAUGAGAACAUCAUUUGAUCCACCACUUGAAAGAUAACUAAUAAUAUCUUGAACGCGAGAAUUGAUUCCAACUAUGUGCUUGGCCACAUGUAAUUCAUUAGUGUUGGUGAGCCAUUCACAAAUAUUCUCGUCAAUAAUUUUUUUAAUGAACUUUGCUUCGCCCCUGAAAAUUGAAUUCGUAAGCAUUAGUGGGACUCAAUGAAGGCUCGGUAGGAGAUAUCAAUACAUAAACAAUGUUCUUUCCUUCUUCCCUUCAUAAUAUAUAUAUAUAUAUAUAUAUAUAUAUAUAUAUAUACGAACUUGAAUAAAAGAAUUCAUUGAUAACUAAAAGUUAGGCGUAUGAAUUAAACUCCAAUUACGGUUUAGGUUACUUAUGAGAGAUUAAGGUGUAAUCAUUAACCAUGUGAAUGAAUGUUUAGAUUAUGUAAAAUGUUAAUUAAGCAUGUCAAUUAAUUGAGAGAUUAAGUCAUUCACUAAAAUUAGCAGCUCCUGUGAAGGAUCAACGUGAGAGAUUAAGGUGUAUUAAUUAAGCAUGUUAAUUAGAGUAAUACAACUUAAAUUUUGAAAAGCAGCUGAAUGAUUACCCAUCGUAAGCGAUUUUAAGAUGGUGACCAGACAAAUUUGCAGCUUUUGUGAGAGCCUCUCUCCACAGCUUUAGCCUUUCUUGUUUAGCUUCACGUUUCUUGUCAUCUUUUUCUUCACGGAUGUCCUUUUCGUGCUUCUGAAAUGCCUCGGCUAAAUCUCCGUCCUGCUUCCUGACAUGGGAAGGAUCAACGUGAUAGAAUAUUGGUAAAACAUGUCGCCCCAGUUUGCCUAUACACUCCAUGAUCUUCACCAGCUCGUCAAGACACCAACUCGAAUCCGCAUACAUCUUUGAGAAGAUAAUGACAGAGAUCCUCGACUCUUCGAUUGCACAAAACAGUUUCUCUUUUAUUUCUUCGCCUCUUGGUAGAUCGUCCUCAUCAAUAAAGACCUGGUACCCUCUGGCUUUUAAUGCCGCGUGGAGGUGGCUCGUGAAGCCAUAGCGCGUGUCUUCACCCCUGAAGCUCAAGAAUACGUUGUACUUCCAGAGUUUGGACUUGGAGGAGGACGAAGAGGAGGCUUCGUGGGCUGUCAUGGCGGUAUCCACCGUUAUGGCAUAGCAGUGGUUCUGAUCACAGACUGAAAAAAUAGCAAUAGUUGUGUUUGUGUUGGCGUGUUGACCUAAAAAGCGACAGUAAUAGGGCUGGGAAAAGUCAUCCACACGUCACAGGACGGUGAAAAACAAACAAUAUUAUGAGAGAGGAAGAAAUAAAUAAAACUCUGAAAUUCAUAAAAAAUAUUAUCUCCUUCUUCAACUUGCAACAAACAAACAAAAAAAUCACUUUAAAAUAUUCCGGUAGAAAAACCCAUCACAGAACUAGCAAAUUUAGGAGAGAGAAAGAGACCUGCACUCAAAUCGUAAGUUCACCCGUUAAAUUUUCCAAUUCAGAAUCCAGAUCGGGGGUUUUUUCCCUUCAGGUAUUCAAAUUUUGGGCUUGGUCGAGCAUUUUCAAGGGAUUUUUGUAACUUGGAAGCCAUUUUUUCAAUUUCAUAGCCGGAGGGCGGUCUGAAAUGUGGGGGGAGAAGUUGGAGGGAAAAGUACUUUGGUGUUCUUGGAUUUAUCGAGAUGGAGGAAGAGGAAGGGGGAAGGGGGAAGGGUAAGACCGUGGGAUAGAGAAUAAAAUUAUUUUUAAUGGUAUUUUUUAUGGAAAUUGAUAAUCUUAUAAUCUCUUCCUUUUAAUCCACAAAAUUAGAAAAUUCAUGCAAUUAAAAAUUGAUCCAACGACUGAAAUGAUUAUAACUUCUAAAAUGAAUCUUUAUUUGUAGUCAUUGGAUCAAAUUUAAACGGUAUGGAUUUCCUAAUUUGAUGGAUUAGGAUCCCUUAUUAAAUUAACAAUGAGGUCCAGACUCACCAUUAAUGUUUGUCACUUUUCUUUUUCUAAAAGCCAUUUUUGUAUAUUAGCACUUUACUAGGAGCACGUCAAAAUUUGUAGUAAAAUUAUAGGAAGUUUUCAAAAGGAGCACGUCAAAAUCUGUGGUAAAAUUAUAGGAACUUUUCAAAUAUUUUUUAUUAGUUUUUUUUAAAUUCUAAGGAGUUUUAACAAAAAGUCCGCGGUACUGUUCAUUUUAACGAAAAACUAUAUUUUUACACUAAAAAGUCAAAUAUGUUACUAUUCACUUUACCUUUUAUUUUGUCCUUAUUGUUAAAACUCAAAGUUUUCAAACUAUUUUCAUUAAUUUUCCUAAAAUUUUAUCCUUUAAAAGCACUUAUCAUUUUUUUUGCACCAACAUCAUCAUAAUGCUUUUAUAAUAUUGUUUGAAAGCACUUUUAAUAACUCUAUAAACUUCAAUGAAUUAGCCAAACUAGGAAAAGUUGACAAAUUAAAAUUUUUAGCUCAUUUUUUUAUUUAGUUUUUUAUUCUAAUUCAACUUUAAUUCAUUACUUUAUACAAAUUCAACAUUAUAUUCAGAGCUUCACCAUAUUGACAUACUUAAGAUGCGUUGAGUUAAUUAUUUUCUUUCUAUCAAUUAAUUAGUUCGAAUCCAAAUGAUAUAAAAAUAAUAAUAGCAUGAAAUCCUAAUUGUCUAUCUAAGAAGGCACACAACACACCACUCCAUUACGAAAUUGGAAACAAAAAAAAAGUGAGAAAUAUAGAGUGUGCAUGCAUGCCAAGUAAUAUCCACAUGAACUAAAAGAUGAGAAACUCUUAAUAAGAGCACUGUUGAAAACGAAAAUUGGUUGCCUUUCGAUUAUUCAUCUCUAAAAAUUUAUGGUAGGUGGGUAGUUAUAUUGGUGGUACGUGUGUAGUUAUUGUUGGAUCUCACAUUAAACUGAAAUCAGAUCGUGAAAAUCCUUGGAAGAAAACUGCUAAUUCGUUCGUGCUUUUUCUUCGUCGUCUUUGAGGUUGAACACGUAACAUUUUUCUCUUAUUCUUUUUUCACUUUUUCGUUUUCUUUUCUAUUUUUAUUAUUAUUUAUUUUUAAUUAAUUUUUCACUACAGAAUAAGCACGUUUCUACUUUUUAUUUACAUUAUUUUUUUUUAAUACAGUUAUGUUUUUUUACCACUUUGUCCUCAUUUUUUUAUUUUUUUUGAAUUUAGAUUGUGAAGAAAAUUAAGGAUCAUUUUUCGUAUUUUCGAAUGCUUCGACCGCUCAACAUAAAAAAUGAUGUGGUAGAAAGAAAGAAUCACGCUGUACAAGCAACAGCAUCGGGAGACCAAAUACUAGCAUUUAAGGGCCGAAUUAAUGUGGGCUGGGACAAGUGGUCCAUUGGGCUUUCGGAUCAAAGUAAAUACAAGUGGGAAAGAGUACAGAGAGGAGUACCGCCUCGCCUUACGCCUUUCUUCCGUCGGCGUCGUCUAGGGUUUUAGUUGUAACAGAGCCUAUAAGAGCACGAUAGCCCCUGUAAUUCAUCAACCUUCAAUUCACAGACCUGACCGGAGUCUGGAGACUGAACCGCCGUAGAAAUAUUACUGUUACCAUCCUCCUCUUGGUGAUCGCCCUGCCGGCCUUCCGGAUUCGGGAACUUCUGGAUUCAGGGCCUGCAUAUGGACAUGGCGAUUAGCAAAGGGAUGACGGUAAUAUUUAAUUCAUGAUGUUGGUAAACUCGUCGGAAAAUCGACCCCGGCGAAGGCAAACUCACCGGGGGCAGAGCUCUAAAAUUAUGCUAAAUUUCAGUGCUUUUUGCUGUUUAACUUUGUUUUUGUAACUCGUCUAAAUUUGGAUUAUGUGAGAUUAGGUAUAUUCUGAGAUCGCAUCACCAAUCCGAGUAGUGUUGCAGCAGCAAAAUGAAAAUUGGGACAAGAUAUGUUGGUGGAAAUCCUAUCAAAUCUGCCUCCAAUAGUCUGAUGCGAUUCAAAUGCGUCUCUAAAUGGUGGUAUGCUUGCAUCACCAAUCCGAGUUUCGCAUUGAAGCACCUCUCCAACUCCGCCAACAACAGCCUCACCACUCGUGACUAGACCUGGCAUUUUGGACCCGACUUGUUAAACCGACCCGACCCGUUAAUAUUAGUAUUUGAAUGGAUGCUUAACUGGUCGAGUCGUUAACGGAUGAACCCGUUUUUCUUUGGACCAACCCGUUAACACCGUUAGUUGAAGAUGUUAUAGUAAUUUUAGUAAAGUCUUAACAAUAAAAAAUAAAUUCUAUCAAAAAAAAAUAAUAAUAAUAAUGGGUGUUAAUGGGUGAAACGGAUGACCCGUUAGCUUAACGAGUCGAUUUUGGAUAACCCGUUAGCUUAACGGGUCGGAUUCAAUCCGACCCAAAUCCAAUAAAUCCAACCCGUUUACAGGUCUACUCGCGACCUCCUUUUCAAGAGAUAAGUAGUGCAGCGGCAGCAUGAGGUGGAGGAAACUAAACAAGUAUUCUCGUUGCUUAAGUUAUGCAAAGACGAUGGUAAUACCCAUGACGAGGAUAGCAACAACUACUCUCUUCUUGGUGUCCCGGACAUUAUUUUUCCUCACUCUUUGAUUCAGAAGGUCGGAGCCCCGGAACAACUGCAUAUUAUAGGCACUGCAAUGGCAUUGUUUUACUAUAUAGUAAGAGUAGCUUUGUUUUAUGCAAUCCCGGAAUUGAGGAAUUCAUUCGUGUUCCCGAUGAGCCAUAGUAAGAGUAGCUUUGUUUUACUAUAUAGUAAGAGUAGCUUUGUUUUAUGCAUAUUAUAGGCACUCCAACGAUUACGGGAAUGUUCAUAUGUAGUCUGUCUGUCUGCAAUAUUUGAUGGAUGCAUGUUCUAUGCCAUAUUUGAGCCUCCUCUACGGGAAGUCGACGGAAGAAGAAGAAGAAGAAGAAGAGGAAAAAAGCUCGAGAAAUGGUUAAUGCUCUGGAUGAGGGCAUUACUAGCUUGACCUUCUGCGUAACUCGCUUUCCAUUGUAUGAAAUCGACUACGAUGACAAAUCUCUGAAAUUCUUGGACGAAGAUUGAUGAAAUCGGCCAUUGGACAAGUUCUCUGGAUUCAUAUAAUUGCAAGCAAGUUAGCAACUCUGAGGUCGAACAAAGUUAUAAUACAUCAAUCAUUUGCAAACGUGGAGUAAUAUAUCAAUAUUAAAGGUUCCAGGGAACGAAAGGGGAGUUAUUGAUAGUAUAUCUAGUGAACUGAUGAAGAGUUCUCUAGGCCGCAAUCAUUUUUCCAUCUGGAUAUGCAAGUUUGUAUAUAACGUCAUUUGUUCAAAGAGAUUCAACAUUAAUUAAGGGUGAUGCUAAAGAGAUCAUCUUUUUGGACCAUAUUUAUAGACCAUAUGAUGAUGAUGUGAAGGUUGAUGAUUGUAUUAUUUCUUUGGUCGUACCCAGUGCACAAGGCUCCCGCUUUACGCAAGGUCUGGGAGAGGUGAAUGUCGGCUAGCGUUACCCCCAUUUAUAGAGAGGCUGCUCCCAAGUCUCGAACCCGAGACCUACCGCUCAUGGGCGAAGACACUUACCAUCGCACCAAGUGCGACCUCUAUUGUAUUAUUUCUUUAAACUAUUAAAAAUGAAAUCUAACUAUUAACAAUGAGAUUUAUUUAGCCAAAUAAGAAAAAGAAAAAAGCUUCAAAAACUCUUAACUUUAAGGUUUCACUUGAAUAUAUAACAUUAUUAUAUAAUAAAUUGAAAAGAAAUAUUUUUACACUUAUAAGGAAUGUACAAUGAGAUUUUAAAGUGCUAAUAAAAGUAUAUUUUUAAUAUAUAGCAUUAUUACAUAUAAAUGUAAGAUGACACAUUUUUGGGAGCCCUUCAAAUUUGAAAGUCCUGUGCGAUUAUACCUUUCGCUCGCCCACAACACCGCCUAUGUUGUCCAUGAUGACAAGUGCCCUUUUUAUGUCGAAAUUGUUGUUUUACCAGACUGAUAUCUCCAUCAAUACUACUUAUUUGAAACUUCUAUUUCAAAAUGUCAGAAACAAGUUUUUCUUGCAAAUCAACCAGACCAUGUCUACAUGUAGUGUCACUAACGUUGGCAAGGAAACUUGUGAAUUCAAACUUACAAUGAAUUUGGUUAUAAAUGGUUUUGGCAGUUGUUGUUUUACCCAACUCACCCAUCCCCCUAAUUACAAUCAUGACAACGUCAUCUGAUCCACCACUUGAAAGAUGAUUGAUAAAAUCAUCGUGGGGGAUUUUCGAGGAAUUCGAGUAGUUGACUGCUUUUGAAACUUGGUCUCACAGACGGCCACAGUGAGGUAGCAGCUGUGGAGUACUCCUUUAUCCCAGCAUUCCUUGACGACGUCGUUCCUAAAUCUAAGGUACUUUCUGAUACUUGAUGCUUGCUCAAUGCUCAGCUAAAUAAGUUAGAGAUUUCUUUGAAUGAUUGCUUUAUGGAUUUUGAAUAUGUUCAGUUUUGUUGGAAAAUAUUAGUAUAUUAUAAUUAUUUGAGUUUGCUUGUUAGUUAGUACUAGCUAGUAAUGCCCGCGCGUUGCUGCGGGAUUACAAAUUGAUCUUAUAGCAGUGUAUAAAUUUGAGUUAGUAUCAGUGUAACAUUAAUUAAUCUAAACAAAAUUACCAUAGUGAAGGAAAAAAAUUUAUUUGCUAUAGAAAAAUUAUAGUUUUGAUACCUUAGACCAUCUCUAACCCUUGGGCUAAAAGCCAAAUUUUUUAACCCGGAAAAUUUGGCUUUUAGCCCAGAAACAUCUUUUCUGCUCCAACCCUACUGCCCUAAAAUUUUAGCCCGGAAUUAUUAAAGAAUGAACUUAGGCUAAUUUUUUUCUUAAAUCAAUUUUUUUUAAAAAUAAAUAUGUAGAUUAUUGUAAAUUAAUUUUAUGAACAUUUUAAUCUAAAAAAAAUUUAAAUUCCAAUAAACAUUUGCCAUUUAGCACAGGGGGAAAGCUGGGGGGGGGGUAUUUGGCCCAGAAAUAACAUUUGGCAUUUAGCCUAAAAUUUUAACAUGGGUUGGAGAGUGUUUGGGGGGUAAUUUGACUUUUAGCCCAGGUUUGGAGAUGGUCUUACAAAGGUAAUUUGUUUUAAAAGAUUGAAAGCCAGCGGUUUUCAAUCUUGAAAUUCCACAGCAUCCUUUGACUUUGAAAAAUAGCGACCAUCAUCGGAUAGAACUAUUGUACCACCUACAGGAAAGAAAAAACAAUGAGUUACUGCGAUAUUCUUAUACACAAAAAGAAAACACUUGACACUGAAUGAACAAAAUAUUCAAACAUGGAAAGCACAUCAUGAGGGAUAAUCUAUCAUUUUUGGCCAAGUGAGGAAUGAUAUCUUGAGUACCAAGAGAGAAAAAAGUAGUUCUACAUUAUUUUAUGAUACCUGAUGGGUUAGUCUUGUAUUUCACUUUAUUUAUAAAAUCGACUACUGAUAUGAUUACAACCUUGACAACAUCACCCCUAGUAUUGGAUGUCCAUCUAAUUUAACUUAAAUUUCUUCUUCAAUCUUGGAUAUACAUAAUGUUUCAGUUUAUGUUUUACCACACAAAAAAUUUUUGAGUCUAAAUGGGUUUUAUAAAUAGAUGAUAAAACUGCAUCUCAGUAGAAUCUAAGACAAUGAAAAUUGAAUAUUAUUUACCAUAAACUGACAUGCAAAUUUAAAUGCAAGAAUGCAAAUGAAGAGAUUCGCUUCAUCAUGUUCAACAAGGAAAUAAAUAGCAACGAAAAUAGUAUGAUUUGGUGACCCUUACCUUUAACUUAAUCCGACAAUAAGGCAUUAAAGGUUGACCAAACCAAAUUCUGCAAGUAAUGAGGUUGCAUAAAAAAUUUUGCCUCAAAAAUUAAAGCCACUAUCAUACAAAGGUUAAUAAGAAAAAUCCAACCCAAUAAUCACAUCUGUCUGAGAAGUGUAUUUCAGCUUAGAAAACAUGCAUGCUGUGUGUGUGUGUGAGAGAGAGAGAGAGAGAGAGAGAGAGAGAGAGAUGUACCUUCUUGUGGAAAGCAAAUGUUCAGGGCUGGACAAAAAGCUUUCGAGAUAUGUACUUGAGUUUUCUGGUGAAGUUCACACAUUCAGUAUUGAAAUUCAUAUAUAUAUAUAUGACAGAGUAAAAGAAUUCUAAGAUAAAAAAAUAAUGAUUAACUUAAAAUGAUCACACAGUUUCCCAAUAGUCAUUUUUCUAGGCUUUCCCAAUUUUGCUGAAAAGCAAAGUUUUUUGCUCGGUUGAGUGUUUGUGAAUCACUCAUAGUACUAAUUAAUUCUUCAAAGCAUGAAUAUCCCAAUGUUCCUUCAGUUUAGUAUAGAACUGCCCAAGGUAAUUGUAAACGUUACUUCAAUAACAGAGUUAGUGUUGUAGGACUCAGCAUAAGGAACAAUCAGAAAGAUGCAAAUGCAGAAAACUAAAUUAGCACCUAUAACACAUGGAACCUCACUUUCUCACAGUGGCUUAAUCUGUCCUCCACCAUUUAAGUAACCUGUUUAAUUCCAGUUAAUAUUACUUCCAAAAUCCCAAACCCACAUGAUGGAUAAUUCAACAUAUCAAACCACAUAUUUAUUUUUUGAAGCAUUAAUAAGUAGAAAAUUUGACAACCAAAAUCAAAUCAGGAUUGAGAACCUGGAAUUUAUUGGAAUUAGGGAUCCAUUAAUACAACCAUGCCUCAGUCCAAAACUAAUUUUUUUUAUUUGGCCUAAAAUAGAAAAAAAAACCCAAAACUUUAAAUUCAAAUAUUAGACAAAUAUAUUUGAAAAGGAUAAAGAUUUUAGAGACAAAGUGAGGACAGAGAGAUGGGGGAGCACCUUGGGCAAGGAGGUGGUUGACAGAUUUGUUGGAGGAGUCAGUCCAAUUUUUCACAAUCUCCUUCAAGCUUGCACCAACAAUUAAAAACAGACAAACACAACAUGAUUGCAGAACGGAAUUAGAAACGAUCUAAUUUUGGGAAAACCUGAGGCUCGAACGCACGUCCAAUGACAAUUGCUGCUUGAGUUUAGUAACAUUAAUUAAAUACAAUACAAUGUUUGCUUGUUUAAUCAUGUUUAGUGAUGCAUUGGAAUGCUCUCGAGGAAACAACUAAAGAAAAUACAUAACUUAGUAUUCGAUAAUGCACAUUAUAACUCAUUUUUAUGCAGAAAUUAAGGUCCCAUUUGAUAACCAUUCUGUUUUUGUCAACUUAAGUUUACUUCUCAAAAUGUAACAGAAUGCAAGGUUCUCAACUCAAACACACUUAAGUUGACAUCUGCAGGUGUAAGAGUAGCACUAUAAUGUAACAAAAGACUUAACACUACUCAAAAGAUUGCUGUUGAAGAAUCCAUAUUCUAAUUAGCACUAAUCACGACACGAAUACACUAAAGUCGAAACUUAAGUAAAAAACUAUGGAAAACAGAUGCAUAAUGACAGGGAGACACGAACCUAAAAAGCAAUCAAUACCUUUAACUCUUUGUUCAUAAGCAGCUUGGUAACACAUCAUUAAAGCUGCAGCCUCUCCGUUUAAAGCGUCAGAAGGAUUGGGAUACAGCAGAAGUUGUGGCAACAACACUUCAAAUACGUUUGCAAGAUCUGGAAACACAGGCAGAUGUAAGAGAAUAAAACUUGGAUUUCGGUACUUUCCCCAUGCUUAUAAGAGAAUUUAUUGUAAGUUUGGUCUUACAGGGUACAAAUAAUGAUAAGCCGACUACAAUACUACCUGCACAAAUACAGUUCUGUUCCAACACGGUUUCCUCAGAGGAUGCGGCUGCUGCAGAUCAAGUUCAAUCUUGAUUCUGUUUUGUAUUUAGUUCACAUGCUGCUAUUUAUUUGUAAUCCUACUUCUACACGUUUAUCAAUUGUAAUUAGUGCAAUGACCAAACAACAAAUUCCAUUAAAAAAAACUAACCAAAAAUCAAAUCAUAAAUCUCAGAAAGCCCAAUGCAUAAAAUUGCAGAAAUAGGGAAGGAAUCAUAAUAAAAACAAAUGAUACAAACACACACAGAGAAAAUAUAUACUUGUAUGUACUUAGCUACUAUACAAACCGCUCAUUCAAUUGCCUCAUUCCCUUUUCCCCUACUAAAUAAAAAAGGGGUCAGUGAAUCAAUACAAAUAUUCAUUGAAAUAAAAAAAAUUAAAAAAAAUCCAAGAUUUUCCUCAAGGGAUAUCCCAGAAUUUAAAUUCACGCUAAACCCAUUCCCUAAUUCUCUUAAUUGUAGGCAACCCAGAAACAAAAAAAAAUGAAAAACUUAUUCUCAGUAUCCAAACAGCUCAAAACCCAGAACCAAAAGAAAAAAACAUAAUACCUUUGCGGGUUUGGAGCUCUUUUCUUAUAAUUGUUACAGUAUUGGUGUUGCGGCUCAAUUCGUGGUGUUUCCGUCCGUAUCAAUUGAAGGUGGGGCAGCUGGUUUGGGUGAAAAAGAAGAGGAGGAUCCGAGCCUACAAACAAAAUCACAAAAAGCAAACAUAAACAUAAAACCCAUCUGCAAAUCUAAAACCCCAAAAAAAAAUUAAAGCACCCACAUUGAGAAAGCUGUCAAACUCACCAGGAAACGCCAACGUUUCUGGGUAAAAAAUUGAAUCGGAUCUAAUUGCACCGUUGUGGAUAAUUCCUCAGAGAAAGAUGGAAGGUCGGAGGGCGAGAAAAAUCGCCGUUUUGGAGACAGAAAGCUAGAGUUGAGAAAGGCGAGAGAGAGAGAAGCGAAAGCAAAGAAAAGUCGAAAGCAGGUCCAGCGAUGAUCGACGCGUGCGAAAAAUGGAAACGGAAGGGAAAAAGGGAGAAGAAAAGUGGAGGAGUAGGCGUUGCACAGCGAUGGUCAACACGUGCAUCCAAUGGGCAAAAACGUAAUCUCACUGUUCAAAGCAGGUCACAAAGGAGGAAACCAAGAAGAAAUCCAGGGGGUAAAAUUGUCAUCACACUGGUCAUCCACAGUGACCAGGGGGUUUUGAGUUUUAGUAUAUACUAGCAAAAAUGCCCGCGCACUGCUGCGGGUCUUGAAACCGUUGAAGAUGAUACUAUUGUUUAUUAGCUUUUUUCUCUUUGAAAUUUGGACUGGACACUUGAAUGUCAAAUGGGUUUUUUCUAUUUAUGUUUUGUACUGUGUUUCUUUGUUUGAUUAUACUUUGGGUUAUUGAUUUUGCUUUAUCCAACCUCUAGAGUCUAGAUGGUAGUGAUGUUUCGUUACUUAGAAGCUCUCAUUCCACAUAUCUCCGCCAUAUUUAUAAAAUCAACAACAAAAAACAGAAAAGAAAAGAAAAUACUCUAACAAACAAAAAAUGCAAGAUAAAUUUACCACUCGAUCAUAAUAGGGGAAAACAAUUAAACCGUAAAAUUAAAAACAAUUAAACCCAGCAAAUUUUCUGUAAUUAAAAAAACACAGAAAACAGUUGGCAACAAAGAUUUAGAGUUAAUUUAUACCAUGGAGUGCCAACUGAUGGACAUAAACAGGAUGCAAAGCGAAAUUUGAAAACAAAAUAUUCCAAAACAAAAAAAGAAACAAAGGUGGAUCAUAUAAGAAUCUUCUUUCUUUAAUCAUAUUGUAUUGCAUUAUUUCAAAAACUAAGUAUCUAAUUUCACCCAAAAAAAAUUACCUAGAUCAAAUAUUUCACAAAAAUUAACAACUCCAGAAGUUACCUUCCAAGAGAUGAGUUGGUAGCUUCUAUCACAAAAUCAAACACAAUUUCAACAUAAACUUGAAAUUAAGGAAAUGACUUAACACUAUAACGAUUCGAAAGCAUUGGAAUUUAAAUCACAAUUCUUACAAAUUCAGCUAGAUUAUGACUAUAAUUCGUCAGUAGCUCAACCCUCUCUUGCUCAUACAUGAAUAUCGUCUUUCGGAGGCCAUGGCUGCAACAAAAUAACAGUACAAUUUUCAUUUCCCACUACCAACUGUGCGGCAGAUGGACUUCUGUGUAGAUGCAAGCUCGUGAUCUGGGAAUGAUUCCUCCAGUCAUGUUUUUCUGCCAACAUAUUAAUUUUGCUCAAUGAUAAUGCCAUAAUUGAAAUAUAUUUUUUUUAUAGAAAUGAUGUAAUGGGUUAAUCUGAAAUUCCGAACUUUUGGUGAUGAUUGAACUCUUCCAUGACUGCUACUGUACUUGUUCAAAUCAACAUAAUUUUAAACGUUCACAAACGACACAUUCACAGCGCCACAAUAUUUAACAACUACUAUGCACAGUUUUUUAAAAAAAUGAGUAUAAGACUAACCUUUACAGAGCACCUACGAAUCACUUCCAAAAUGAGAUACACAAAAUCUGAAACAGCACCUAUCCAAAGUUAAAAAACAAAACUAAUUAAAUAACAAUUAGGCAAGAACAACAAAAUGUGACAAACAAAAUGAAAACACCAAAAUCAUAUAAGGGUUGAGAAUCUCUAAUUUAUUAGAAUUAGGGAUUCCAUUAAUACAACUAUGUCACUCUAGUACUAAUUUUUUUAUUUGGCCAAAAACAGAAAAAAACUGAAAACACCAACUUAAAAGAGUAGGCAAAUGAAAAACAUUCACACCCACACGUAUCAAUUUACACAUAACUUUCAAUUUUGAAUCAUUUGGGCUUCCAAAAUUUCAUCACCCAUAAAUUCAUAUAUAUUUCCAUUAACUCUCUCUCUCUCUCUCUCUCUCAAAUUACAAAUCUCAAAAGGCUUCACAAAAAAGUUAGCAAAAGAAGCGCACACCCGCAACAAUAAUUCACUUUCCUUUCCAACUAUCUUCUUCUCUCUCUCUCUCUCUCUCUCUCUCCAACAUUACAAUUACACACAGAGAUCCCAUUCAAUCAAGACUCACCCCAAAAUUGAUAUCAAGCUUUGUUGCACAGAAUACCUUACAAUUGACAGCACGUUUACAAAGGUUUUGAAAGGCUUAGAUUCAACUUUCAAAUAUGUAAGAGUCUGAGCUUCAAAACCAAAACAAACCCAAUUGCACUUUUAGUUCACUAACCCCAUUGAAUAAAAUCCCAUUCAAUAAAAUAAUAGAAAAUUAAACAACCCAAAAAAUCAAAACAACCCCACUUGUAGUUUUAGCUCACUAAUCCGUUGGAUAAAUUGAUGCAAAAUGCAAUCAGAAAACAUACAAUUAACAACAACCCAGAAGAGCCAUCCAAAACCCCAACCAAUUAACCAAAAAAUACCACUUGUACUUUUAGCUUAGUCUUCCGAUUGAAUCAGAUCUAUCAUCAAAUUUCAAUCAGAAAAUAGAAAAUUAAGAACAACCCAGUAUUUCCACUCACCUGCUGUGAAACUUGUCCCUGUUGAGCAGCAGUAGGAACGGGUAAACUGGGUGAUAUAUACAACCGAUUAAAACACUCAACUUUAGCUGCUUCAGCUACAUAACAGAAAAUGAAAAAAUGUUAGCACAACAAUAUAAAUGCAGGUAAAGGAGUCAAUAUAUGGAGCAACCAUCUUGCCCUCCCCCGACUGUUUGUCUCUUAAGCUAAAUUGCCAUCCAAAACAAAUAGAACAAACACUCACUUACCCUCUAUUUCUGUAAACGGAUCCUAUAACCGACAUCGAAGCUAAGCAUCUAAAACCCUCCUUAGAAGUUAGAAGUAAAAGUUCUCUACUUUAUGGAAGAAUUAAGCACCUCUAUGCCACUAAAACCAAAUCAUCCUAAUAAUUCACCCUCCAAUUUCAUGCCCGAACAAAAGAACGGAAAUUAAUCACCAUGUUCUUUAAUUGAAAAAUAAAAAUUGGGGUAAGCCCAGUUCUCAUUUCUAGCUGAGUUCACUCCAUCUAAAUGCUCAUCCAACAAAAUAAAAAAAAAUAAAAAAUUGAAAUUCCAACUUCUUUGUUGCCUCCUAUAUUUUAUUAGCAUUCAAAAAGUCCUUAACUUGGAGCUUUAGAGCUUUGGAGCUAGGAUUUCAAAAGGUGAGCUUGUGAGUGCAUGAGAGAGAGAGGGCAUACCUGGCCAUGGGAGAGAACGGAGGCUAUAGAAAGAGCUAUGCUCGGCUUCUCGCCGACUUGCAAAAAUGUAAAAGCACAAACAGAAAGGAGAAUCAAAGACAAAAUUCCAAGAUAAAUUCCAAAAAUUCAAAAUUAUACGCGAGAGAGAGACCUUGUUGAUAUUCGGAGUUAGACUCAGAGAGACGAAGCUCCGAGUUACAGAAAUGGAAGCCAGGUUUGUGCGGUUUUGGUUUUCAGAAGCAGGAGCCGACACUAUUGCAGAGAUCGGCUAGAAUUGGUGUUGUUGAUGCUAGGGUUUGAGAAAGGGGAAUGAAGGCCAAAUGGGUGUGUUUGGAUCAAAACUUGAACUUUGGGCUCAAGAAAGGAGUUGGCCCAAAAGGAGGUCCGAAAAAGAAGAUAGCCGAAGCCCAGUCAAAGCCCAGAAAGCAGGGAAAUGCCUUUUCUGACUUGGUGCAGCUCAUGAAGACCACUUGCUUACCUACCCAAAAGCCAAGUGGUGUAGACUGAUCAGCUACACAGCCCAUAAAGUACUUUAUGGUGGCAUUACAUGUAAUAUAACUGAUGAGUCAUCACCCUCAAACCGCAUUCGGGCAAAGUUGCUGCUACCAAAGGCCAAGCCGAGUUGUCUAUAUAAGAAGAAAGAAAAUCCAGGAUUAAGGACACUCAAUCAAACAAACAAAUGCAAGCACAAACUCUGCUUAAAGGCAGAUUUGCCUUCAAAACAAAGCUGUAGUCAGCCUUCAUCCCUUUCGGGAUAAACCUCCAUUCCUUUCGGGAUAACCCUCUCUUCAACCCUUUGUAAUAGCUCUGCUACCUUGUUAAACCUUGCUGUAGUAUCGAUUCAUCUUUUGUAAUCUCUCUCUCCCUACCCCUCUAAAGCUUUCAGACCUUUGACAAAACUACAAAGAUAGGAACCUGCAAGACGAGCAACCUUACCCGAUAAGGUUUAACCUUGCCCGACCUUCUUUACUUUAGUCUUGUCUUUUCAAUAUGUUGUAUACUUCCAGUUAUAUGCAAGUUAUUUCUAGCAACAUGACUAUUAAAAAGCUUUCUCAGCACUUGAAUCCGAUUUGAAUAUAUUGUCAGUGUUCAAACCAGAUCCAAGUCCUAAGCCCUCGGGCAUGUAAAUCUGAUCAGUUAAAAGUCCUUGGCCUCAAGGCAUAAAAAAGAACUUUAUGUGGACUUAACCCAUCCACGACAGUCCUUGAUAAACGAGAAGUCCGAAGUUACUUGGGGUGCAAGUAAUCAACCUACCUUCUAGUUUUCUUUCUAUUAUGUCAUGAUUAUCAUAGAACGCUUGAGCAUGGAAUGGAUUCUAAUGGAAAGCCUCAAGGCCUACACCUAAGGCCCCACAAAGGCAUCUAUUUGGAUUCAUUCCGUUCGGCGAUCUAAAGAGUCUAAGUAUAAGAAUGAACUCUGAUGGGAAGCCUCAAGGCCUACACCUAAGGCCUCACAAAGGCACCUAUUUGGGUUCAUUCUACUUCUUGGAUUCGGGUAAUCAGAAGUAUAAUAGUUAGAAAACUCCUACAAUCAUGAGAACAAAUAUGAUGCGUUCGAGCACUGGUUUAGUUAUUUAUGGGAAGCCUCAAGGCCUACACCUGAGGCCCCACAAAGGCACCUGUUAUAACUAACACAGUUUCUUGGAUACAUACAUAUAUACAACUAAAGCACGACAACCAUUUUACAUCUGCCAUGCUAAAGAUGGCAGUGGCACGCAUGAGCACCUAAAUGUUAACCUUGAUUAUGAGCCUCAAGGCCUACACCUAAGGCCCUACAAAGACACCUCUCAAAGUUAACGAUGUCCUUCUCUUUCAGCCUUGCCCGAAGAGUCUUACCCGACGAGACUUGCCCGACAACGCCCGACAGCGAAGCAGAAGCCCGACAGCAGCCCUCAACCGGCGCCAACCUCUAGGGGAGCUGUGUGCUCGUCGGCCAGGAAACAUCCCCGACGAAGAUUCCUGACACGAACAUAGUUUUGGCACGCCCGGUGGGAUCCUUGAUCAGAAGAUAUAUGUCAAAAUGCCAGAAGGUUUACAAACUACGUUACUACAAAUGUUGCAAAGGUUGGAAAGAGACUUAAAACCAGCCCGCCUGAAGAGCUGGUGGUAGACAAACCUGCAGUUCCCUUUUCAGAAGUCCCUGUAAAUAUGAUCAAUAUGACAUGGGCUGAGAAAGGAAAAGAAAGUAUUACAAAGGAACCAGAAGAGAAGAGAUUGGCUGAAAAACCUACAUGAUGGGUCAUUAAAACACCCGAAUAUCCAAAAGCAGCCAUAAUCAACGGGAUGGUCAUGUGCAGUAAGUGCCACUGCGAGUGUGAGCUUGAAAUUCCCCCGGCUGGAGUACUCAUUGACCGUGAACUAAUCAGGAGAAAGGAAGAAGACGUCAGAAGAGAAGCCCGCGAGAAGAUUAAGCAGGCAACAAAAAAGGACACUUCCCGGAGCGUUUUUCAACGACUAGGAGGUGAUUCCCAACCCAAAGCUUUGUCAGAGGUAUUUCGAAACCAUGAGGUUUCUGAUGAAGCGGAAGACAUGGAAGCCAGAAUACGAAGGGGUGCAGACCAUCCUCAAUGUGGCCAGAUGGGGAGGGAAAUCAAGAAGAUUGAUAGCAUGAUCAAUCCUAGUAGAAAAGAGAAUCCUGCCCACCUCGGGCGAAAAUGGUAUGUAGUCGGGAAGAACGGACAGCCUACCAAACCAAUGGGAGCCUCUAUGGUCAGGAGGGUUCAAAGGCAGCACAAAGCCUAUAUGAAUUCCUUGAAGACCCCCACAACAUCUGAAGCCUCCAAAAAUCAAAAGCUGGAGAAAACAGCAUCUGGAGGAAGUAGUCAGCUCCGUUGGAGAAGUAAGAAAGAGGUGGAAAAAGCCGACAGCAAGACGGAAGGCGAGGGGAAUCACGUGCCGCAGAGCCAACACCCUGGGAAAUACAGGAUCUUGAGGAGAGCUCAAGAAGAUCUAAUCAUGAUGCCAACCCCUGGGUGGAAGCCAGGUCUUACCCGCACUGAAACUAUUUCAUCUGAAAGGAGACCACAUUCUCUGCCCUUGGUGGAUCCUUUUGGUGAAGUUCCAAAACAAACACUGUAUGCGGGCAUGAAUCAACAACAACAGGAGGGGGCACCAAAACCAUUACUUCCAGCUGAUGCGAUGGCCUGGUUCGAUGAAUUUAUGGACCAGAUUGGGGACAAUAAAGAAGAUCCGCCCGAGCCUAGUAAUUUCCAUAUUAACAUGAGAUAUGUGUUGUUCGCCACAUUUGGUGCCAGACCUGAUCAACCCGCUACUAUGGAGGGUGAUUACUUGACAACUGAGCCAAUGAUGGCACAUGUCAAUGUAGAGGUAGUUGAAGAAGAAAGCUCGGGCAAGGCUGAAUCCUCAGAAGCAUCCAAAGGCGGUCCUCUAAGGAUUUACACAGACGAGAUGGUGUUUAGCCGCCCGAAUAGCUCGUUGGCCAAUCAUCUGAAACCUAUAUACGUUACAGCCCACUUAGAAUGUGUGCCCUUCAAAAGAAUUCUAAUUGAUGGAGGAGCAACUGUUAAUGUGUUACCAGCCAAGCAGAUGAAGAAAAUGGGAAGAGGUACGGAUGAUCUUAUUCCCACAGACCUCACAGUCUCUAGCUUCUCAGGCGUUAUCACUAAGACUCAUGGAAUAUUGCCUCUAGAAGUGGAUCUGGGAUCUAAAAAGAUAAUGCUGGCAUUCUUUGUGGUGGACUGCACCUCCAUUUAUGGGGCCUUACUCGGAAGAUAUUGGAUCCACCAAGGUUUGGCUAUACCCUCCACUAUUCAUCAACAAGUGGCUGUCUAUCAUCAAGCGGGCGUAGAAUGACCAGGCUUUUGGGAGAUGGUAGAGGCCGAAUCACGGCCAUUUCUCCCCACAACCAAUGUUGCAGAAGCAAGUUUCUACAACCCCAAUGUAGGAAUCUUGAAGUGUUCAGGAGCUGACGAGAACAGCCGCCUUACCAAGGUGACGGCCCAAAAGCUUUUAGAACAAGGAAUGCUCCUUACUAGAGAGGAGUGAGAUAGACCUUGUAUCCUCCCAAAUCCCCUACACCAUCAAUGAGUGGACAAAAGAAGAGAGAUCAGGUAAUGGCAGUUAGAUCCCUGAUUAAAAGACUGCUGGUAUAUGGGAAAGGAAGAAGACAAGAAAGGGAGCUCUUGGACAGAGAAGAGCGUGAAUGGCAGGAGGAAACUUCAACCAGCCAGCAUGAAAGCAAGGAGGAAUCUUGCAGUGAAGAAUUGGAUGGGGCCAUUCAAAUGGCCGAGUGCAUAUAUGAUCUAGAUAGGCCAGACGACUUGCCCGAGAGCCCGGAGCUGGUCGAAUUUUUGUGUACAGAACCAGAUAAGCCACCACCAGAAGUCCAGGAUCCUCUGGAAGUUAUUAAUUUAGGAACAGAGGAGGACCCGAGACCAAUACAGAUCAGUGGUUUAUUGGGGGUUGAUGAUCGGGCAAGGAUUGUUUAUCUUUUGCAAGAAUUCAAAGACUGCUUUGCUUGGCAUUAUACCGAGAUGCCAGGGUUAGAUCCAACUUUGGUAGAACAUAGAAUGCCCAUCAAAGAGGGAUAUAAACCUGUCAAGCAAGCACCACGGAGGAUGUCAAAGGAGAUAGAAGAAAAGGUCAAAGAAGAGAUUGAGAGGCUAGUGAAAGCUGGCUUUAUCAGACCAGCCAAAUAUGUGGAGUGGUUGGCCAACAUCGUACCCGUUUUAAAAGCUGUAACAAAAGCGGUACGAUGUUGUGUGGAUUACAGAAACAUUAAUGGCGCUACACCAAAGGAUGAGUAUCCCAUGCCCAUGGCCGACUUAUCCAUAGAUGCAGUGGCAAAACAUAAAGUCCUAUCUUUUAUGGACGGGAAUGCCAGUUACAAUCAGAUAAAGAUGGCUCCAGAAGAUAUACAUAAAACAGCUUUUAGGUUUCCCGGUCAUGUGGGGGCAUAUGAAUAUCUGGUCAUGCCAUUCGGGCUCAAGAACGUUGGUGCAACUUACCAGAGGGCAAUGAAUGCCAUCUUUCAUGAUCUAAUUGGCCAGAGCAUGGAGGUAUACAUUGAUGACAUAGUGGUAAAGUCCAAAACAGAAGAGCAGCAUCUGGAGGAUCUCAGACAGACAUUAGCAAGGACGAGGAUCAACAAAUUGAAGAUGAAUCCAAAGAAGUGUGCGUUUGGAGUAAGAGCAGGCAACUUCUUGGGAUUCCUGGUGCAUCAAAGAGGUGUAGAAAUGGAUAAGAACAAAUCUCGGGCAAUAAUGGAGUCACCUUCACCUACCAACAAGGUGCAACUCCAGAGGUUACUGGGCAAAAUUAACUUUUUGAGGAGAUUCAUUGCUAAUUUAGCAGGCAAGAUCCAGCCGCUGACUCCUUUACUAAGGUUGAAAGAUAAAGAGAAGUUUGAAUGGGGGCCACCGCACCAACAGGCCUUUGACAACAUCAAGGCCUAUUUAACUUCUCCACCAGUGUUGGUGCCACCUCAAAGGGGAAAACCCUUGAAGCUGUAUAUCUCUGCCUCUGAAAAAUCAAUCGGAAGCUUGCUAGCCCAAAAUAAUAAGGGCGGGAAGGAGCAGGCAGUGUACUACCUCAGUAGAAUUCUGACCGAGGUAGAAACAAGGUAUUCCCCGAUAGAGAGAUUAUGCUUGGCUUUAUAUUUCACUACCAGUAAAUUAAGGCAUUACAUGUUACCUUGUCAAGUGCACAUCAUCGCCAAGACAGAUGUGAUAAAGUACAUGUUGUCAAAGCCAAUGCUCACAGGAAGGAUUGGGAAAUGGAUUCUAGCUUUAUCGGAAUUCAGUUUUCAGUACGUACCCCAAAGGGCAGUCAAAGGUCAAGCAAUUGCCGACUUCAUGACCGAGCAUCAAGAAUCUUUAAGUGAGGUGAUCAAUAUCCCUAGAAGCCUAGAGGUUACUAGCAUUUGGAUCCCGCCGAGAAAAGAUAUUUCGGGCAAAGAAGACUGGGUCCAGUAAGAGAUAAGAAGAGUGGCUGGUCUCUGGAUCACUCAUUGGAAGUUGUAUUUCGAUGGAUCCCACACUCAGAAGGCUUCAGGAGCAGGAAUUGUAAUUGUAAACCCUCAGGGAGUUUAUCAUUAUUAUUCAUUUCUCUUGGAUUACCAGGGGAAUACUAACAAUCGGGCAGAGUAUGAGGCCUUAAUUAUUGGUCUGGAAAUCUUGAUGGAUCUGGGGGCAGAAGAGGUAGAGGUCUUUGGAGAUUCAGAGUUGGUAAUAAACCAGUUAAAUAGGGAGUUCAAGUGCAGACAUAUUACCAUGGCGGGGUAUUACUUGGCAGCUACGCAAUUAUUGAAUUUCUGGGAUUCUGAGAUAUUGGUCAAUCAUGUUCCCAGGGAAUCCAAUUUAGCGGCCAACGAGAUGGCACAACUAGCCGCAAGAGUGCCAAUACAGGAGAGGAAAUAUGGGGUAGAUGUUGAGAUCCAAAGAAGAAACCUCCCUUCCAUCUUAGAAAGGGGAUUCAGUCUAGAUAUAAUGGUGGUAGAGGCCGAGAUAGAAGAUUGGAGGUCACCUAUUAUUCACCAUUUGAAGGAUCCUUCCUCGCCUACAAGCAAGAAGGAUAGACAGCAAGCAACCAAGUAUGUCUUAUAGGCGAAGAACUUGCUAAGGAAAACUCUAGAUGGGUUACUGUUGAAAUGCUUGGGCCAAGAAGAAUCCAUGAGGGUAAUGGCCGAAGUACAUGAAGGAGUUUGUGGAGCACAUCAGGCUGGAACGAAGAUGAUAUGGUUGCGUAGGAGGUAUGGUUAUUUCUGGCCCGACAUGGAAAAAGAUUGUAAGUCUUAUGCCCGAGGAUGUGAAAAAUGUCAGAGGCACGGACCUCUCCAGCAUGUGCCCUCAGUACCUUUAAAUCCAGUGGUCAAGCCUUGGCCAUUCAGAGGAUUGGCAAUGGACUUCAUCGGGAAAAUCUAUCCAGCUUCUAGCAGAGGGCAUACCUUCAUAAUUGUGGCAACGGAUUACUUUACCAAAUGGGUGGAAGCAUCAGCAGUAAAAUCCAUAAAUUCAGCCACAGUCAAGAAUUUUAUCGAGACCAAGAUCCUGCACAGAUAUGGGGUGCCCGAAACUAUUGUGACAGAUCGUGGACCAUCUUUUAUUUCAAAAGAAGUUGAGGAGUUUGCAAGUAAGUACAAAAUAAAGAUGAUCCAGUCCAGUCCAUACUACCCGUAAUCAAAUGGCCAGGCAGAAGCCAGCAACAAGAUCCUGGUCAACAUUAUCAAGAGAAUGGUGAUUGAUAGUCCAUAAAGAUGGCAUGAAAAUCUGGGGAACACUUUGUGGGCAUACAGAACUUCUAAGAGAGCAGGAACAGACACAACUCCUUAUGCUUUAACUUUCGGGCAAGAUGCAGUGCUCCCCGUGGAAAUCAAUGUGGGUUCUUUAAGAAUUCAAAAUCAAUUUGGAUUGCAUAGCGAAGAGUAUGUCGAAGCCAUGUGUCAAGGAGUUGAAGACUUGGAUGCCGCCCGAAUUGAAGCUUUGAACCAGAUUCAAGAAGGGAAACGAGUCUUUGCCCGAGCUUACAACAAGAAGGUGAAGAUGAAAUCUUUCAAGGAAGGGGAUUUAGUAUGGAAGACAAUCCUCCCUCUAGGAGCUCAGCUCAGGGGCUUUGGAAAAUGGAGCCCGACAUGGGAAGGUCCUUUCAUUAUUAGUCGUGUUCUAGAUAGAGGGGGAUACUACUUGGCGGACCUUGAAGGAAACAAACAUAAACAUCCCAUUAACGUUAAAUUCUUAAAGAAAUAUUGUCCUACGUUGUGGGAUGUCAGAGAUUGUUAUAUCGAAGAGGAUGCGAAGUAAAGCGAGCUUCGGGAUAUCAUUAUGCAAUGCGUAUUUAUCAAACAUUCAAGAUGGAAAGACAAGAGUUGCUGAGAUAAUGUAUAUUUCAUUUCGACAAAUUGAUGAAAUUUACAAAAGAUUCAAGGCCAACAUAUUACAAUCAAUUCUCUUCCUGGAUGCAAUGGUAUCUUCAGCUGAUUUUCUGAUGUCUUCAUGGAUGGAACCCGAUCAGGUGAUCGGGUUGUGCGACCAACAUGGGCCUGGUAGAGGAUCCUCAGACAAGACCAUCAACAUAUGUAAUGGUCAAGCCCGAUUUAUCACCGCAGCGAGCAGGGAGACAAACCGUCAAGAGGAAACCGCCUGACCAAGGAUGUUGGAGAUAGCGGGGCGUUCGACCAAGGGUGUUGGAGAUAGCAGUUCUUUGAUGAAAGCUUUUUUUCUCACGGAAAUGAAGUUUUAGGAAACCCCAUUCAAAGCUUGAGGAACCCAUUUCUCAAAUUCUGAAAUGCUCGAGGAAGAUGGAAGAAAAAAAUAAAGAGGAUUUGAUGGCUUGAUAGAAGAGUUUCCGAGCCAGAAUUUAUAGAAAACCAGAGGGUAGUUCAGAGGUCGUGAGAAGUUCAAGGGGCACGGGGUUAUCUUCAUCCUGUCGAGGGAACACGAAGUUCCAAAAGAUUGAGAUACACGCAUGCGGGUAUUCAAUCAAUGUUGGCGCUUGGGAUUCCAACCUUAACAUUAAUUGAAGGGGGCACUGUUUGGAUCAAAACUUGAACUUUGGGCUCAAGAAAGGAGUUGGCCUAAAAGGAGGUCCGAAAGAGAAGAUAGCCGAAGCCCAGUCGAAGCCCAGAAAGCAGGGAAAGGCCUUUUCUGACUUGGUGCAGCUCAUGAAGACCACUUGCUUACCUACCCAAAAGCCAAGUGGUGUAGACUGAUCAGCUACACAGCCCAUAAAGUACUUUAUGGUGGCAUUACAUGUAAUAUAGCUAAUGAGUCAUCACCCUCAAACCGCAUUCGGGCAAAGUUGCUGCUACCAAAGGCCAAGUCAAGUUGUCUAUAUAAGAAGAAAGAAAAUUCAGGAUUAAGGACACUCAAAGAAACAAACAAAUGCAAGCACAAACUCUGCUCAAAGCCAGAUUUGCCUUCAAAACAAAGCUGUAGUCAGCCUUCAUCCCUUUCGGGAUAAACCUUCAUCCCUUUGUAAUAGCUCUGCUACCUUGUUAAACCUUGCUGUAGUAUCGAUUCAUCUUUUGUAAUCUCUCUCUCUACCCCUCUAAAGCUUUUAGACCUUUGACAAAACUACAAAGAUAGAAACCUGCAAGACGAGCAACCUUACCCGACAAGGUUUAACCUUGCCCGACCUUCUUUGCUUUAGUCUUGUCUUUUCAAUAUGUUGUAUACUUCAAGUUAUAUGCAAGUUAUUUCUAGCAACAUGACUAUUAAAAAGCUUUCUCAGCACUUGAAUUCGAUUUGAAUAUAUUGUCAGUGUUCAAACCAGAUCCAAGUCCUAAGCCCUCGGGCAUGUAAAUCUGAUCAGUUAAAAGUCUUUGGCCUCAAGGCAUAAAAAAGAACUUUAUGUGAACUUAACCCAUCCACGACAGUCCUUGAUAAACGAGAAGUCCGAAGUUACUUGGGGCGCAAGUAAUCAACCUACCUUCUAGUUUUCUUUCUAUUAUGUCAUGAUUAUCAUAGAACGCUUGAGCAUGGAAUGAAUUCUAAUGGAAAGCCUCAAGGCCUACACCUAAGGCCCCACAAAGGCAUCUAUUUGGAUUCAUUCCGUUCGGCGAUCUAAAGAGUCUAAGUAUAAGAAUGAACUCUGAUGGGAAGCCUCAAGGCCUACACCUAAGGCCCCACAAAGGCACCUAUUUGGGUUCAUUCUACUUCUUGGAUUCGGGUAAUCAGAAGUAUAAUAGUUAGAAAACUCCUACAAACACGAGAACAAAUAUGAUGCGUUCAAGCACUGGUUUAGUUAUUUAUAGGAAGCCUCAAGGCCUACACCUAAGGCCUCACAAAGGCACCUGUUAUAACUAACACGGUUUCUUGGAUACAUACAUAUAUACAACUAAAGCACGACAACCAUUUUACAUCUGCCAUGCUAAAGAUGGUAGUGGCACGCCUGAGCACCUAAAUGUUAACCUUGAUUGUGAGCCUCAAGGCCUACACCUAAGGCCCCACAAAGGCACCUCUCAAAGUUAACGUUGUCCUUCUCUUUCAGCCUUACCCGAAGAGUCUUGCCUAAAGAGUCUUACCCGACGAGACUUGCUCGACAACGCCCGACAGCGAAGCAAAAGCCCGACAGCAGCCCUCAACCGGCGCCAACCUCUAGGGGAGAUGUGUGCUCGUCGACCAUGAAACAUCCCCGACGGAGAUUCCUGACACGAACAGGGUGUGUUUCUGUCUCUCUCCCAUCCCUCUCAAUCUCUCAAUCACCGACACCAACCCUUGAUUUGAGGAGAAAAAAUCAACCCUAACCCCUUUUUUGGCAGCCUCACUCCUCCCUGCCAUCCCACGCCCCUCUCCCUCUCUGCCUUUGCAGUCCAUGCCUUUCGAAAAUGGCAGAUAUGUAAAUAAUGCAAAAUCAAGGGCCCAUCUCACAACAAAACUGGCAAAACUGUAAAUAUCUUGAAAGCUGUUCAGAGACAAUAUUACCCUCCUAAUUUUAUAUAAUUACCCUCCAACUCAGCCACAGAUAUGAUGGCAGUGGCGUAAAUAAAGCAAAAUCAAAGGGCAAAACUUUGACUGUAGCUAAGCUAUAGUCAAAUCCUUCCUCAAUUUUAGAAUAGAUAAUAUGGGCCUAGCCCAUCGGAAUUAGGGUUUCUAGGUUUUGCUUUCUAUAAAUAUAGCUUAUAGAUUAGCAUGAAGAACAAGUUAUUCACUAUGUAAUCUCUUAGGGUUUUGUAGCCGUUUCGGCAUUCUCUUUUGUUUAACAAUAUUCCUAUUAUUUUGUUAGUCUCGUUCGUUGCGCACUCUGAUAUUCAACUUGGUAUCAGAGCAUGUUCGAUCUUUGGGGUUAAUCUACUCUUGUCAUGUUUGUCUAUUUCGUUGUUAUUCAUAUGAAAAAAAGAAAAAAAAAUUGAAUUAGAUGAUCGUGAGGAAAACAUGAAGUUCGUAUACUGCAGUGCAUUGAAACCAGAAACCCGCCUUCAACCUGCUACUUGUCUGCUGAUGAAGCCCUGAUCCAAUAACCACAAACUUGGAUCGAGUUCAUCUUCGCUGCACCUACCCCAUCUGAAUCUGCCAUGAACCUGCAUCACAACGUCUUGAAGUCGUCAUGUUGCGAACUGCAGCCCAGAUCCAUCCCGCCACCAAACACCAGUCUGUCUGCUUGCCUCACCCUGCAACCAGCCCAGAAAAUUAGCCGCCGUAGCCCCAUAAUGAUGAAACCCGCACCAGUUUGAUGUUCAGCAUCGCACUUGCCAUCUCCAUUGCAUGUAACCUGAUCAGUUCCCUGCACCACGACCUGUUUGCCAUUGUUGCUUUUGUUGUGUUGAUUUUUUGUGAGAAAGAAAAAAGAAAAAGGAAAUACAAUGAAAAGGAAAAAAAAAUUUGUUUUGAGGUUUUGGCCCACACGGGCAGAGAGGAAAAAUGGGUUGUAGGCUGUUUGCCACCCUUUUUUUGGUUUGAUGUCUUUGAGGCCCACACGAGUUGUUGGCUUGUUUGAAAUUGUUUUGUAACCGUCAUUCGAGUGCUUGGAAUUGUGAUCACUCGAGUGAUAGUAUUUGUGUUUGUUUGUUUGUUGCUUCAAUUGAGAUAUGGAAAUCUUGUCCAUUUAAUGACGGGUUCUUUCCAUACUCUCAACACUAGCUAGUUUGCCAACCAGAAUCAAGAAUCAAGUCAGGUCAAGAAUCAAGAACCAGUUUGCCAGUCAAGUCAAGUCAAGUUUGCAUGUCUGCCAGUCCAUAUCUGCUUGUUUGCAAACCCAUGUCGUAUACCGCCAUGAGUUUGACGGGGAGUGUUGGAAAAAUUAGUAUAUUAUAAUUAUUUGAGUUUGCCUGUUAGUUAGUAUAUGAGUCUAGCCCAUCCGAAUUAGGGUUUCUAGGUUUCGCUCUCUAUAAAUAUAGCUUAUAGAUUAGCAUGAAGAACAAGUUAUUCACAAUGUAAUUUCUUAUGGUUUUGUAGCCAUUUCGGCAUUCUCUUUUGUUUAAUAAUAUUCUUAUUAUUUCGUUGCGCACUCUAAUAUUCAAGUAGUUUAGUAUUCAAGCUAGCAUUCCAUAAUCUAGCUCAAUUUCAUGCUAGUUUAAAUACUAAACUGAACAUAUUCAAACGAGGUCAUCGACUGCAAAAGGUAGUGGAAAAGAUAAUUCAAACCUUAUGCUAAAAUGUUACCUGAACAAGUAGAUGAUGAAUAAUCAAGAGACAAAGAGAGGCGCGUAAGAGGAUCUUCGUCUAUUGGGUCGGAUAUCUGAUCUCCUUUAUCACUGACUGCCGGACCUUGUGGCUUCCAAUGAUGAAUAGAUAAAGAAAGACACGUAAGAAGUUCUUCGUCCAUGGGGUCGGAUAUUUGAUCUCCUCUGUCACUGACUGCUGGACCCUAUGUCUUCCAACGAUCAAGAGACCGAGAAAGACGCGUAAGAAGAUCUUUGUCCAUUGGGUUAGAUAUCUGAUCUCCUCUAUCCCUGACUGUCGGACCCUGUGCCUGGAAGAGUAUUGGGAGAUUCUCAGGACGAGUUUGAGGCUGAAUAUGACGGCCUGCAGGAAAAAUACCAGGAGGCAAGGAAAAACGUGAAUGCGCAAGGCUGUGAGGAUCAUGAUCAUGCACUGUUAUAGUACUACCCAUGUAAUUACUGAGAUCAUAAUCAUUAGAUGGCUCAUAAUUAUCAGCUCACUCCAAAUCAUGCGUAUUUUCCUUUAUAGGUCUGUUCCGCACUAGAUUAGCCAUUGUUCUCAUUGAUGGCAAAAUGUUUGCAAGUGGAGAAAAUUUUGGAGAUUUUCUAUUGAAAAAAUCCAUCAUUUCUUAGUCUUGCAGAGGAUAUUUUUUAUCUUAACAUGAACAGCCAUACAAUCUAUUCAACUCUCAUGGUCUCGCUAUCUCUAUAUGGUAAUGGCCAAGAGACUCAGGUGACCGGCUGAAUGUUACCUGAACAAGUAGAUGAUGAAUAAUCAAGAGACAAAGAGAGGCGCAUAACAGAAUCUUCCUCCAUUAGGUCGUGGUCUCCUCUGUCAUUGAUUGCUGAACCCUACGGCUGGAAGAAUACUAAGAGAUUCUCAGAACGAGUUUGAGGCUGAAUAUGAUGGCUUGCAGGAAAAGUAUUAAAAGACAGAAAAGUGCGAAUGCGCAAGGCUGAGAGGACCAUGAUCAUGCACUGCUAUAGUACUACCCAUGUAAUUACUGAGAUCAUAAUCAUUAGAUGGCUCAUAAUUAUCAGAUGACUCCUCAUAGAACCGAGCUGGAUGUUGGUAAAAAAUAUAACUAGCUUGGUCCAAAUCAUGCGUAUUUUCCUUCAUAGGUUUGUUCCACACUAGAUUAACCAUUGUUCUCAUUGAUGGCCUAUAAUAAUCAGAUUUUCUUGAAAGUUGGAGUACUAUAACUUCAACUUUAUCCCCACUUUGCAAUUUGAGCUUAUCGUUCGAUAGUUGUCCUUGCCAAAGUUUAGGCGUAUCCCAAUAUCCGCUGCCUAAGUAAGCCUGCAACUUUGUACGCUUGGUAUUAUUUAGAACAGUAAUGCCAAAUUUACUUGCAAAUGCAUAUUUGUGAAAGAAGCAUAGAGUCAACCCUUCAAAAGUACGACCAUCAUUCGGGGGAAUAUCAAAACUAACUGUAUUGCCAUGGUUAACAAACUCAAACCAAUCAGGAACAAAAUUCCCAUAGAGUAAAACGCCACCAAAUCCGCACGAAGUCCAUCCCUACAUAUACAAUGCAAGUGUCAUAUAUAUAUAUAUACACACACAUGUAAACGUGCGUUUGCGUUUGCAUGUGCACGAUAGGAAGGCAAUGAGAGAGAGUGUGUGUGAGGUACCUGUAGGAUGUUCUUCCCAAAAUCAGCUGUGAGAUUGGUGCAGUUACUCAUAUCAAUCAAUGUCAUGAAGUUUAAUGACUUAUCCAAGCCUGGAACCUCUGUGAGUUUGGGCGAAUCACUUACCUUCAACUCUGUUAUAUUUGACAUUUCCGAAAAAUUGGGCAUUGUUUCCAAUGCAGGGCAAUUAGCGGCAUACAGAAAUUUCAAAUUUGUUGGUAAAGUAGGGAUUGUACGAAGGUAAAGGCAGCCAUUUAACCCCAAUGUUUCAAGCUUUGUAAGACCACUUAGGCUGGGUAGGGUAUGAAAAUAAUUCCAUCCAAGAUCCAAAAGAGUGAGAUUCUUCAAUCUAACUGUAGAAGAUGGUAUUUGUCUUAUGGCUGUGAAAUCUGCUUCAAGUAUUCUCAAUGAUUUCAUCUCCCCUAAAUCCUCAUGCACUUCACUGAAUUCGAAACAGCCAGUAAGAAGAAGAGUCUCAACAGAUUUCAACUUAUAGAAAUCCCUUGGAAGAGAACUAAGCUUUUCACAUUCUUUAAGGUUCACCAAAGAAAGUUUUUGAAGUUGACCAAUGGAGGGGUGAAUCUCGGACAAACUCCCACAAUUUCCAGUAUCAACUCUUCAAGAUUUGGGACUUGUGAAAAGUCCGGUGAUUUAAUUAGAGAGUAUGAACGACUGAGAUUCAUGAUUUUCAACCUCUCUAGCAACUGUUACAGAAAACCAAAGGAAAAUUGAAAUUAAUAUCCAAAAGGAAGAUGUCAUAAAAAAAAAAGGAAAUCCAAAAACAAAUAGAAACAGAACAUCAUCAUGUGUAAUUGAUGUACCUUAUAACCCUCCCAAACUUGUACCAGUUUGCUACACUGCAUUUCUAAAACAACUAGUCUUUGUUGAUCAAAAAAGUCAUCUGGUAUGGACUUUAAAGGGCAUCCUACCCAACACAACCAUAUUAACUCUUUGGGAAGGUGUUUGUAUUCUCCAUUGAGCUGAACGUCUUUGAGAUGAAGGAAUCUCAGUUUCUUCAUAUUGGCAAAUGCUUCUGUACUGAAGCUAGGCAGGCUAGAGCUUCGAGGCCAAGGAUCAGGGAAAUUUAGAGCAAGUCCUUCAACUUCUUCAGUUCCCUGUUAACAAAAGGUUAUAUUCAUGUGUAGGAAAUGGAUUAUUUGCAUCUAUUUACAUGUGUUAUUUUUACUAAUUCAUAAAACACUCAUUGUCAAUUAAAAUCUUAUGACAUCUUCCUAUGAAAUUAAAACAGAACAUGAAUAAGAAAUAUGAGAUUAUUGUCAAUUAAUUUCAUAUUAAUGUCAUAAAAAAUUACAUUUCUACCUCAUAUUUCUUAUUCAUGAAUAAGAAAUAUGGCGUAGAAAUGUAAUUUUACACAACCAAAUUUUACUGUUUUUUUUAAGCCUCACCUACAUGUAAUCAUAACAUAUCUCUAAUUAAAAAAUUAAAAAUAAAAAAAACUUCUCACUCCGACAUUCUAUCACUCUCUUCCUCUCUCCUUCUAUUUGAAAAACAAAAAUUAAAAAAAAUUCUCACACACUUUGUGUGUGCCCAUAUGCUAGUUAUUCAUUAGGCAAAAUCACCUACGGUGAUUAUAUUUACACAUAAAUGUUGGUUAGUGUAUAAUAGACAUGCGCGGGUUAUAUAUAUGUUUUCAAGUAGGAUGCAUUAUGCAAAAUUUUAUUGGGAAUGUACUUACAGAUUUAUUUCUCAAGACUUCGGCGGCCUCUUGACAGUUCCACAACCUACUCCAUUUUCCAGGAUGACCAAGAGAUUUUUCAGAAAUGAUUACUCUAGCCAUUUCUCGAAGCAAAUCAUGCAUAUUCAACUUGUUGCCUUCAACAGUUACAAGACAUCUUUCACGGAGGAUAGUGAUUCCUAUUGAUGCAAAAAAUCCACAUCCAUCUAAUACUUUUGUGACAUAGUCCUUGUCCUUUCCAAUAAAGAAACAAGAUAUGUCAAGAAAUAUAGCCUUCUCUAAAGAAUCUAGCCCUUCAAAGCUUGUUCUGAGUUGAUUUACAAUGUUUCCAUUUGGACAUCUUCCCAAUUUCUCCAAUUGACUUUCCCACUCUACCAACGAUCUUCUAAUCAAAAGAGAUCCUAAAACUUCAAGAGCUAGUGGUAAACCUCCACAGUAAGAAACCACCUUUUUUGAAACUUCAAGAUAUCCUUGAUUAGGACAACUAUUUUUAAAGGCAUGCCAACUAAAUAGCUCAAGAGCUUCUUCUUCAUUCAUUUUCGUAGCUUGACAUGCUCUGUCCACAUUUAGUAGUAGACGUUCAUCUCUUGUCGUUAUGAUAAUUCUACUUCCAGGACCAAACCAAUCAUGACUUCCAACUAUUGCAUCCAGCUGUUCCACUUUAUCUAUGUUGUCCACGAUAACAAGUAUCUUUCUAUGUCGAAAUUGUUGUUUUAUCAAACCGAUACCUUCGUCAACACAGCUUAUUUUAUGCUUCUUUUUCAAGAUGUCCGAAAUAAGUUUUUUGCAAAUCAACCAGAUCAUGUUUACUUGUAGCAUCGUGAACGUCGGCAAGGAAACUUUUGAAUUCAAACUGAGGAUGAAUUUGGUUAUAAAUGGCUUUGGCAGCUGUUGUUUUACCUAAUCCACCCAUCCCCCAAAUUCCAAACAUGAGAACAACAUUUGAUCCACCACUUGAAAGAUAACUAAUAAUAUCUUGAACGCGUGAAUUGAUUCCAACUAUGUGCUUGGCCACAUGUAAUUCGUUAGCGCUGGUGAGCCUUUCACAAAUAUUCUCGUCAAUAAUUUUUUUAAUGAACUCUGCUUCGUCCCUGAAAAUUGAAUUCGUAAGCAUUAAUGGGGCUCAAUGAAGGCUCAGUAGGAGAUAUCAGUACAUAAACAAUUUUCUUUCCUUCUUCCCUUCAUAUAAUAUAUACAUAUAUAUAUAUUAUAUAUAUAUAAAAGUUAGGCGUAUGAGUUAAACUCCAAUUACGGUUUAGGUUACUUAUGAGAGAUUAAGGUGUAUUCAUUAAGCAUGUGAAUGAAUGUUUAGAUUAUGUAAAAUGUUAAUUAAGCAUGUCAAUUAAUUAAAAGAUUAAGUCAUUCACUAAAAUUUGCAGCUUCUGUGAAGGAUCAACGUGAGAGAUUAAGGUGUAUUAAUUAAGCAUGUUAAUUAGAGUAAUACAACUUAAAUCUUGAAAAGCAGCUGAAUGAUUACCCAUUGUUAGCGAUUUUAAGAUGGUGGCCAGACAAAUUUGCAGCUUUUGUGAGAGCCUCUCUCCACGGCUUUAGCCUUUCUUGUUUAGCUUCACGUUUCUUGUCAUCUUUUUCUUCACGGAUGUCAUUUUCGUGCUUCUGAAAUGCUUCGGCUAAAUCUCCGUCCUGCUUCCUGACAUGCGAAGGAUCAACGUGAUAGAAUAUUGGUAAAACAUGUCGCCCCAGUUUGUCUCUACACUCCAUGAUCUUCACCAGCUCGUCAAGACACCAACUCGAAUCCGCAUACAUCUUUGAGAAGAUAAUGACAGAGAUCCUCGACUCUUCGAUUGCACGAAACAGUUUCUCUUUUAUUUCUUCCCCUCUUGGUAGAUCGUCCUCAUCAAUAAAGACCUGGUACCCUCUGGCUUUUAAUGCCACGUGGAGGUGGCUCGUGAAGCCAUUGCGCGUGUCUUCACCCCUGAAGCUCAAGAAUACGCCGUACUUCCAGAGUUUGGACUUGGAGGAGGACGAAGAGGAGGCUUCGUGGGCUGUCAUGGCGGUAUCCACCGUUAUGGCUUAGCAGUGGUUCAGAUCACAGACUGAAAAAAUGGCUACAGCUGCGUUUGCGUUGCCGAAGGAUGAUAACAAAAGUCAAGAUCUUGCAGGGGAAGCCAACAAAAUAAACGGUUAAAAUUUAACUAAAAUAGUGUGUUUUGAUUCUUAUACUUUUAAGCCAAUAAGCCAAGAGGAAGAGGAGUGCAGAUAAGCCAAAUUACACGCGUGCAAAUUACAGGGGAAGCCGACAAAGGUGGAGGUUGAAAGUUUGAUUAAUGUCGUUCAUUGAAUAAUCAUGUGAUGGUGUUGGUUAAUGGAUAGUGACCCGCCUGGAUAUUUUUGUUGCUGGUUAGAAUUUUGUAUUUUGAGGAAUCUUCAUGAACAUAUUGGAAAUGUUGUCGAUUUUGAUAGAAUGUAGAUUUAAAUUGGAAUUUCAACAAAAGUAUAACUUGAAAUAGGUCGGCAAAUUGUCGUAUGAUUCGUUAAUCUAAUACGAAAUGUUAUGUAAAUAAUAGGUUUUGGAUUAACUUAUUAACAGUUCGGAUCUUUAACGGAUGAUCCGUUAAGAAUUAGUUAAGAUAUCGUUUUGCAUAUCUAAACAUUAGGGAUUGCAAUUUCGUGCAUAACCCAUUAUCCAACAUGAAACAUGAUUAGUUAAUGAAUCAAGGUGUUAUCAAUCACCUGUUGAGAACUUUUUAAGAUAACGGGUAUAACACGAACACGAUAAAUACGGCCAUUUUUCCAUGCCUAACUUAAAAGGUAUUAAAUAUUUACAUGAAAAAUAAGUUUUACUGAAUAAAUGUAGUUUUACCGAAUCAAGAUUUUGUGAGUUUCAGUCGAGAAGGGGUUUGGCGGAUUCACGGCGUCAGGGGUCGCAUGUCGGAGUGGGGAAAAGGUGGUGAUUAGCCAAGGAGGGGAUCGUUGGUGUCGUAACCGUCGCUCAAGGGGGAGAAAUUGCUCCGAGUGGUACACGACGUGUUAUUAUAUAAGUGGUGAUAAAUUUUAUCUCUUUUUAUUUUUCAUACAUUCUCUUACUUUGUGGUCGUCGAAUUAAAUGAAUUUAUAACAAUAAAAAGACAUAAGAGAGAUGAUACAAAUAAGAGAGAAGACAAAAAGGGAAAUUUUCAUAUAAAUUACCUUUCUCCUAUUAAUAUUUCAAAACAAAAAGUUUAGAGAAAAUAAAUCCAUGUAGUGGGGGUGGGUGGUUAAAUUGAUUAUUUUCCAAAAAUAUAUUUCAAUAACAAACAAUAAUAUCCAAAAUAAGUAAAAUUUAAAAUACAAUAAAACUAACCAGCGACGGAGCCACCUUGUUAUUAGGGUGGUCUUUUGACCCUUGUGACCUUUUAAUGAUUCUUAUUAAAAUAAUAGGCUUAAAUGUCAACAUGGUUCUGUGUUUUAUUAUAUCAGCCAAUUUAGUUCUUGUGUUUUCAAUUUGUCCAAAUUUGUCCCUAUGUUUAUAUCUGUUAGCCAAUUCAAGUCAAUCAGUUAAAAGACAGUUAAAUGACAUGUGCUUAGCACAUGAGAGGACAAAAACGUAAUUUUAUUGUACACCAACUAAACUUGGCCAUUUCGGUUUCUACAACAGUAAGUUGUUGUUUACAUUGGCUUUUGAGCUGGUUUUUUUUUGUCUUUUCCACGAAAGCUUCCUUCUUAAUUUCUUCUUGUAGUUCAAGGGAAUGCUCGUUCAUAUGUAAUCUAUCUUCAAUAUUUGACGGAUGCAGGUUGUAUGCCAUAUUUGAGCCUCCUCUACGCGAAGUUAACGGAAGAAGAAGAGAGGAAAAAAGCUCGAGAGAUUGUUAAUAUUCUGGAUGAGAGCGUUACUAGCUCGACCUUCCGCGUAACUCGCUUUGCAUUGUAUGAAAUCGACUACGAUGGCAAAUCUCUGAAAUCUUGGACGAAGAUUGAUGACAUCGGCCAUUAGACACAAGUUAAUUCAUAUAAUUGCAAGCAAGUUAGCAACUCUGAGGUCGAACAAAGUGGCAUACAUACAUGUUGCCCAAAUUUGAUACAUCAUGGAUGAGAUGUAAGUGGAAAUCUUUGAUGAAUGUAACCUAACGUAGCCUGCUAACGAAGAGUUUUUUUCAGUGUACUUUGAACAUUGUCACAGUGAUAAAAUAGUUCUAAUCAAUUGUAACACAUGUAUUUAAUUACAUCACGUGACAUGUUUUCGAGGUAUACACAAAGAGAAGAAGAUAUAAAUUAGGUUAUUCACACUUGGAAACAAGAUCGAUCGAUCCCCCUUAUGAAUUUCAAUGUGAUCGAUCUCCUAAUCAAUUGCCGGUUCUCAUAUCUAAUGAAUUGAAUAAAAUUUAUAGACAAAAUUUAACAAGAGUGUAUAAAACACCCAGAGGUUAAAGUCAUGCUAGUUGCUGCAGCAUCAUCACCACCACCGCUCCCACUCCAACCACCACCAUCAUCACUAUCAGCACCACUAGACCUUAAUUCUUCACGAGGAUACCGAAUCACCGGAGACUUUACUCCAUGAAAUUAUAAUUUUCAUAUGCACAUCAUGUUUCAUGAAUAAGCGGUUAAAAUUUAACUAUUAAAAUCACCCACUACUCAUCAGGGUUUUUUACCAUUGGUUUGGUUGUGUUGUUUUUGGUUUUUCUUUUGUGACACAGAAAGAAAUUGACAGUCAUCAUUUGCUUCACCAAACACUUGCAUAUGCAUUAUAAUUUCAUGCUCUCCAACUGCAAGCGUGUUUGUCUCUUUUUUUUCCCAUGCAAUCUAGAGAGGUUCUUGCUUUUUGUUGCAAAUGACACAUUAAUCAACGAAAUCAAAAGCAUCUUAUGCCAUUUCCCUUUCAUAAAAUCUAGCUCGGAAAGUAUAUAGAGCAGUACAAACCAGAGAACGUGGCCCGAAUGCCCAUUUUUUAAAAAGUAGUCAAAACCCGAAAGCAAUCAAGUCUGAUCAAUGCCAAAAUAGAAAUGACAAUCAGCUAGCAUAAGCUAUCCAACAACAGGCAUAUCCAAACAGAUACUAUUCAUGUUUCUCUAGAUGAUCAGUGCCAAAAUCCUCUUUCUCAAAAGCACUUCUAUGGUAAACGAAAGUCAUAGAGAUCAUACAAAAAAUCCAAAACACUAAAACACUAAAAUGGGCAAUGAGGAUUCAACACCAACAUCCAAUAACCAAAACUGGCACCAAAACACUAAACCCUAGAAUUGUAAACCAGCUUAAUUCAAAAGCAGCUUAAUCUGCAACAAUUUUUUUUUUUUUUUUUUUUUGAGAAGAGCUUAAUCUGCAACAAUUGAACAAAGAAACAGAAUUUACCGUGAUAUAAUGGAUCCCAGAACUGAUCUUAAUGAAACGGAAGCAGCCUUUGAAAAACAGUCUUCUGAUGCUGACGACUAAAUCUAUCUCCACUCUCAUACUUCCCCGACCAUCAUGUCUGGAGCUGCAAUGAAUCAAGGCAAGGUUGUACACAAAAACCCAAAAAUUCGCACACCAAUUUUCCUGAAACAAAAAAACGCAAUCAGAUUAAACAACCACACUGAAAACACCAAAAAACUAAAAUAAUAAGGCAACAGUCAAUGCAAAACGCAAAGACUUUAAUUUUACAGCGAUCGAUCUGCAAAUUUUCUUCCCAUUCAAAGAAAAGACAAAAAAAAAAAAAAAAAGCAGAGAAACCAACUGAAACAGUUCAAUCAGCCAGAAAAAUGGACGCUGAGAAAGAAGCAGUGCAAGCUGAACACGUAAAAAGAUCCAAUCUUUAACCAAACAAUCUAAACCCUAAACCCUAACAAAAUUACAAAGGAGAAGAGAGAAAUAAAAUUAAAAAAUUAAAUAUGUAUGCACCACACAUAGAUUGGAUAAACAUUUGACGAUGAAAUAUAGUACAACUGCAAUUAGGGUUUCAUCAAAUUUUAAGUAAUUAAUCCUUGAAAUUAACCUGAUGAUCUAAAUUAAACACAAGUUGAAAGGAAAUUAGUGAAAGGGAACAAACCUUGAUCCAUUUGCCUUGCACCAGAGACAUGGCUGGAGAACUAUCAGUCACUGUGGAAAGUCAGUUUUGGUGGGUUUCUCAAAUGCUUGCAGAUCUGUUCGUACACACAUCUUUAUAUAAAGCAGAGGAAGAAGAAGCAGCAACUAUAAAGCAGAGGAAGCAGCAGCAGCAGAACCAGAAGAAAUAGAGGCAGGGGAAGCCGAUAGAAACGGAGCAAAGGAAAUGAAGCAGAAGAAAAGGAGGGCAAUCCAAUGAUCCCAGCAGAGAUCAACCCCAAAGAUGUUGGACAAAAUUAUUAAAAAAUAAAUUUACUAAAUUACCCUUGAAUUAUUUUAUGCAUUCUUUCUUGCUGUUUUGAAUUUUUUUUUGGAUGAGGGGCAUUCUGGUCCUAUUCAUUUUGUUGAAGCUGUUACCCCAGAUGUUGGUCAAAAAACAUAACGAACUACGUCCAAAUCAUGCGUAUUUUCCUUCAUAGGUUUGUUCCACACUAGAUUAACCAUUGUUGUCAUUAAUGGCCUAGAGCUUGUUGAAAGAUGAACUUCAACUUUAUCCCCACUUUGCAAUUGGAGCUUAUCGUUCGAUAGUUGUCCUUGCCAAAACAUAUCCUCAUCCCAAAAUCCGUUGCCUAAGUAAGCCUGCAACUUAGUAUUCUUGGUAUUAUUUAUAACAGUAAUGCCAAAUUCAAAAAAAUCUCCAAGUGAAUAUUGGUGCAAGAAGCAUAGAGUCAGCCCUUCAAAAGUACAACCAUCAUUCGGGGGAAUAUCAAAACUGACUGUAUCGUGAUCAUGGUUAACAAACUUAAACCAAUCAGGAACAAAAUUCCCAUAGAGUGAAAUGCCACCAAAUCCGCACGAAGUCCAUCCCUACAUAUACAUUGCAAGUGUUAUAUACAUAUAUACAUGUAAACGUGUGUUUGUGUGUGCAUGUGCAUGAUAGGAAGGCAAUGAGAGAGAGAGAGUGAGAUACCUGUAGGAUGUUCUUCCUAAAAUCAGCUGUGAGAUUGGUGCAAUUACUCAUAUUAAUCAAUGUCAUGAAGUUUAAUGACUUAUCCAAGCCUGGAACCUCUGUGAGUUUGGGCGAAUCACUUACCACCAACUCUGUCAUAUUUGACAUUUCCGAAAAAUUGGGCAUUGUUUCCAAUGCAGGGCAAUUAGCGGCGUACAGAAAUUUCAAAUUUGUUGGUAAAUCAGGGAUUGCACGAAGGUUAGGGCAGCCAUUUAAGCUCAAUGUUUCAAGCUUUGUAAGACCGCUGAGGCUAGGUAGGGUAUGAAAAUCAUUCUCUUCAAGAUCCAAAACUUGUAAAGAAAUUAGACUCCCAAGAUCCUGAGGGAUUGCAUCACGUGCUAAUUUCAAACCAUAUAGGUUUAAAAGAGUGAGAUUCUUCAAUCUAACUGUGGAAGAUGGUAUUUGUCUUAUGGCUGUAUUCAUUGCUUCAAGUAUUCUCAAUGAUAUCAUCUCCCCUAAAUCCUCAUGCAUUUCUCUGAAUUUGGAACAGCCAGUAAGAACAAGAGUCUCAACAGAUUUCAACUUAUAGAAAUCCCUUGGAAGAGAUCUAAGCAUUAUGCAAUCUUUAAGGUUCACCAAAGAAAGUUUUUGAAGUUGACCAAUGGAGGGGUGAAUCUCGGACAAACUCUGACAACCUUCCAGUAUCAACUCUUCAAGAUCUGGGACUUGUGAAAAGUCCGGUGAUUUAAUUAGAAAGUGGGAAUGAGUGAGAUUCAGGAUUUUCAACUUCUCUAGCAACUGUUAUAGAAAACCAAAGGAAAAUUGAAAUUAAUAUCCAAAAGGAAGAUGUCAUAAAAAAAAGAAGGAAAUCCAAAAGCAAAUAGAAAUAGAACAUCAUCAUGUGUAAUUGAUCGUACCUUAUAACCCUCCCAAACUUGUACCAGCCCGCUCCACUGCAUAUCUAAAACAACUAGUCUUGGUUGAUCAAAAAAGUCAUCUGGUAUGGAAUUUAAAGAGAAUCCUUCCCAACACAACCAUAUUAACUCUUUGGGAAGAUGUUUGUAUUCUCCAUUGAGCUGAACGUAUUUGAGAUGAAGGAAUCUCAGUUUCUUCAUAUUGGCAAAUGCUUCUGUACUGAAACUAGGCAGGUUCGAAUCAUAAGGCAAAUAUAGAGCAAGUCCUUCAACUUCUUCAGUUCCCUGUUAACAAAAGGUUAUAUUCAUGUGUAAGAAACGGAUUAUUUGCAUAUAUUUACAUGUAUUAUUAUUCAUUAGGCAAAAUCACCUACGGUGAAUUAUAUUUACACAUAAAUGUUGUUUAGUGUACAAUAGACAUACGUGGGUUAUAUAUGUUUUCGAGCAGGAUGCAUUAUGCAAAAUUUUAUUUGGAAUGUACUUACAGAUUUAUUUCUCAAGACUUCGGCGGCCUGUUGAUUGUUCCACAACCUACUCCAUUUUCCAGGGUGACCAAGAGAUUUUUCAGAAAUGAUUACUUUGGCCAUUUCUCGAAGCAAAUCAUGCACAUUCAACUCAUUCCGCAUAGUCCCCUUAUUCCACUUAUUCUCCUCAAUAGUUACAAGGCAUCGUUCACGGAGGACAUUGAUUCCUAUUGUUCCAAAAAAUCCGCAUCGAUCUAACAUUUUUGCAACAUAGUCCUUGUCCUCUCCAAUAAAGAAACAAGAUAUGUCAAGAAAUAUAGCCUUCUGGUAAUAAUCUAGCCCUUCAUAACUUGUUCUGAGUUGAUUUCCAAUGUUUCCAUCUAGAUGUGUUCCUAAUUUCUCCAAUUGAUUUUUCCACUCUGCCAACGAUCUUUUAGUCAAAAAAGAUCCUAAAACUUUAAGCGCUAGUGGUAAACCUUUACAAUAAGAAACAACCUUUUUUGAAACUUCAAGAUAUGUUUGAUCAGGACAACUAUUUUUAAAGGCAUGCCAACUAAAUAGCUCAAGAGCUUCUUCUUCAUUCAUUUCCUUGGCCUGAAAUGUUUUGUUCACAUUUUGUAGUAGAUGUUCAUCUCGUGUCGUUAUGACAAUUCUACUUCCAGGACCAAACCAAUCAUAACCUCCAACUAUUGCAUCCAGUUGUUCCACUUUAUCUAUGUUGUCCACGAUGACAAGUAUCUUUCUAUGUCGAAAUUCUUGUUUUAUCAGAGCGAUACCUUUGUCAACACAUCUUAUUUUAUGCUCCUUUUUCAAGAUGUCAGAAAUAAGUAUUUUGCAAAUCAACCAGAUCAUGUUUACUUGUAGCAUCGCGAACGUCGGCAAGGAAACUUUUGAAUUCAAAUUGAGGAAGAAUUUGGUUAUAAAUGGCUUUGGCAGCUGUUGUUUUACCCAAUCCACCCAUCCCCCAAAUUCCAACCAUGAGAACAUCAUUUGAUCCACCACUUGAAAGAUAACUGAUAAUAUCUUGAACGCGAGAAAUGAUUCCAACUCUGUGCUUGGCCACAUGUAAUUCGUUAGUGCUGGUGAGCCAUUCACAAAUAUUCUCAUCAAUAAUUUUUUUAAUGAACUCUGCUUCGCUCUUGAAAAUUGAAUUCGUAAGCAUUAGUGGGACUCAAUGAAGGCUCGGUAGGAGAUAUCAGUACAUAAACAAUUUUCUUUCCUUCUUCCCUUCAGUUAAUAUAUAUAUUAACUACCUACUAGCUCGUAUGUGAUUUUAUGACGAACUUGAAUAAAAGGAUUAAUUGAUAAAUAAAAGUUAGGCGUAUGAAUUAAACUCCAAUUACGGUUUAGGUUACUUAUGAGAGAUUAAGGUGUAUUCAUUAAGCAUGUGAAUGAAUGUUUAGAUUAUGUAAAAUGCUAAUUAAGCAUGUCAAUUAAUUGAGAGAUUAAGUCAUUCACUAAAAUUUGUAGCUUCUGUAAAGCAUCAACGUGAGAGAUUAAGGUGUAUCAAUUAAGCAUGUUAAUUAGAGUAAUACAACCUAAAUCUUGAAAAGCAGCUGAAUGAUUACCCAUUGUUAAGAUGGUGGCCAGACAAUUCUGCAGCUUUUGUGAGAGCCUCUCUCCACUGCUUUACACGGAUGUCAUUUUCGUGCUUCCGAAAUGCUUCGGCUAAAUCUCCGUCCUGCUUCCUGACAUGCGAAGGAUCAACGUGAUAGAAUAUUGGUAAAACAUGUCGCCCCAGUUUGUCUCUACACUCCAUGAUCUUCACCAGCUCGUCAAGACACCAACUCGAAUUCGCAUACAUCUUUGAGAAGUUAAUGACAGAGAUCCUCGACUCCUCGAUUGCACGAAACAAUUUAUCUUUUAUUUCUUCCCCUCUUUGUAGAUCGUCCUCAUCAAUAAAGACCUGGUACCCUCUGUCUUUUAAUGCCGCGUGAAGGUGGCUCGUGAAGCAAUUGCGCGUGUCUUCACCCCUGAAGCUCAAGAAUACGUCGUAGUUCCAGAGUUUGGACUUGGAGGAGGACGAAGAGGAGGCUUCGUGGGCUGUCAUGGCGGCAUCCACCGUUAUGGCUUUAGCAGUGGUUCAGAAUCAGAUCACAGACUGAAAAAUAUAGCAAUAGCUGUGUUUGUGUUGGCGUGUUGGCUUGAAAAGCGACAGACUAUUAAAAUGAUGCCACGACCCAGAAGAAUAUUAAAACGAUGCCGUCCGACACGCAAUAGAAUGGUGAAAGGCCGUCCGACACGUCACAGGAUGGUGGAAAACAAACAAUAUUAUGAGAGAGAAAGAGCUAGCAAAUUUAUGAGGAAGAAACAAAACUCAGCAACAACAACAACAACAACAACAACAAAGCCUUUUCCCACUAAGUGGGGUCGGCUAUAUGAAUCCUAGAACGCCAUUGCGCUCGGUUUUGUGUCAUGUCCUCCGUUAGAUCCAAGUACUCUAAGUCUUUUCUUAGAGUCUCUUCCAAAGUUUUCCUAGGUCUUCCUCUACCCCUUCGGCCCUGAACCUCUGUCCCGUAGUCACAUCUUCGAACCGGAGCGUCAUUCGGCCUUCUUUGCACAUGUCCAAAUCACCGGAGCCGAUUUUCUCUCAUCUUUCCUACAAUUUCGGCUACUCCUACUUUACCUCGGAUAUCCUCAUUCCCAAUCUUAUCCUUUCUCGUGUGCCCACACAUCCCACGAAGCAUCCUCAUCUCUCCGCUACACCCAUUUUGUGUACGUGUUGAUGCUUCACCGCCCAACAUUCUGUGCCAUACAACAUCGCUGGCCUUAUUGCCGUCCUAUAAAAUUUUCCCUUGAGCUUCAGUGGCCUACGACGGUCACACACAACACGCCGGAUGCACUCUAACACUUCAUCCAUCCAGCUCGUAUUCUAUGGUUGAGAUCUCCAUCUAAUUCUCCGUUCUCUUGCAAGAUAGAUCCUAGGUAGCGAAAACGGUCGCUUUUUGUGAUCUUCGCUAGAUUGCUCCGGUCAUUAGUGUGGAUAAGUAUAUAAAUGGAUAGAGAUAGGAAAGCAAACACAAGAUGUACGUGGUUCACCCAGAUUUGGCUACGUCCACGGAAUAGAAGAGUUCUCAUUAAUUGUGAAGGGUUUACACAAGUACAUAGGUUCAAGCUCUCCUUUAGUGAGUACAAGUGAAUGAUUUAGUACAAAUGACAUUAGGAAAUAUUGUGGGAGAAUGAUCUCGUAAUCACGAAACUUCUAAGUAUCGGAGUGUGGUGUCGUCUUGACUUGCCUUAUCUGUCUCAUAGGUAGAUGUGGCAUCUUCUCUGGAAGUACUCUUCCUCCAUCCAGGGGUGGUAUCUUUAACUGGUGGAGAUGCACAAGGUAAUGUAUCAAUUUCACUUGAAGCUUACUUGUAGUUUCAGGCUUGGUCAAGCGCGAUACAAACCAUGUAGUAGGAGUCCCCCAAGUCGCCGAGCUAGGGGGUCUGCUGAAAGAGGUGACAGACAAGGUAAGCAAUCAGAGCUCCGACUGAUUGUUCACCUUCUCCCCAUCUUGCAGCAGCAUGAAGGAUAAAGAGAAGAAAAAUGAGAAGAGAUGAUAUGAGAUACUUUUGCUUUUGAAGAAGUAACUUUCCACAGGCUUAUUCUUGAACUGAGCUGGAGGGUUUUCUGGUUUCCUCCAGAGUAUAAGGCCGACUGAAGAAUUUGAGGGUCAAAACAAGUCCAUCAAAUCUAGAGUACGUUCCACCCUGCUGAUAUGGGAUACUUUUGCUUUUGACAGAGUAAUGGAUGUAUCGGCACGUGUGCUGUUACGCUUGUCUCCACAUGCUUCCUUGUAUCCUUCGCACUUGCCCUAUCUGUUCCUCAAGCAGAUGCGGAAUCUUCCCUGGAAACAUAAGAUGUUGAAGAUGAGUACUCGAGAGCAAUGCCAGGUAAGUAAUCAGGUAAGGGGUUCCAGGCAGUCAGUUCCUGGCUGGAAGCUUGAUUCCAAGUGCUGACUGAUUGCUCUCUUUCUCCUUGUCUUGCAGGUAAAAACAAGGCCAAAGGAAAAGACAGGGAAAAAGCAUGAUAUGGGAUACUCUUGCUUUUAACCCUGAUGAUAUGAGAUAUUCUUGCUCUAGUAUAGCUUGUUUGCAGAGGUAUUAUCGGGGGGAAAGAAAGCUGAAUAUUUCGAAAGGCUUCGUUGGGAGUGCCCUCUCAGAUAUGAUGAAGGGUUGAGCAUUUUUGCAGGUCUGCCUGUCCGUUGGGGAUGGAGGUCGACAUAUAUAGGAGUCUCCCUAACAACAAGUAGUAAUGCUAUUCCUUUACCCUGCUUGGUCAUAGCACGGUAGUGGGAGCUGCCAGUUUCACAUGUUUUAACUCUGUCAGAGCACUUUGAAAAAGUGGUCUGUGGUAUCUGGCUCUCGAGAUUCGGAGAACGAUGCCUCUUCGAUUUUUGAGAAAGCAAUCAUGCUGGGGGUCUGGCUCUCGAGAUUCGGAGAGCAGUGUCUCUUCGAUUUUUGAGGAAGUAAUCAUGUUGGGAGUCUGGCUCUCGAGAUUCGGAGGGCGGUGCCUCUUCGAUUUUGGAGCAAGCAAUCUUGUUGGGAGUGUUGUCUCGAAUGUGAGUAAAGGUUGGGCAUGUUUGCUAGUCUACCUUGCCACGAAGCACAAAGGUUGACACACAGGGACUUUCCAAUUAUCCAGCAAUGGUACUGUUCCUUUACCCUCUCUUCGAUUUUGAGAAAGUAGUCAUGUUGGGAGUCUGGCUCUCGAGAUUCGGAGGACGGUGCCUCUUCGAUUUUGGAGCAAGCAAUCUUGUUGGGAGUGUUUUCUCGAAUGUGAGUAAAGGUUGGGCAUGUUUGCUAGUCUACCUUGCCACGAAGCACAGAGGUUGACACACAGGGACUUUCCAAUUAUCCAGCAGUGGUACUGUUCCUUUACCCUUGUGGGUAAUAAUAUGGUAGCUAGACCUUCAAAAUUUAUGUGUCUAAACUUUGUUAGUGUUUGUUUCUUUGCUAUUCUUUUACCUUUCUUGGUCAGAGCGAUGUAGUGGGAGCUGCAAGCUUCACGUGCUCAACUUUGGCAGAGAACUUUGGCAAAGUUAUCUGUGGUACCCAUGAGCUAUUGUUGCGUGUGGGAAGUGGGUGAUUGAACAGUAAGAUUCAUGUGCUUUCUACUUCACCAGAAGUCUUCGACAGAAUGCCCAUAAUUUCUGCAAAGCUGAGUGUGCGUGUGACAGGUGCUGACAAGGCUAGAAAAGUAGGUGCCUCUUCGAUUUCUGAGAUCGGCCCUCGUGGUCUCUGAGCAGCCCAGCUUUUGAGAAAGCGAGCGCCUCUUCGAUUGAUUCGAAGAACGAUGCCUCAUCGAUUUUUGAGAAAGCAAUCAUGCUGGGGGUCUGGCUCUCGAAGAUUCGGGGAGCAGUGUCUCUUCGAUUUUUGAGAAAGUAAUCAUGUUGGGAGUCUGGCUCUCGAGAUUCGGAGGGCGGUGCCUCUUCGAUUUUGGAGCAAGCAAUCUUGUUGGGAGUGUUUUCUCGAAUGUGAGUAAAGGUUGGGCAUGUUUGCUAGUCUACCUUGCCACGAAGCACAGAGGUUGACACACAGGGACUUUCCAAUUAUCCAGCAAUGGUACUGUUCCUUUACCCUCUCUUCGAUUUUUAAGAAAGUAGUCAUGUUGGGAGUCUGGCUCUCGAGAUUCGGAGGACGGUGCCUCUUCGAUUUUGGAGCAAGCAAUCUUAUUGGGAGUGUUUUCUCGAAUGUGAGUAAAGGUUGGGCAUGUUUGCUAGUCUACCUUGCCACGAAGCACAGAGGUUGACACACAGGGACUGUCCAAUUAUCCAGCAGUGGUACUGUUCCUUUACCCUUGUGGGUAAUAAUAUGGUAGCUAGACCUUCAAAAUUUAUGGGUCUAAACUUUGUUAGUGCUGUUUCUUUGCUAUUCUUUUACCCUUCUUGGUCAGAGCGAUGUAGUGGGAGCUGCAAGCUUCACGUGCUCAACUUUGGCAAAGUUUUCUGUGGUACCCAUGAGCUAUUGUUGCGUGUGGGAAGUGGGUGAUUGAACAGUAAGAUUCAUGUGUUUUCUACUUCCCCAGAAGUCUUCGACAGAAUGCCCAUAAUUUCCGCAAAGCUGAGUGUGCGUGUGACAGGUGCUGACAAGGCUGGAAAAGUAGGUGCCUCUUCGAUUUCUGAGAUCGGCCCUCGUGGUCUCUGGGGAGCCCAGCUUUUGAGAAAGCGAGCGCCUCUUCGAUUUCUGAGAUCGGCCUUCGUGGUCUUUGAGCAGCCCAACUUUUGAGAAAGCAAACGCCUCUUCGAUUUCUGAGAUCAACCCUCGUGAUCUCUAAGCAGCCCAGCUUUUGAGAAAGCAAACGCCUCUUCGAUUUCUGAGCAGGCGCCUCUUCGAUUUCUGAAGCUCCGUCGAGUGCAGAUUUUUAUAGAGGGCUGGCAUUAAGUUCCAAAGCACACUUGAAUCUCCACCAGUAGAAGCUUCAUUCUUGCACUUCUAAGAUCUUGAUUUGUCCGACCUCUUCUCUCUUCAACACCUUUGAAAAUGUCUGGCCCCUCCGACCGUCGUUUUGACUUGAACCUUGUUGAAGAGGCAGCCCCGCCUUCUCCAGACAACACAUAUGGCGCCCAUCCUUCGUCUCCCCUACUGGUCCUCUUACCGUUGGGGAUUCCGUGAUGAAGAAUGAUAUGACCGCUGCGGUGGUGGCCAGGAACCUUCUCACUCCCAAAGAUAACAGACUACUUUCCAAACGGUCUGAUGAGUUAGCUGUUAAGGAUUCGCUGGCUCUCAGUGUUCAGUGUGCAGGUUCUGUGUCUAAUAUGGCCCAACGCCUAUUUGCUCGAACCCGCCAAGUUGAAUCAUUGGCGGCUGAAGUGAUGAGUCUCAAACAGGAGAUUAGAGGGCUCAAGCAUGAGAAUAAACAGUUGCACCGGCUCGCACAUGACUAUGCUACAAACAUGAAGAGGAAGCUUGACCAGAUGAAGGAAACUGAUGGUCAGGUUUUACUUGAUCAUCAGAGAUUUGUGGGUUUGUUCCAAAGGCAUUUAUUGCCUUCGUCUUCUGGGGCUGUACCGCGUAAUGAAGCUCCAAAUGAUCAACCUCUGAUGCCUCCUCCUUCUAGGGUUCUGUCCAGUACUGAGGCUCCAAAUGAUCCCCCUCCGGUGCCUUCUCUUUCUGGGGCUCUACCGACUGCUGAGACUUCUCCUAAGCAACCUUUGUGAAGGCUCCCUCUUGUGUGUUUAUUUUGACUCAUGUAUAUGUACAUAUUUGUAGCUUAUCGGGGAUAUCAAUAAAUAAGCUUUCCUUCAUUUCAACGUAUUGUGUUAAAUACACCAAAGCCUUUCUUCGCUAAGUUCUUUGAAUUUUCUUUUGUUGAAGCUUGUAUGUUGAAGCUUUCUGAGUGGAGCAUGUAGGUUGGGGUAGUGUUCCCUUAAUUUUCCCGAGUGAGGAAAACUUCUCGGUUGGAGACUUGGAAAAUCCAAGUCACUGAGUGGGAUCGGCUAUAUGAAUCUUAGAACGCCAUUGUGCUCGAUCCUGUGUCAUGUCCUUCGUUAGAUCCAAGUACUCUAAGUCUUUUCUUAGAGUCUCUUCCAAAGUUUUCCUAGGUCUUCCUCUACCCCUUCGGCCCUGAACCUCUGUCCCAUAGUCGCAUCUUCUAAUCGGAGCGUCAGUAGGCCUUCUUUGCACAUGUCCAAACCACCGUAACCGAUUUUCUCUCAUCUUUCCUUCAAUUUCGGCUACUCCUACUUUACCCCGGAUAUCCUCAUUCCUAAUCUUAUCCUUUCUCGUGUGCCCACACAUCCAACGAAGCAUCCUCAUCUCCGCUACACCCAUUUUGUGUACGUGUUGAUGUUUCACCGCCCAACAUUCUGUGCCAUACAGCAUCGCCGGCCUUAUUGCCGUCCUAUAAAAUUUUCCCUUGAGCUUCAGUGGCAUACGGCGGUCACACAACACGCCGGAUGCACUCUUCCACUUCAUCCAUCCAGCUUGUAUUCUAUGGUUGAGAUCUCCAUCUAAUUCUCCGUUCUUUUGCAAGAUAGAUCCUAGGUAACGAAAACGGUCGCUCUUUGGUAUUUCUUGAUCUCCGAUCCUCACCCCUAACUCGUUUUGGCCUCCAUUUGCACUGAACUUGCACUCCAUAUAUUCUGUCUUUGAUCGGCUUAGGCGAAGACCUUUAGAUUCCAACACUUCUCUCCAAAGGUUAAGCUUUGCAUUUACCCCUUCCUGAGUUUCAUCUAUCAACACUAUAUCGUCUGCGAAAAGCAUACACCAAGGAAUAUCAUCUUGAAUAUGUCCUGUUAACUCAUCCAUUACCAACGCAAAAAGGUAAGGACUUAAGGAUGAGCCUUGAUGUAAUCCUACAGUUAUGGGAAAGCUUUCGGUUUGUCCUUCAUGAGUUCUUACGGCAGUCUUUGCUCCUUCAUACAUAUCCUUUAUAGCUUGGAUAUAUGCUACUCGUACUCCUUUCUUCUCUAAAAUCCUCCAAAGAAUGUCUCUUGGGACCCUAUCAUACGCUUUUUCCAAAUCUAUAAAGACCAUGUGUAAAUCCUUUUUCCCAUCUCUAUAUCUUUCCAUCAAUCUUCGUAAGAGAUAGAUUGCCUCCAUGGUUGAGCGCCCUGGCAUGAACCCGAAUUGGUUGUCCGAAACCCGUGUCUCUUGCCUCAAUCUAUGCUCAAUGACUCUCUCCCAGAGCUUCAUUGUAUGACUCAUUAGCUUAAUACCCCUAUAGUUCAUGCAAUUUUGUACGUCGCCCUUAUUCUUGUAGAUAGGCACCAAAGUGCUCGUUCGCCACUCAUUUGGCAUCUUCUUCGUUUUCAAAAUCCUAUUGAAAAGGUCAGUGAGCCAUGUUAUACCUGUCUCUCCCAAAAGUUUCCACACUUCGAUUGGUAUAUCGUCUGGGCCUAUUGCUUUUUUAUGCUUCAUCUUCUUCAAAGCUACAACCACUUCUUCCUUCCGGAUUCGACGAUAAAAAGAGUAGUUUCUACACUCUUCUGAGUUACUCAACUCCCCUAAAGAAGCACUCAUUUCAUGUCCUUCAUUGAAAAGAUUAUGAAAAUAAACCUCUCCAUCUGUCUUUAACCGCGUUCUCUCUGUAGCAAGAACCUUUCCAUCCUCAUCCUUGAUGCACCUCACUUGGUUUAGGUCCCUUGUCUUCUUUUCCCUUGCUCUAGAUAGUUUAUAGAUAUCCAACUCUCCUUCUUUGGUAUCUAGUCGUUUAUACAUAUCGUCGUAAGCCGCUAACUUAGCUUCUCUGACAGCUUUCUUCGCCUCUUGCUUCGCUUUUCUAUACCUUUCACCAUUUUCAUCGGUCCUCUCCUUGUAUAAGGCUUUACAACAUUCCUUCUUAGCCUUCACCUUUGUUUGUACCUCCUCAUUCCACCACCAAGAUUCCUUUUGGUGUGGGGCAAAGCCCUUGGACUCUCCUAAUACCUCUUUUGCUACUUUUCGGAUACAACUAGCCAUGGAAUCCCACAUUUGGCUAGCUUCCCCCUCUCUAUCCCACACACAUUGGGUGAUUACCUUCUCUUUGAAAAUGACUUGUUUUUCUUCUUUUAGAUUCCACCAUCUAGUCCUUGGGCACUUCCAAGUCUUGUUCUUUUGUCUUACUCUUUUGAUAUGUACAUCCAUCACCAACAAGCGAUGUUGAUUAGCCACGCUCUCUCCUGGUAUAACUUUGCAAUCCUUACAAGUUAUACGAUCCCCUUUCCUCAUUAGAAGAAAAUCUAUUUGUGUUUUUGACGACCCACUCUUGUAGGUGAUCACAUGUUCUUCUCUCUUCUUAAAGAAGGUGUUGGCUAAGAAGAGAUCAUAUGCCAUUGCAAAAUCCAAGAUAGCUUCCCCAUCCUCGUUUCUCUCCCCAAAACCAUGGCCACCAUGAAAACCUCCAUAGUUGCCUGUCUCCCUGCCCACGUGUCCAUUUAAAUCUCCUCCUAUAAAUAACUUCUCCGUCUGAGCAAUUCCUUGCACCAAGUCUCCAAGAUCUUCCCAAAAAUUUCUCCUUCGAACUCGUAUCCAACCCUACUUGAGGUGCGUACGCACUAAUCACAUUGAUAAGUUCUUGUCCUAUUACAAUCUUGAUUGCCAUGAUUCUAUCUCCUACCCUCUUGACAUCUACAACAUCUUGUGUACCAAGGUCUUGUCCACGAUGAUGCCAACACCGUUUUCUCGUUCUAUUUGUGCCCGAAUACCAAAGUUUAAACCCUGAGUUUUCUAGAUCCUUUGUCCUUACUACCAACCCACUUAGUUUCUUGUAGGCACAUAAUAUUUAUCCUUCUCCUCACCAUAACUUCCACUACUUCCAUAGAUUUUCCCGUUAAGGUUCCUAUAUUCCACGUUCCUAAACGCAUUUUGCUCUCUUGAACUCUACCCUUCUGUCCUAGCUUCUUCACCCUCCCCCGUCUAAUAGGAUCAAAGUACUUCUUUUGUGUGUCCCGGGUAAAGUUGAUAGGAGCAUAUGCUCCCAAACAACUUUGAGUGGAGUCGUUCGAAAAGAAGUUUCUAUGGCCCCCUUGCUCAUUUAACACUGCAUCCGGGUGCCGAUGGAGAUACAGCGACCCUUGCUCACUUAUCACUGUGCUCGGGCCACACAGCGCGCCACUUACGGGUGACGCCCUAGCUUUAGCGUGAUUUUGUUCUGGAUUCAUUUUCAUAAGGAUUCGACGUGAUCAUGGAGUGCCGGCUGUCGACUACCUGACGCCCUCCCCCUCCUCCUUUAUCCGGGCUUGGGACCGGCCAUGUAAGACAUAGGCGGAGUUAAACAAAACUCAGCAAUUGAAAAAAAAUAAUAUCUCCUUCUUCAACUUGCAACAAACAAACAAAAAAAUCAAUUUAAUGGUAUUUUGGUGUUCUUGGAUUUGUCGAGAUGAAGGAAGAGGAAGGGGAAGGGUGAGAGAGAGAGAGAGAGAGAAUAAAAUUACUUUCAAUGGUAUUUUUUUAUUAAAUUAACAAUGAGGUUCAGACUCCAGACUCACCAUUAAUUAUGGAGGCUCGGUUACACGUGGAGUUGAAUGGGGGAGUUUAGCGGAACUGAGUCCUGCUAGCAUUUCUUUUUCUAACAUGGAUUCCAUUCGGAUCUAUUAUUUUAAAUUAAACAUAAAUAGUAUCUGAUAAAAAUUAAUCGUACGAUAUACAAUAAACGGUUGAGAUAUGAGAUUUCUUAUGACCCCCACAUAAUGGAUCCAAAGGGCAUCCGUGUUCUUUUUUUUCAAGAAUACGAGGGUAGAAACAAUUAAGAUCUACCUCCCCCUAUUUCAUCUAUAAUGUCAACCGGCUAAAUUGAUUAGCUAAUCGUAUAUAAAAAUAAUAAUAGCAUGAAAUCCUAAUUAUCGAACUAAGAAGGCACAUAGCACACCACUCCAUUACGAAAAUGGAAAAAAAAAUGUGAGCAAUAUAGAGUGUGCAUGCAUGCCAAGUAAUAUCCACAUGAACUAAAAUAUGAUAAACUCUUAAUAAGAGGACUGCUGAAAACGAAAAUUGGUUGUCUUUUGAUUAUUCAUCUCUAAAUAUUGAUGGUAUGUGGGUAGUUAUAUUGGUUCGAAUUCAAAUGAUAUAAAAAUAAUAAUAUAAAUUCAUUACUUUAUACAAAUUCAACUUUAUAUUUGAAGCUUCACCAUAUUGACAUAUCUAAGAAGGCACACAGCACACCACUCCAUUAGGAAAUUGGAAAAAAAAAUGUGAGAAAUAUAGAGUGUGCAUGCAUGCCAAGUAAUAUCCACAUGAACAAAAAAUGAGAAAAGCUUAAUAAGAGGACGGUUGAAAACGAAAAUUGGUUGCCUUCCGAUAAUUCAUCUCUAAACAUUGAUGGUACGUGGGUAGUUACUAUUGGAUCUCACAUUAAACUAAGAUUAGAUUGUGGGAAUCCUUGGGAGAAAACUGUUAACUCGUUUGUGUUUUUUCUCCGUCGUCUUUGAGGUUGAACACGUAAACUUUUUCUUUCUUUUUUUCUUUUUCACUUUUUCAUUUUCUUUUCUACUUUUAUUAUUUAUUUAUUUCUAAUUGAUUUUUCACUACAGAACCAGCACGUUUCUAGUUCUUAUUUACAUAUUUUUGUUUUUUUAUUUUUUAUUUUUUUUAAAUACAGUUUUAUGUUUAGUUAUGUUUUUUUUUUUUACCAAUUUGUCCUAUUUUUUUAUUUUUUUGAAUUUAGAUUGUGAAGGAAAUUAAGGAUCAUUUUUGGUAUUUUCGAAUGCUUCAUCCACUCAACAUAAAAAAAAAGGAUACUUUAACGAAAAGCAUCCGGUACUGUUCACUUUAACGAAAAACCACAUUUUUACACUAAAAAGUCAAUCAUGGUACUAUUCACUUUACCCUUUAUUUUGUCCUUAUCAUUAAAACUCAAAGUUUUCAAGCCCUUUUCAUUAGUUUUCCUAAAAAAAUAAUGUGCUAGAAAGAACGAAUCAUGCUGUACAAGCAACAGCAUCGGGAGACCAAAUACUUGCAUUUAAGGGCCGAAUUAAUGUUGGCUGGGAUAAGUGGUCCAUUGGGCUUUCGGGGGAAAGUAAAAUACAAGUCGGAAAGAAUAUAGAGAGGAGUACCGCCUCGCCUUACGCCUUACGCCUUUCUUCCGUCGGCGUCGUCUAGGGUUUUAGUUGUAAGUUGUAACAGAGCCUAUAAGGGGCACGAUAGCCCCAGUAAUUCAUCAACCUUCAAUUCCCAGACCUGACCGGAGCCGCCGUAGAAAUAUUACUAUUACCAUCCUCCUCUUGGUGAUCGCCCUGUCGCAUAUGGCUUCUGGAUUCAGGGCCUGUACAGGGUGAUUACCAAAGGGAUGACGGUAAUAUUUAAUUCAUGAUGUUGGCAAACUCGUCGGAGGGAAAUGUACUUUGGUUUUCUUGGAUUUAUCGAGAUGGAGGAAGAGGAAGGGGAAGGGUGAGAGAGAGAGAGAAUAAUUAUUUUUAAUGGUAUUUUUUUAUUAAAUUAACAAUGAGGUCCAGACUCACCAUCAAUUAUGGAGGCUCAGUUACACGUGGAGUUGAAUGGGGGAGUUUGGCGGGAGAAAUUUUUAGUUGUAAUAGAAACACGUAUGCUAUAUCAUAUGUUUUUACAUAAGUAUUGAAAAAUUUUAAUUUUUAAGUUAUUAACUUUUUAACACAUAUAUCUGACCAUUUAUUUAGGAACACAUAGUGUACUGUCUCAUGUGACGAUCACAUUGAAAAAUCUUUAGUUUGGCAGAAGCAAGUACUCCUAACAUUUCUUUUCAAGAAUACAAGGGUAGAAACAAUUAAGAUCUACCUCCUCCUAUUUCAUCUGCAGGAAAGUGAUUCUCUUUGGAUCAUUUCUCCUAAUUCAUCAAAUCUGAAGAUCUGUGUCAUUGAAAUUUAAUCCAACGGCUACAAACAGGGGUCUAGUUUAAAAGUUAUAAUAAUUUCAACUGUUUAACCAAAUUUUAAUGACACGAAUCUCCUAAUUUAGUGAAUUAGGAAGAAGGGAUUCAGACAUAAUCCCUUUCCUCAUCUGCAAUGUCAACCGGCUAAAUUGAUCAGCUAAUCGUUCGAUAUCUCUCUUGCUAACGAUAAUCCCUUACGCAUCUACAAGAUUUUGGUACUACUUAGGUAAAUGUUAUCAAGGCAUGCAAAGCAGUACGCCUGGUAUAAUUAAUAACAAUAUUUUCAAGAUGACAUUUAUGUUGUUCACUUAACGAGUAAAUACAUCAAACAAUCAACUCUUUAAAAUGACAAUCAUCACUUUUAAGCAUAACAAAGUCAGCUACAUUCUCCUCAUAAGCAAACUCAAACAACUCAAGAAUGCCAUAAAUCCAAUUGAGAUAAAUGUCACCGUAUCCACAAGAAAUCCAUCCCUAUACAUGUUGAAGAGUACAAGGAUCUCAUAUCAAAUUUGUCAAAAUUAAAGAUGACUUAUAUUGUGCAAUUUUCACUCCUAAUUAUAUCAAAGUUUUUUGUGAUAAGAUAUUCACAUAUGAAGUGUUGUGCAUGUUGGAAAAUUCAAGUCGAUAGAAAGUAUUGAUGUUGUUAAUGAUGGGUCCUUGUAAAGCAUGUGAUAAAAUUUUCAUGUUUCAAAGCUGUUUGUAAAACGUUAAUAGAUGAGCCCUUAACUUAUAUGUUAGCCACCAUUAGCUAGUAAACAUUACCAUACCAACAAACCCCCAAACUCUAUGUGCUGUAUUAUAAAUAAAAUUGGUCUCUACGAAAAAACACUUUGUAAAACGGAUAAGCACUUUACAAACCACUUCUGUUUGUCACUUUUCUUUUCUAAAAGCCAUUUUUGUUUAUAAGCACUAUACUAGAAGCAACGUAAAAAAUUUUAGUAAAAUUCUAUCCUUUAAAAGCACUUACAUUUUUUUCUACUAACAUCAUCAUAAUACUUUGAGAAUAUUGUUUGAAAGCACUUUUAAUAACUCUAAAAACUAGGAAAAGUUGACAAUAUAAAAAUUUUAGUUCCUUUUAUUUUUUAUUUUUUAUUCUGCAAUGUCAUAAUUUAAAUCUUCUAUUUAAUUAGAUGUCAUUUAUAUGUAUCACUUGUCAUGUCAAAUAGUACAUUAAUGUGGUACAAAAAUAAAAAAGCUAAGUUGAAGGGAGCUUUCUUCAUUGACCCCGGCCACGACCAUCAUUAAAUUGACUGAAAUACAUUCUUUCUUGAGGGAUCAUGCCUUCGGGAGAAACUAGUGAUGAUUGCCUCUCAAUGGCAUUCGUCUUCGAGAGAUAUUUCUUUGAGAAGAAUGCAAUUUCAAUAUAAGAAUUUCCGUGGGGAGGAUUUUACGAGGAAUUCGAGUAGUCGGCGGCUUUGGAAAUUCUGGCUCACAUACGGCCACAGUGAGGUAGCAGUUGUGGAGUACUUUCAUAUCCCGGCAAUCUGUGACGAUGUCGUUCCUGGAACUAAAGCAUUCUCUGGUAUAGAUUAAGCUCGGCCACUACAAAUACAAUGAAUUUGGAAGUUUUAGGUCACGACUUUCAGUUUAUGGCUCCAAACUUUUUGUCACAAAAUUGAUUAUUUGAUUGGUGGUGUUUUGGUAUUAAGAGGACGGACAUAUUUAAUGACAGGUAUGUAUCCAAUCUCAAUUUAUUUUGGAAUGAUGAAAUGAAAGGUGGUGUCUGUUGAAUUUUACUGUUUUGCAAUUUGGGAUUUCUGUGUGGAUUGUAAACUUUGAUUUUUUUUUUUUUGGUCAGUGAUUGAAUUUUUCUUGCAUUUGAUACAAAAUUAAUGAAAUGAGAUUGAAAAAUGAGGAGUUGCUAUCAGACGUUUAUGUUUUAGUAUAAUUUCACACGUAUGAUAAGAAAGCAUUCCCACCCCCCCCCCACCCCAACCCCCCAACCCGGUGUUUUUUUCUUCAGAUGAAUAUGAUUUUUUUGAAUUUAGAUUGUGAAGGAAAUUAAGGAUCAUUUUUCGUAUUUUCGAAAAUCCAAAAAAACAUUAGUUUUAAUGAAAAAUGAUAAAUACAUGUGUAGUGAAUAGUACCAGAGAAAUGUAAAAAUGUGAUUUUUCAUUAAAAGUAAACAAUACCGGGAAUGUAUCGUUAAAACUCCCUAAACAAAUGAUGUGGUAGAAAGAAAGAAUGAUGUACAAGCAACAGCAACGGGAGACCCAAGUACUUGCAUUUAAGGGCCGAAUUAAUGUGGGCUGGGAUAAGUUGUCCAUUGGGCUUUCGGGUGAAAGUAAAUAGAAGGCCUUUCUUCUGUCGGCGUCGUGUAGAGUUUUAGUUGUUACAGAACCUAUGAAAUGAGCACGAUGGCUGCCUACAAUUCGUUAACCUUCAAUUUCGCACACCUGAGUCUGGGGGCCGGAGCCGCUGUUGCAGAAUAUUACUAUUACCCUCCUCCUCUUGGUGAUCGCCCUGCCCCAUAUGGUCUUCUGAAUUCAGGGCCUGCAUAUCGACAGGGUGGUUACCAAUGGGAUGACGGUAAUAUUUAAUUGAUGAUGUUGGCAAACUCAUCGGAAAAUCGACCCGGCGCUGGCAAACUCACCGGGGGCAGAGCUCUGAAGUGGCCGCCAUACCACUCCCCUCGCUGACAUUUCACGAAGAAGAUAACGAACGCGAAAAUUAUGCUAAAUUUUAGUGCUUUUGUUGUUUUACUUUGUUUUUGUGUUCUAGGGUUUCAGGGUUUGGUUGCUGGUGACAGGGUUCGAAAGCUCGAGGAUUUUGACCUUUAGCAAGGACUUGUUCUUUCUGUAUGAAUUAACUCUCAAUUCUAUGUGUUAAAGGUGCUCUACUCUGAUGCUAGACAGAAGGAAUAUGGACAGAAGGAAUAUGAUCAUUCCUUCACAGCUAGGAUAGCAUGUGUGGAUGCACUAUUAACGUGGACAGCAAGGCCACUGCAUGUGGUUACUGACUGCUUCAACAAGGACAGCAUGGAUGUCACUUUCUGUCCUUUGUUUAUUGCAUGCCUCUGUAAAAACCUUGUAUAUAAGUUCUACUGCAAUUGUAGCAGAAUAUUCAAUCAAAUAUAUUGGAUCCAAGCUUUGGACCGUGCAACUUCGACACCCAGAAAAUAUUUUAAUGGUCCGAGGUCUUUAAUUCGAAAACAUCCACUAAGAAAUUGCUUGAGUCCGUAUAAUGACUUGUGAAGUCGACAAACCAUAGUCUCCCCCUGUCGACGAUAACCAGGAGGGGGUAACAUAUAUACUUCCACCAUGUCCGGCACCCGAUAUCCUCUUCACAGGUAUGUUUCUUAUGCUCGCCUCUCUCAUGCUCAUCGUUCCUUUGUUCACAAUGUCUCUCACUUAGUUGAACCAGCCUCCUAUGAGCAGGCACGCCAUGACCCUCACUGGCUUGCAGCUAUGCAUUCUGAGCUUGACGCACUUGAAGCCAAUCACACCUGGACUUUGGUUCCUUUACCCCUCCACCAACGCCCCAUUGGAUGUAAAUGGGUCUUCAAAAUCAAGUAUCAUUCCGACGGUACCAUCGAACGCUACAAGGCUCGCCUCGUUGCCAAAGGGUUCACGCAGCGCGAAGGUAUUGAUUACAAAGAGACGUUCGCCCCCGUUGCUAAGCUCAUUACUGUCCGCUGUCUCUUGACCAUUGCUGCUGUUCGCAGCUGGUCUCUUCACCAAAUGGAUGUCCAAAACGCUUUCCUUCACGGUGCACUCCAUGAGGAAGUAUAUAUGUUACCCCCUCCUGGUUAUCGUCGACAGGGGGAGACUAUGGUUUGUCGACUUCACAAGUCAUUAUACGGACUCAAGCAAUUUCUUAGUGGAUGUUUUCGAAUUAAAGACCUCGGACCAUUAAAAUAUUUUCUGGGUGUCGAAGUUGCACGGUCCAAAGCUGGGAUCUCCAUUUGCCAACGAAAGUAUACUCUGGACAUAUUGGAAGAAGCUGGCUUGCUUGGCGUAAAACCUGCCAAGGUACCUAUGGAACCCGAUUUAGUGUUGACAACAACAGGUGGUGAUGCCCUCAAGGAUCCGACUCGAUAUCGACGUCUGGUUGGAAAAUUAAUAUACCUUACCAUCACUAGGCCAGAUAUUACGUAUGCAGUGAAUAAUCUCAGUCAGUUCAUGCAAGAACCAACACUCCAUCACCUUAAAGCAGCACAUCGUCUCCUCCAAUAUCUGAAAGAAGCACCAGGACAAGGGUUACUAUUCCCUACGGAGAACCAACUUAAUUUGGUUGGCUACUGUGAUGCGGAUUGGGCUAGAUGUCCGAUCACACGACGAUCAGUGACAGGUUUUUGCAUCUUCCUUGGUAAAUCACUUGUAUCGUGGAAAAGUAAAAAGCAAGUCACGGUGGCAAGAUCUUCAGCAGAAGCCGAGUAUCGCUCCAUGGCUGCAACGACUUGUGAGCUUACUUGGCUGAGGAAUUUGUUGAAAGAUUUGCGUGUAAAUCAUCCUGAGUCGGCAAGGUUGUUUUGUGACAAUCAAGCUGCUCUACAUAUUGCAGCGAACCCUGUGUAUCAUGAACGAACCAAACACAUAGAGCUGGAUUGUCAUACUGUCCGUGAAAGGAUUCAGAGGGGAGAGAUCGAGACGUCUCAUGUGCAGACGAGACGUCAAAUAGCAGACAUAUUUACAAAGCCACUGAGAGCACCUACCUUCCAUUCACAUCUUGGCAAGUUGGGUGUUAUUGAUAUCCACACUCCUACUUGAGGGGGAGUGUUAAAGGUGCUCUACUCUGAUGCUAGACAGAAGGAAUAUGGACAGAAGGAAUAUGAUCAUUCCUUCACAGCUAGGAUAGCAUGUGUGGAUGCACUAUUAACGUGGACAGCAAGGCCACUGCAUGUGGUUACUGACUGCUUCAACAAGGACAGCAUGGAUGUCACUUUCUGUCCUUUGUUUAUUGCAUGCCUCUGUAAAAACCUUGUAUAUAAGUUCUACUGCAAUUGUAGCAGAAUAUUCAAUCAAAUAUAUUGGAUCCAAACUUUUAUACUAUGAAAUUUCAGUUUCGAUUUCAAUGUCUGUUUUAAAAUUUAUUUCAUGAUGUUCGAAUUGGGAUCUCAAAUAUCGCCUUUGUGCUUGGAUUUAUGAUGCAAAUCUUAAAUUUUGUAACUCGUCUAAAUUUAGAGUAUGUGAGAUAAGAUAUAUUCUGAGAUCGUGUUUUUGCUUGUUUGAAAACUGUCGCCGAAAGCGGUCAUCACCUAGCUCAGUCAACUCGUUAUUAUUUCCAGGGUGCCCUUGGGUCGAGUGUUUGUCACUAACUUCGCUUAUCAUGGCCCUUCAAUUGAAAUGGCACUAGAUAUGUUUUGACGUGCUUGUUCUGCGCAUUUGAUAUGUCUGAUCUGAGGGCCGAUAUGACAUGUCCUAGCAAGGCUAGGAUACCCUAUGUAUGUCGACAUGUCAAUGCAUAUCACGACAAUGUGCAUAGAUAGUCGUAACCUCGUUGCUUGUUGGCAUAAAGCGAGAGUUGGCAUGCCAUUGGCUUGUCAUGGCAUAUCAAAGCAAAAUCCAACGAGUACAAAUUUGUGGCCUUCACUACUUAUACUCAAGAGUCGGAUGACAUUGUGAGACUUAUUACUCCACCCAAAGCGGUAGUAUACACCAUCAGUUGUGACUUGUGAUUCUUGGAAAGAGGUCGGCACCGUUUCUUUAGAAGCCAAAACUACUUUGGUUUGGCCUGACAGGUUCCAGAUGUGCUUCAAGGGAAUGUGUUUUUGGCUGGGAAUUGAGCAAGGUAAGGAAAUAUCUGUUUAUGACACUUUUGAUGACCCAGAAGGCAGGAGAGUGAUCAUUUCUUUCGAUACAAGUCGCGAGGUAUUUCAUGGUAUACCCGAACCAUCUGAGCUCCAACGAUUACCCCUGGGGCGUGACCUUGAUUUGAAGCUUAUUGUGUGGAAUGAAUCACUUUCUUAUGGUUCACAAUGAUGGACGCGUAGUUUGCUUUAAUCUUUGUACGAAAAAGCUUACAUAUAUUCCCACUGAAACAUGAGGUGAGUUUGUUGGUUGUGUGAAUAGCAUAGUUUCGGUCAUGGGACGCAACCACAAGCCUGAGAGCAUAGAGAAUAAUUGCUCAGACAGAUGAAGACUCGAUGGUGGCGGUAGAAGGGAAGAGGGAAAGCUGCAGGAGGCGGUACUCAUAUUCCGUUUGGGCCAUUCCACUGGCUGAUGUUUCAAGGGCCUCUGGGCAGAGUUUGGUGGGCCGGAGAUUAGCCUCACAUCCCCAUAUUGGGAUCCACCCAUAUUAUGAGUUGCGAGGACGCUCUUAACAAGUUUAGAUCUCCCUUACGGAUGAUUUCAUUGCUAAAGUUGUUCAGGUGGUUACUAGGAAUUACUAUCACCAAUGUGUUUCCUUGUUGAUGGAUCAAGGGGUAUAUAUUUUCCCGAUCGCUUGCUAAUUGCUAUUCAUUUUCUUCAUGUUUUCUUCUGUUUUGUUUCCUUUUCCUCUUUCUCAUUUUGGUCUCUUAAGCUGGGAUAGACUCACUAAUUAUCAAAUUUUAUGUUCUUAGUUAUUCCAAAGUGCCAAAACUACAUUUCGGUUUCUACAACAGUAAGUUGUUGUUUAUGUUAACCUUUGAGCUGGUGUUUUUUUGUUUUCACGAAAGCUUCUUUCUUAAUUUCUUCUUGAUGUUUACGGGAAUGUUCAUAUGUAAUCUGUCUGUCUGCAAUAUUUGAUGGAUGCAGGUUCAAUGAAACAUAAUUAUAUAAGAUCCUGCCAAAAUUAGAUCAACUUCAACUUUAUCCAUGCCUUGCAAAUUGAGCUUCAGAACACGAGUCGGAUUGCAAAUGAUGGCAAAAUGUUUGAAAGUGGAGAAAAUUUCGGAGAUUUUCUAUUGAAAGAUCCAUCAUUUCUUAGUCUUGCGGAGGAGAUUUUUUAUCUUAACAUGAACAGCUCUACAAUCUAUUCAACUCUCAUAGUCUCACUAUCUCCAAAUGGUAAAGGCCAAGAGACUCAGGUGUCCGGCUAAAUGUUACCUGAACAAGUAGAUGAUGAAUAAUCAAGAGACAAAGAGAGGCGCGUAAGAGGAUCUUCGUCCAUUGGGUCGGAUAUCUGAUCUCCUCUAUCACAGACUGCCGGACGUUGUGGCUUCCAAUGAUGAAUAGAUAAAGAAAGACACGUACGAAGAUCUUCGUCCAUUGGGUCAGAUAUCUGAUCUCCUCUGUCGUGACCGCCGAACCCUGUGGCUUCCAAUGAUGAGACUGAGAAAGGCGCGUAAGAAAAUCUUCCUCCAUUGGGUCGGCUAUCUGAUCUCCUCUGUCAUUGACUGCCGAACCCUGUGGCUGGAAGAGUACUGAGAGAUUCUCAGAACGAGUUUGAGGCUGAAUAUGAUGGCCUGCAGGAAAAGUAUUAGAAGACAAGGAAAAAUGUGAACGCGCAAGGCUGAGAGGACCAUGAUCAUGCACUGCUAUAGUACUACCGAUGUACUUACUGAGAUCAUAAUCAUAAGAUGGCUCAGAAUUAUCAGAUGACUUCUCAUAGAACCGAGCUGGAUGUUGGUCAAAAACAUAACUAGCUUGGUCCAAAUCAUGCGUAUUUUCCUUCAUAGGUUUGUUCCACACUAGAUUAACCAUUGUUCUAAUUGAUGGCCUAAAACAAGAAUUUACUGAAAGUUGAACUUCAACUUUAUCCCCACUUUGCAAUUUCAGCUUAUCGUUCGAUAGUUGUCCUUGCCAAAGUAUAGGCGUAUUCCCAUAUAUGCUGCAUAAGUAAGCCUGCAACUUUGUACACUUGGUAUUAUUUAUAACAGUAAUGCCAAAUUUACCUCCAAGUACAUGUUUUAUCAAGAAGCACAGAGUCAACCCUUCAAAAGUACAACCAUCAUUCGGGGGAAUAUCAAAACUGACUGUACUGCUCUGGUUAACAAACUCAAACCAAUCAGGAACAAAAUUCCCAGAGAGUAAAACGCCACCAAAUCCGCACAGAGUCCAUCCCUACAUAUACAAUGCAAGUGUCAUACACACAUACAUACAUACACAUGUAAACGUGCGUUUGUGUGUGCAUGUGCACGAUAGGAAGGCAAUGAGAGAGAGAGAGUGUGAGGUACCUGUAGGAUGUUCUUCACAAAAUCAGUUGUGAGAUUGGUGCAAUCCCUCAUAUCAAUCAAUGUCAUGAAGUUUAAUGACUUAUCCAAGCCUGGAAUCUCAGUGAGUUUGUGCGAAUCUCUUACACUCAACUCUGUCAUCUUUGACAUUUCCGAAAAAUCGGGCAUUGUUUCCAAUGCAUGGCAAUUAUCGGCAUACAGAAAAUUCAAAUUUGUUGGUAAAUCAGGGAUUGUACGAAGGUUAAAGCAGUUAUUUAAACUCAAUGUUUCAAGCUUUGUAAGACCACUUAGGCUGGGUAGGGUAUGAAAAUCAUUCCCUUGAAGAUCCAAAACUUGUAAAGAAAUUAGACUCCCAAGAUCCUGAGGGAUUGCAUCAUGUUCUAAUUCCGCACCAUCUAGGGAUAAAAGAAUGAGAUUCUUCAAUCUAACUGUGGAAGAUGGUAUUUGUGAUAUGGCUGUAUUAUCUGCUUCAAGUAUUCUCAAUGAUAUCAUCUCCCCUAAAUCCUCAUGCACUUCUCUGAAUUCUAAACAGCUAUUAAGAAGAAGAGUCUCAACAGAUUUCAACUUAUAGAAAUCCCUUGGAAGAGAACUAAGCUUAACGCAUUCGCUAAGGUUCACCAAAGAAAGUUUUUGAAGUUGACCAAUGGAGGGGUGAAUCUUGGACAAACUCCUACAAUUUUCCAGUAUCAACUCUUCAAGAUUUGGGACUUGUGAAAGGUCCGGUGAUUUAAUUAAAAAUAGGGAAUGACUGAGAUUCAGGAUUUUCAACCUCUCUAGCAACUGUUACAGAAAACCAAAGGAAAAUUGAAAUUAAUAUCCAAAAGGAAGAUGUCAUAAAAAAAAAAAGGAAAUCCAAAAACAAAUAGAAACAGAACAUCAUCAUGUGUAAUUGAUCGUACCUUAUAACCCUCCCAAACUUGUACCAGUUUGCUAUACUUCAUAUCUAAAAUAACUAGUCUUGGUUGAUCAAAAAAGUCAUAUGCUAUGGACUCUAAAGGGCAUCCUUCCCAACACAACCAUAUUAACUCUUUGGGAAGACGUUUGUAUUCUCCCUCGAGCUGAACAUAUUUGAGAUGAAGGAAUUUCAGUUUCUUCAUAUUGGCAAAUGCUUCUGUACUGAAACUAGGCAUGCUAGAGCUUAGAGUAAAAGGGAAAUUUAGAGCAAGUCCUUCAACUUCUUCAGUUCCCUGUUAACAAAAUGUGUAAGAAACGGAUUAUUUGCAUAUAUUAUUAUUCAUUUGGCAAAAUCACCUACGGUGAAUAUAUUUACACAUAAAUGUUGUUUAGUGUAUAAUAGACAUACGUAGGUUACAUAUAUGUUUUCAAGUAGGAUGCAUUAUGCAAAAUUUUAUUGGGAAUGUACUUACAGAUUUAUUUCUCAAGACUUCGGCGGCCUCUUGACGAUUCCACAACCUACUCCAUUUUUCAGGGUGACCAAGAGAUUUUUCAGAAACGAUUACUCUGGCCAUUUCUCGCAGCAAAUCAUGCAUAUUCAACUUGUUGUCUUCAACAGUUAUAAGGCAUCGUUCACGGAGGACACUGAUUCCUAUUGAUGCAAAAAGUCCACAUCCAUCUAAUACUUUUGUGACAUAAUUCUUGUCCAUUCCAAUAAAGAAACAAGAUAUGUCAAGAAAUAUAGCCUUCUCUGAAGGAUCUAGCCCGUCAAAGCUUAUUCUGAGUCGAUUUACAAUGUUUCCAUCUGGAUAUCUUCCCAAUUUCUCCAAUUGACUUUCCCACUCUUCCAACGAUCUUUUAAUCAAAAGAGAUCCUAAAACUUCAAGCGCUAGUGGUAAACCUCCACAGUAAGAAACAAAUUUUUCUGAAACUUCAAGAUAUCCUUGAUUAGGACAACUAUUUUUAAAGGCAUGCCAACUAAAUAGCUCAAGAGCUUCUUCUUCAUUCAUUUUCUUAGCCUGAAAUGUUUUGUUCACAUUUAGUAGUAGACGUUCAUCUCGUGUCGUUAUGACAAUUCUACUUCCAGGACCAAACCAAUCAUGACUUCCAACUAUUGCAUCCAGUUGUUCCUUUUUAUCAAUGUUGUCCACGAUGACAAGUAUCUUUCUAUGUCGAAAUUGUUGUUUUAUCAGACCUAUACCUUCGGCAACACAGCUUAUUUCAUGCUUCUUUUUCAAGAUGUCAGAAAUAAGUUUUUUUUGCACAUCAACCAGAUCAUGUUUACUUGUAGCAUCGCGAACGUCGGCAAGGAAACUUUUCAAUUCAAACUGAGGAUGAAUUUGGUUAUAAAUGGCUUUGGCAGCUGUUGUUUUACCCAAUCCACCCAUCCCCCAAAUUCCAACCAUAAGAACAUCAUUUGAUCCACCACUUGAAAGAUAACUGAUAAUAUCUUGAACGUGUGAAUUGAUUCCAACUAUGUGCUUGGCCACAUGUAAUUCGUUAGUGUUGGUGAGCCAUUCACAAAUAUUCUCAUCAAUAAUUUUUUUAAUGAACUCUGCUUCGCCCCUAAAAAUUGAAUUCGUAAGCAUUAGUGGGAAUCAAUGAAGGCUCGGUAGGAGAUAUCAGUACAUAAACAAUUUUCUUUCCUUCUUCCCUUCAUAAUAUAUAUAUAUAUAUAUAUAUAUAUAUAUAUAUAUAUAUAUAUAUAUAUAUAUAUAUAUAUAUCAGUACAUAAACAAUUUUCUUUCCUUCUUCCCUUCAUAAUAUAUAUAUAUAUAUAUAUAUAAUGAACUUGAAUAAAAGAAUUCAUUGAUAAAUAAAAGUUAGGCGUAUGAAUUAAACUCCAAUUACGGUUUAGGUUACUUAUGAGAGAUUAAGGUGUAUUCAUUAAGCAUGUGAAUGAAUGUUUAGAUUAUGUAAAAUGUUAAUUAAGCAUGUCAAUUAAUUGAGAGAUUAAGUCGUUCGCUAAAAUUAGCAGCUUCUGUGAAGGAUAAACUUGAGAGAUUAAGGUGUAUUAAUUAAGCAUGUUAAUUAGAGUAAUACAACUCAAAUCUUGAAAAGCAGCUGAAUGAUUACCCAUUGUUAGCGAUUUUAUGAUGGUGGCCAGACAAAUUUGCAGCCUUUGUGAGAGCCUCUCUCCACUGCCUUACCCUUUCUUGUUUAGCUUCACGUUUCUUGUCAUCUUUUUCUUCACGGAUGUCCUUUUCGUGCUUCUGAAAUGCUUCGGCUAAAUCUCCGUCCUGCUUCCUGACAUGCGAAGGAUCAACGUGAUAGAAUAUUGGUAAAACAUGUCGCCCCAGUUCGUCUGUACACUCCAUGAUCUUCACCAGCUCGUCAAGACACCAACUCGAAUCCGCAUAUCUCCUUGAGAAGAUAAUGAUAGAGAUCAUCGACUCUUCGAUUACCUUUAACAGUUCUUUUAUUUCUUCCCCUCUUUGUAGAUCGUCCUCAUCAAUAAAGACCCGGUAACCUCUGGCUUUUAAUGCCUCGUGGAGGUGGCUCGUGAAGCCAUAGCGUGUGUCCUCGCCCCUGAAGCUCAAGAAUACGUCGUACUUCCAGAGUUUGGACUUGGAGGAGGACGAAGAGGAGGCUUCGUGGGCUGUCAUGGAGGUAUCCACCGUUAUGGGCAUAGCAGUGGUUCAGAUCACAGACUGAAAAGAUGGCAACAACUGCGUUUGCGUUGCCGAAGGAUGAUACUUAAACAUAAGUCAAGAUCUUGAGUCAACAAAGGCAAAAGUUUAUAAUAUAAUAAUGUUGGCGUGUGGACCUGAUAUAAUGAUGAAACACGACAUACUGCCGAGCGGGAAGGUGCAGGGAAAGAGAGGAAAAGAGGAAAGAAAGAAACAUGAUAGGACAGAUUAGGGAUUUUUUUUUUUUUCACCAAUCCGAAUUUCGCAUUGAAGCACCUCUCCAACUCCGCCAACAACAGCCUCACCACUCGUGACCUCCUUUUCAAGAGAUUAGUAGUGCAGCGGCAGCAUGGGGAGGAGGAAACUGAACAAGUAUACCUGUUGCUUAAGUUAUGCAAAGACGAUGAUAAUAUCAAUGACGAGGAUAGCAAUAGCUACUCUCUUGUUGGUGUCGAGGAAAUCGUUUUUCCUCACUCUUUGAUUCAGAAGGUCGGACUCCCGGAACAACUGCAUAUUAUAGGCCACUGCAAUGGCAUUGUUUUACUAUAUAGUAAGAGUAGCUUUGUUUUAUGCAAUCCCGGA
Molecule: long non-coding RNA, 152834 nt
Filed under: Malus domestica (apple)
Lineage: Eukaryota; Viridiplantae; Streptophyta; Magnoliopsida; Rosales; Rosaceae
Description: long non-coding RNA (MDOM_LNC001304)
Source: RNAcentral